CUUUUUUUUGUAGUGUAUCUUCAUACCUAGUUCUCUUGUUACUCGAAAGUCAAUUUACUCGUUCCGUAAUACAUCAUCCCGCAACUAACUCAUUAGUCACUUUGCUUGCAAGGCUCCUUAUUAUGUUCAUUACCGAGAGGGCCCAGAGAUACCUCUCCGAUACUCGGAGUGACAAAUCCUAAUCUCGAUCUAUGCCAACCCAACAAACACCUUCGGAGAUACCUGUAGAGCAUCUUUAUAAUCACCCAGUUACGUUGUGAUGUUUGAUAGCACACAAGGUAUUCCUCCGGUAUCCGGGAGUUGCAUAAUCUCAUAGUCAAAGGAAUAUGUAUAUGACAUGAAGAAAGCUAUAGCAAUAAAACUGAACGAUCAAUAUGCUAAGCUAACGGAUGGGUCAUGUCCAUCACAUCAUUCUCCUAAUGAUGUGAUCCCGUUCAUCAAAUGACAACACAUGUCUAUGGUUAGGAAACUUAACCAUCUUAGAUUAAGGAGCUAGUCUAGUAGAGGCUUACUAGGGACACGGUGUUUUGUCUAUGUAUCCACAUAUGUAUCAAGUUUCCGGUUAAUACAAUUCUAGCAUGAAUAAUAAACAUUUAUCAUGAUAUAAGGAAAUAUAAAAUAACAAUUUUAUUAUUACCUCUAGGGCAUAUUUCCUUCAGUCUCCCACUUGCACUAGAGUCAAUAAUCUAGUUCACAUCGCCAUGUGAUUUAACACCAAUAGUUCACAUCGCCAUGUGGCCAACACCCAAAAGGUUUACUAGAGUCAAUAAUCUAAUUCACAUCGCUAUGUGAUUAACACCCAAAGAGUACUAAGGUGUGAUCAUGUUUUGCUUGUGAGAGAAGUUUAGUCAACGGGUCUGCCACAUUCAGAUCCGUAUGUAUUUUUGCAAAUUUAUGUGUCUACAAUGCUCUGCAUGGAGAUAAUCUAGCUAAUUGCUCCCACCUUCAAUAUGUAUCCAUAUUGAGACUCAGAUUCAUCCGGAUCAGUGUCAAAGCUUGCAUCGACGUAACCUUUUACGACGAACUCUUUUUCACCUCCAUAACCCAGCAACAUUUCCUUAGUCCUGUUUAGGUACCUAAGGAUAAUUUUGACCGCUGUCCAGUGAUCUACUCCUGGAUCACUAUUGUACCCACUUGCGAAACUCAUGGCAAGGUACACAACAUGUUUGGUAUAUAGCAUGGCAUACUUUAUAGAACCUAUGGCUGAGGCAUAGGGAAUGACUUUCAUUCUCUCUCUAUCUUCUGCCAUGGUCGGGCAUUGAGUCUGACUCAACUUCACACCUUGUAACAUAGGCAAGAACCUUUCUUUGACUGAUCCAUUUUGAACUUCUUCAAAACUUUAUCAAGGUAUAUACUCAUCGAAAGUCUUAUCAAGCAUCUUGAUCUAUCUCUAUAGAUCUUGAUGCCUAAUUUGUAAGCAUCUUCACUGAGGUCUUUCUUUGAAAAACUCCUUUCAAACACUCAUUUAUGCUUUCCAGAAAAUUCUACAUCAUUUCCGAUCAACAAUACGUCAUUCACAUAUACUUAUCAGAAAAGGCUGUAGUGCUCCCACUCACUUUCUUGUAAAUACAGGCUUCACCGCAAGUCUGUAUAAAACUAUAUACUUUGAUCAACUCAUCAAAGCGUAUAUUUCACCUCUAAGAUACUUGCACCAGUCCAUAGAUGGAUCGCUCGAGCUUGCACGAUUUGUUAGCACCUUUAGGAUUGACAAAACCUUCUGGUUGCAUCAUAUACAACUCUUCUUUAAUAAAUCCAUUAAGAAAUGCGGUUUUGAUAUCCAUUUGCCAGAUUUCAAAAAUACGGCAAUUGCUAACAUGAUUCGAACAGACUUAAGCAUCGAUACGAGUGAGAAAAUCUCAUCGUAGUUAACACCUUGAACUUGUCGAAAACCUUUUGCGACAAUUCGAGCUUUGUAGAUAGGAACACUACCAUCAGCUUUCGUCUUCCUCUUGAAGAUCCAUUUAAUUCACAACGGCUUGCCGAUCAUUGGGCAAGUCAACCAAAGUCCACACUUUGUUCUCAUACAUGGAUCAUAUCUCACAUUUCAUGGCCUCAAGCCAUUUAUCGGAAUCUGGCUUAUCAUAGCUUCUUCAUAGUUCGUAGGUUCGCCAUGGUCUAGUAACAUGACUUCUAGAAAAGGAUUACCGUACCACUCUGGUGCGGAUCGUACUCUGCUUGACCUACGAGGUUCAGUGGUAACUCAAUCUGAAGUUUCAUGAUCAUCACCAUUAUGUGAAAACUGCUUUGUGUGAUUUGGGAGCUGGUGUUAGUGUUAUGCCUUUCUAUUUAUAUAAAAGACUUGAUUCAAAUAAACUCACACCUAUUGAAAUAUCUAUGCAGAUGGCUGAUAAAUCAACUGCCAUACCUAUCGGUAUUUGUGAGGAUGUGCCCGUUGUUGUUCCUAAUGUUACUAUUUUGACUGACUUUGUUAUACUUGAGAUGCCCGAGGACGACAACAUGUCGAUUAUCCUUGGUAGACCCUUCUUGAAUACUGCAGGGGCUGUUGUUGAUUGCAAUAAAAGCAAGGUCACUUUUCAUAUCAAUGGUAAUGUGCAUACGGUGCACUUUCUGAAGAAACAAUUCCAAGUGAAUGGUAUUAAUGUUAUUGAAAAAUCUCAGACAAUCACUAUUGGAAGUUUUCAACUACCUCUACCUACUAUCAAAAAGAAAUACGAAAUGCUUAUUGUUGGGGACAUUCAUAUCCCCGUUGAGGUAACUUAGUGAUUUACGAAAGUUCUUCGGUUUCAUGCUAAUCGAAAGUGGUUGUUAAUAAGACUUGAUCAACCUUAUUAAUGAAUCAUUUUUGAGAGGUAUGAAGUUGAUCAAUUUAGUGAGCACUACCUUCUGUCCCUACCUUUUGUUUUCUGUUAUUAUUAUUUAAAUAAAAUAAAAUGCCAUGUUUUGCCUUUUUCUGAAUUUCUCGUGCAAUAAAAAAUGAUCCAAAAAUAAAAGUUCUCAGAAUGCUCUGAAAAUUUAAUAUGAUUUUUUCUGAAUAUUUAAGAAUUUUUGGUGCAAAUAAUAUCAGAGAGAGGUGCACCAGGUGGGCACAACCCACCUAGGCGCGCCAGGACCCCCAGGCGCGCCCUGGUGGGUUGUGGUCCCCACGUGGGCCCCCUCACUUAUCUCUUCAUCCCACAUCACCACCUACCUCCAAAAAAAAUUAACAUUGCUCUCUCUCUCUCUCGUGUUCUUGCUCUCAAACCCACGGAUUUUGAUCUCUUUGCUCGAAGCUCUGUUUCCAAAACUGUUUCGGGUGAUUGUUGCUUGGUAUGUGACUCCUCCAUUUGCCCAAUUAGUUUUUGCUUUAGUAGGUCAUAUUUUGAAUAAUUAGCUACUCUAGUGAAGCACUAGAGCAAGUCCAUAGCUCAUAAAAGAUUUAAGUGAAGCAGAGAGCAAUUCUAACAAGUUAUGACAUAAUUUUGGCUCUAUCAAAUAGGUGUGUCUAGCAAGGGAUCAAGACUUAAAACACAAAAUAAAACAAGCAAAGACUCAUAUCAUACAAGACGCUCCAAGCAAAACACAUAGUAUGUGACGAAUAAAAAUAUAGCUUCGAGUAAAAUACCGAUGGUCGUUAGAAGAAAGAGGGGAUGCCACUCGGGGGCAUCCCCAAGCUUAGUUGGUUGCUCAUUUUUGGAUAAUAGCUUGGGAUGUCAGGGCAUCCCCAAGCUUAGGCUCUUCUAUACUUCCCUCAUCCAUCGUAAGAUAACCCAAAACUUGAAAACUUGAAUCACACAAAACUCAACAAAACCUUCGUGAGAUCCGUUAGUAUAAGAAAGCAAACCACUACUAUAAGUACUGUAACAAACCAAUUCAUAUUUUUCUUUUGUAUUAUAUCUACUGUAUUCCAACUUUUCUAUGGCCAAAACUGAUCAAAGAAAACUAUAGAGCCAUCAAAAUAAGCACUCAACACAAAGAAAACAGAAUCUAUCAAAACAGAACAGUCUGUAGCAAUCUGACUAUUUUGAAUACUUCUGUAACUCCAAAAAUUCUGAAAAAUUAGGACGACCAGUGUAAUUUGUAUAUUAAUAUUAUGCAAAAAUAAUUGGCAUUUUAUCACGUUCUGGUGAUUUUUAACAAUUGUUUUCGUGAGUGCAUAAGUUUCUAUUUUUCAGCAAGAUCAAACAACUAUCACCCAAGAAGAUCCUAAAGGCUUGACUUGGCACAAACACUAACUAAAACACAAAAAACACAAUCAUAACAGUAGAAUAGUUGUGCAAACACACAAGAACAGAAAACAAAAAGCAAAAAUAAAUUUUAUUCAUUGGGUUGCCUCCCAACAAGCGCUAUAGUUUUACGCUCUUAGCUAGGCAUAAAGCAAGGAUCUAAGUUUUAUCAUCUUUGGUUCGAGAUCCAUAAGAUGCCCUAAUGAUUGAUUCAUAUGGUGGCUUAAUUCUUGUUCUAGGAAAGUGUCCCAUACCCUUCCUCAAAGGAAAUUGGAACUUAAUAGUGCCUUCUUUCAUACCAAUCACGGCACCGAUAGUGCGUAAAAACGGUCUACCAAGAAUAAUUGGACAAGACGGAUUGCAAUCAAUAUCAAGAACAAUAAAAUCUAUGGGCACAUAAUUCCUAUUUGCAAGAAUAAGAACAUCAUUAAUUCUUCCCAUAGGCUUUUUAAUAGUAGAAUUCGCCAAGUGCAAAUUCAAAGAACACGAUUCAAUAUUGGUAAGACCAAGCACAUCACAUAAAGAUUUCGGAAUUGUUGAAACACUAGCACCCAAGUCACACAAAGCAAAACACUCAUAAUUUUUAAUCUUGAAUUUUAUAGUAGGUUCGCAUUCAUCAUGCAAUUUUCUAGGAAUUGAAACUUCCAAUUCCAUUUUUUCUUCAAAAGCUUUCAUCAUAGCAUCAACAAUAUGUUUAGUAAAAGCUUUAUUUUGUUCAUAGGCAUGAGGUGAAUUUAUCAUGGAUUGCAACAAAGAAAUACAAUCAAUCAAAGAGCAACUAUCAUAAUUAAAUUCUUUGUAAUCCAAAAGAGUGGGCACAUCACUAGUUAAAAUUUUGACCUCUCCAAACCCACUUUUCUCAAUUUUCUCAACAAGAUUUUCACCCUCCGAAAUAUUGGGACGCCUUCUACAUAAAGUUGACUCUUCUCCAGUCCCUUUAUCAUCAAUCUUAACUUUACUAAACUAGGAAUCAAUAGAAGAAACACCAAUCAUUUUAAGAUCUUCAGCACUUUUGCGAAAGUAAUCACUAGAAAACGCUUUUUCUAAAAAAAUUCUUUUAGCUCUAAGCAUAGCGGUUCUUUUCUUACUUUCAUCCAUAGAAACAUAAAGAGCUUUAAUUGAUUUAUCAACCUUAGGCACAAAAAAUUUCAUCUUGAGAUUUUCCACAUCAUGAGCAAUUCUAUCAACACUUAUAGACAAAUCAUCAAUCUUACUCAACUUUUCUUCUAUGAAAGUGUUGAAAACUUUUUGCGUGUUGAUAAAUUCUUUAAUAUUAUUCUCAAGAUCAGAGGUGUUCCUAUUAUUAUUAUAAGAUUGAUUUCCAUAGGAAUUACCAUAAUUAUUAGAGGAAUUACUAGGAAAAGGCUUAGGAUUAAAAUUACCUCUAUAAUCAUUGUUAUUGAAAUUAUUUCAAGAGAUAAAAUUCACAUCUAUGGCAUCCCUAUUUUGCUCAAUCAAAGUGGACAAAGGCAUAUCGUUGAAAUCAAUAGGAGCACUUUUACUAGCAACAAUUUCAUAAGAGCAUCAACUUUUUCACUCAAAGAAGAAAUUUCUUCAACCGAAUUAACCUUUUACUAGUAGGAGCUCUUUCGGUAUGCCAUUGCGAAUAACUUGCCAUGAUAUUAUCAAGCAAUUUGGUGGAUUCACCCAAAGUAAUUUCCAUAAAACUACCACCCGCAGCGGAAUCUAAAAGAUUACGAGAAACAAAAUUCAACCCUGCAUAAAAAAUUUGUAUGAUCAUCCAAAGAUUUAACCCAUGAGUUGGGCAAUUCCUUAGCAUCAUUUUCAUCCUUUCCAAGAUUGUGCAACAUGCUCAUGUUCAAGUUGCUUGAAAUUCAUGAUUUGGGUUCUAAGGGAAAUAAUUUUUGCGAGCGGAAAAUACUUAGUGAUAGAAGCAUCUUUGCACUUAUUCCAAGAAUCGAUACUAUUGCGAGGCAAAGAAGAGAACCAAAUUUUUGCAGAAUCAUGCAAAGAAAACGGAAAUAAUUUGAUCUUCACCACAUCAUUGUCCACAUCUUUUUUCUUUUGCAUAUCACAUAAUUCCACGAAGGUAUUAAGAUGGGAUGCGGCAUCCUCAUUAGGAGUACCGAAAAAUUGAUCUUUCAUAACAAGAUUCAGCAAAGCAGUAUUAAUAUCACAAGACUCCGCACUAGUGGAGGGAGGAGCAAUCGGAGUGCCAAUAAAAUCUUUGUUGUUGGUAUUUGAGAAAUCACAUAACUUGGUGUUAUCUUGAGUCAUGAGAACUACACAACAAGAUUGCACUCAAAAACAGAUCCAUCAAAAAACGGCGAACGGAAAAAGAGGGGCGAAUAAAACAGCAAUUUUUUGUGAAGUGGGGGAGAGGAAAACGAGAGGCAAAUGGCAAAUAAUGUAAAUUGCGAGGAGAUGAGAUUUGUGAUUAGGAACCUGGUAUAUGUUGAAGAUCCUCCCCGGCAACGGCGCCUGAAAUGGCUAGUUGAUGGGGGACUAUCUUGACUUGAUUCUCCCCGGCAACGGCACCAGAAAUUCCUUUUGAUGUCGUUUGAAGCUACGUCGGUAUUUCCCCAAAGAGGAAGGGAUCAUGCAGCAUAGCGGCAGUAGGUAUUUCCCUCAGAAAUGAAACCAAGGUUAUCGAACCAGUAGGAGAACCAAGCAACACAACGUAAACAGCCCCUACACACAAAUAACAACACCUCGCAACCCGACGUGUUAAAGGGAUUGUCAAUCCCUUUCGGGUAACAGCGCCAGAAACGGUGCGUGGAUGGGAGAAAGUUGUAAUAGAUUGAAUAAGUAGAUCGCAAAUAAAAUAAAGUGCAGCAAAGUAUUUUUGUAUUUUUGGUUUAAUAGAUCUGAAAAUAAAUGCAAGGGAAAAGUAGAUCGCAAAGGCACAUAUAUGAGAAAGAGACCCGGGGGACGUAGGUUUCACUAGUGGCUUCUCUCAAGAAAAAUAGCAAACGGUGGGUAAACAAAUUACUGUUGGGCAAUUGAUAGAACUUCAAAUAAUCAUGAUGAUAUCCAGGCAAUGAUCUUUAUAUAGGCAUCACGUCCAAGAUUAGUAGACCAACUCCUGCCUGCAUCUACUACUAUUACUCCACACAUCGACUGCUAUCCAGCAUGCAAUGGAGUACUGCAAUAAGAACAAUGACAUGAUGUAGACAAGAUCUAUCUAUGUAGAGAUAGACCCUAUCGUUUUAUCCUUAGUAGCAACGAUACAUACGUGUCGGUUCCCCUUCUGUCACUGGGAUCAAGCACCGUAAGAUCGAACCCACUACAAAGCACCUCUUCCCAUUGCAAGAUAAAUAGAUCAAGUUGGCCAAACAAAACCCAAAUACCGGAGAAUAAAUACAAGGCUAUAAGCAAUCAUGCAUAUAAGAGAUCAAAGAAACUCAAAUACUUCCAUGGAUAUAAAAAAGAUAUAACUGAUCAUAAACUCAAAGUUCAUCAGAUCCCAACAAACACACUGCAAAAGAGUUACAUCAUAUGUAUCUCCAAGAGACCAUUGUAUUGAGAAUUCAGCGAGAGAGAGGAAGCCAUCUAGCCACUAACUACGGACCCGAAGGUCUAUAAAGAACUACUCACGCAUCAUCGGAGAGGCACCAACGGAGGUGGUGAACCCCAUCCGAGAUGGUGUCUAGAUUGGAUCUGGUGGUUCUGGACUCUGCGGCGGCUGGAUCAAUAUUUCGUCGACUCCCCUAGGGUUUUGGGAAUAUUGGGGUAUUUAUAGAGCAAAGAGGCGGUCCGGGGGUACCCGAGGUGGGCACAACCCACCAGGGCGCGCCUGGGCCUCCUGGCGCGCCCUGGUAGGUUGUGCCCUCCUCGGGGCACCCCCCAGGCGCAGCCAGGGCCCAUUAUGUUCCUUCUGGUCCAAAAAAAUCUCCGUGAAGUUUCGUUGCAUUUGGACUCUGUCUGAUAUUGAUUUCCUGUGAUGUAAAAAAACAUGCAGAAAACAGCAACUGGCACUUGGCACUAUGUCAAUAUAAAAUGACUAUAAAAUGAUUAUAAAACAUCCAAGAUUAAUAAUAUAACAUCAUGGAACAAUCAAAAAUUAUAGAUACAUUGGAGACGUAUCAAUCACUUUGCUGCAGAUAAUUAAUCUCCAGGUGUGGUUGAGUUGACAACUCAGCUGCUAAUACUUACAAAUAUUCUUUGGCUCCCCUUGUGUCGAAUCUAUAGAUUUGGGUUGAAUACUCUACCCUCGAAAACUAUUGCGAUCCCAUAUACUUGUGGGUUAUCAUUAACCAUCAACACUUUAUGCUAUUUCUUGAUUUCUACCUUCGCUGAUUUUAGCAUCACGAAGAGCUUGGGAAUCGUUUUCGUCAUUCCUUGCAUAUUAUAGUUCAUCACGAAGUUCUAGUAACUUAGUGAUAGUGACUAGAGAACUUUGUCAAUCACUAUCUUAUCUGGAAGAUUAACUCCCACUUGAUUCAAGCGAUUGUAGUACCUAGACAUUCUGAGCACAUGCUCACUAGCUGACCUAUUCUCCUCCAUAUUCUCACUUGUCAGAGGUCUCGUACCUCUUAACAUAGACAUGAGUCUGAAAUAUCAUUUUUAGCUUCUUGGAACAUCUCAUAUGCUCCAUGGCAUUCAAAACAUUUUUGAAGUCCCGGUUCUAAGCCGUAAAGCAUGGUGCACUAAACUAUCAAGUAGUCAUCAUACCGAGCUUGCAAAACAUUCAUAACAUCUGUAUCUGCUCCUGCAAUAGAUUCGUCACGUAGUGGUGCAUCAAGGACAUAAUUCUUCUCUGCCGCAAUGAGGAUAAUCCUCAGAUCACGGACCCAGUCCGCAUCAUUGCUACUAUCAUCUUUCAAUUUAGUUUUCUCUAGGAACAUAUAACAUGGGAGCUAUACGCGAGCUAUUGAUCUACAACAUAGAUAUCAGGACUAAGUUCAUGAUAAAUUAAGUUCAAUUAAUCAUAUUACUUAAGGACUCCCACUUAGAUAGACAUCCCUCGAGUCAUCUAAAAGAUCACGUGAUCCAAAUCAACUAAACCAUGUCCGAUCAUCACGUGAGAUGGAGUAGUCUUCAAUGGUGAACAUCUCUAUGUUGAUCAUACCUACAAUAUGAUUCAUGUUCGACCUUUCGGUCUCCAGUGUUCUGAGGCCAUGUCUGUACAUGCUAGGCUCGUCAAGUUUAACCUGAGUAUUCCGCAUGUGCAAAACUGUCUUGCACCCGGUGUAUGUGAACGUAGAGCCUAUCCCGCCCGAUCAUCACGUGGUGUCUCAGCACGACGAACUAUCGCAACGGUGCAUACUCAGGGAGAACACUUAUACCUUGAAAUUUAAUUAAGGGGUCAUCUUAUAAUGCUACCGCCGUACUAAGCAAAAUAAGAUGCAUAAUAGAUAAAAAUCACAUGCAAUCAAAAUAUGUGACAUGAUAUGGCCAUCAUCAUCUUGUGCCUUUGAUCUCCAUCUCCAAAGCACCGUCAUGAUCUCCAUCAUCACCGGCUUAACACCUUGAUCUCCAUCGUAGAGUUGCGGUCGUCUCGCCAACUAUUGCUUCUACAACUAUCGCUAACGCAUAGUGAUAAAGUAAAGCAAUUACAUGGUGUUUGCAUUUCAUACAAUAAAGCGACAACCAUAAGGCUCCUGCCAGUUGCCGAUAACUUUUACAAAACAUGAUCAUCUCAUACAAUAACGUAUAUCACAUCAUGUCUUGACCAUAUUGUGACACCCAAGUUUUUAUUUGGAUUUUUCAAAAAAAAAAGAUUUUUAUUUGACUUGAAGGGAGUGAUUUAAAAAAUUUCUUCAAGAGAACUCUCACUCUCAAAUAUUUUUAUUUAUGGCAAAAAAAUUAUUUGGAUUCACCCAAGAUCUGCCUUUGACCUUGGAGGUUCUUGCUUUUCUUUUGGACUCAAGACAAAAUGGUUUUCAUUUGGGAAAAUAACUUUUGUAAAUCUUUUUGAAAUUUGCACUAUGGCUUUUGGAAAGCCUUUUGCCACUUUCAACAAUUCCUCUUUGCCAUGGCCCAAGUGCAAAUGAUCUCUCCUAACUCCUCCCUCACCUCUGGAUCAUGAUUUACAUCAAAUCCAGCAAGUUGGACCUCCCCAUGUAUUUAUUUUCCAUUCAAAUAUUUUCUGCCUUCUAUUCUACCACUUGGAGAUUUACAAAGGAACUCCUCUUUCUGUUUUGAUUUUUGGCCCCAAACUUCUUUCCCCUCCUAGUCCUUUGAACCCUCAACCUGGAACCAUGAAGAUCCACUGGUCUCCAGUUCAAAAAUUUCAAACUACAUCAGCUGCAAGUUUGGACCAGAUUUGCCAAAUUUGGUGAAAUUCAUUCAAAACCUUCUCCAAAAAUUCCAAGUAAAUUCAUGCAGCCCCUGGGUGCUUUGAGUGAUCAUCUCACCAAGUUACAGCUCCAGAAAAAUUCAUCUCUUUACCAAAACCUACUGUCGAACACCUGCAGUGCAUGGUCAUGUCAAGUUUCAGUUAAGUUCAGACAACACUGCAGUGGCUGCUGUCGUUUUCUUCAGAAACGGGCGUCGAUCUCGCCAGUACCCUCGCGUCGCCUUGCUCCUCGUCCUCGCCCUCUCGUUCCUGCACCGCACGAGUGCCUGGCAUCUUGCGGGCGUCAGCGACGAGCAGCAGAAGGUGCGCCGCCCCGUGACCGACGCCGGCGGCGGCUUUGCGGACGCCAGUGGGAGACACGGCGCCGCCGACUCCACCCAGCGCCGCCCAAACCACCGGAGCCCGCCGCGUGGCCGUCCACUCCCCCGAAUGCGCUGCCGCCCUCGUCGUGAACCCCAGGGCGCGGAGCGCGCUCUCUGCCGCCGUUGAGCUCGUGCGGUCACCUCACCGUGGACAGACGCCAUUACGCCAAGACUAACCACGUUCAGCUGCAAAUCAAGUCCAGCAACAUCCACUGAUGCUUCUCGGCCGCUCAAACCCCCUGCCAACCCACUGCUCCGCCGUAAUCGCUCGCCGGAGGUUCUCCGUUCACGGCCACCCCGUUGAGCUGCCUAUAAAUAGGGGCCCCGAGCUUCAACUCGAGCACCCACCAGCCCUACACUUCCCCUAGAGCACGCCCAGCCACUGGAAGAGCCGCGAGGGGGUCUCCUUCCUCGACUCCGGCCGCCGCGAUCCGCCACGGGGUCCAGCCCGAUUCGCCCCCGUGUGUGCUCCGCAACCCCCAUUCUCUUACCAGUAGCUUCUCCUUGCAUCACCCGUUCUGACCCGCGCCUCAAUUCGUACUUUGCAGCCCUCCACCGGAGUUCCCCAACCUCACCCGAACCGCCGUCCGCCGGAGAUAGUGUCGCCGUCGACGUGGUGCUCCCCGUUGGACGAGUCCACCACCCACCGACGCGGAAGAAGACACUGAAGCUCUUGGUACCCUCCGUUUCUCCUAACUCGCCGUGGUUCGACGCCGGCGUCCACCGCCGUCUUCGGGCGCCGGCGAGCUUUCAAACCUGACAUGCGGGCCCCGCGUGUCAGCCUCUGUUUUACUUCCCCGAACCGUUUUCUGUUGGCACCUUCGGGCAAGAUACGUUUUCUCCUUGCGCUUGCGCAUUCCCAGCCGAAGCGUUUUCUGUUUUCUCUGUUAAAACCCUGGAACUUUUCUGUUUCAUUACAGAAAGGUCCCUGGACAGAAACCUUUAUAACUUUUUAAUGAAAAGGUAUUUUUGAGUGAUCCUUUUUCUGACAAUCUUCAAAUUUUGUCUAGUUUUUUAUGGGAUUUAUUUGAAAAAUAUUUGGCAAGGUUUCUGUGCAUGUGUUGGUUUUCACGUUAGUACCCCGUUUCGUGAUUGCCGUAGGUUCCGGGAGAGGGGACGGAGCCGCGAACUUCGCCGAGCUAGACUCCGACUUCUCCGAACCAGGCAAGCAUGUUUGAACAUUUGAUAUGGCAGAUGUUUUGCAUGUUCAUGUGAAAGUUUGUGCGUGGCAUGUGAGCGUCGAUAAAUACCUCGUUGCUUGUAAGGCAACGACCCGGUUGUUCCGAAGUGGCGAUGACCUCUGAUGAGAGGUGGCCUAAUCAUGUAGUGACAUGAAGGGCAGCAAGGUGGUAUUGUUGUAGCAUGCCAGCCUUGCGUCAGCCGACUCUCUUCGGCGUUAACGUGGUUGGAGCCACGUUAUCGAUCUUUCCCCGCAUGUUCCAAAGUUGCGAUGACCUCUGAUGAGAGGUGGCCUAAUCAUGUGGUGACAUGAAGGGCAGCAAGGUGGUACUGUUGUAGCAUGCCAGCCUUGUGUCAUCCGACUUUUCCGACGUUAACAUGGUUGGAGCCGUGUUAUCAUCCCUUCCCCUUUCCGUGCUACCACAUGUCUCAUUGCCAGGAUACGGUUUAGUAAGUUGGUAACCUCUUUCCGUGUACACACCAAACAGAGAGGCCGGGAUGAUGGUACCUUGGCCCAGGAUUAAAGCCAGUCAUUCGGUCAGGGGGCAUGGGUGUUUCCGGUUGGGACCGAGAGGGGGGCACCCCCUUAUAGCGCGCGUAUAGAAAUUUGAUCCCAUGCUACGCGAGGUUGUAGCCUCCCCGACUCAGGGUUUUUCCUGAAUGUUGCCGAGGGUGAUCCCUGGCUUCGGAUGGUUAAAUUGGGUGUGUACUGGUUAGACGUGUUCCUUCCAGAACACCGUAGACGGAACUAGUCCCCGUGACUACUGAAACCCGUUGGCUGUGGUUAAGUACAAACUCUGCAGAGUCAAUUCUUUCCAAAUCAUCGUAUCCAUAGUCAGUAAAUGUAGAUUUUUAUAUCCAAAUCUAUCCGUGUGAAAAACUUACCCCCGGUGAACAAGCUCAAGCGGUAAAGUCUCAGAUUUAUUGUUAUUCCUGUGGAUGGACCAACAUUAUAUUUGUCUCGUGCUUGUGAUAAGUUAUAUUCCCGAACUAUUGUAUUGUUGUGUUACAAUAUAAGCCCUUUAUGCGAUGUCGCUCAGACGUCCGACUGUGGCAUGUACUGUCUUUAUUUUCUGUUAUAAGCCCUUUAUGUGGUGUCGCCCCGACGCCCGACUGCGGCAUUAUUAUUCCGCAUUUUCCGCUCGAGGAGUCUUUCAGACACUCGUUUGGCACCAGUAUUAUUAUUCCGCAUUUUCCGCUCGAGGAGUCUUUCAGACACUCGUUUGGCACCAGUAUUAUUAUUCCGCAUUUUCCUCUCGAGGAGUCUUUCAGACACUCGUUUGGCACCAGUAUUAUUAUUCCGCAUUUUCCUCUCGAGGAGUCUUUCAGACACUCGUUUGGCACCAGUAUUAUUAUUCCGCAUUUUCCGCUCGAGGAGUCUUUCAGACACUCGUUUGGCACCUGUAUUAUUAUUCCGCAUUUUCCUCUCGAGGAGUCUUUCAGACACUCGUUUGGCACCAGUAUUACUAUUCUGCAGUUUCCGCUCGAGGCGUCAUUCAGACCCUCGCUUGGCACCCAGUAUUUAUUAUCUCUAUGUCUGAUCGCACUGGUUAACUUAUUCAUGUGCUUCAUGUUUGCAUUUGUUAUACCUUAUGUCCGAACUGUCUUGCGAGUACUUUCAUAGUACUCACCUGGCUUGUUGAUUUGGCCAGAUGUUGACGAAGGCGAUCUCUUGGAUGAAGAGUUUGAUAGCGCGUCCGACGCCUAGAGGAGUCCCAGUCAGUCCUGCGCGAUCCCGGAUAUUGGUCACUUAUGUUGUUUACGCUUCCGCCACCCGCAAUAAGUCUUCUCGAGCCUCACUCCGACGCUCGAAGAGCUGUAGUCUUCUGGAGUCAUAUCACUCGCCCCGCGGUGAUAUCUCCACCAUCGUUAUUAUCGUAAGUUAGUAGUUUGCCACCCUAUCCGCCGUAUUGUUUUAUCGGCGUGCAUGUAAUAAAUUGUUGGGCAGUCUUUGCUCAACUUUGUAUUAUAUUUAGUACUCCUGGUACUUUUUCUUCUGUGACCAAUGUUUUGUCUAUCAGUGAGAAGGAAUUCUUCCUCGCUGGUCCGUAUCAGGGAUUGGUUUCUCAAUAAUUAUUUUAUUGAAAAACCGGUCGUGACAAGCUUGGUAUCAGAGCCAGGCUGACUGUAGGAAGCCACUAGGUGCGAUCGCUAAUCGGUUAUUAGCAUCUUUAGUGCUUCUUCAGCAUUUUGCAAUUGUAGCGAUUUUCUGUUGGUCAUCAUAAAAUUUAUGACAUGACUACUCAGAAUUUUUGCCUACUUUUGUAGAUGGCUGGCAGCGGCUGUGAGAAUCGGGUGUUCACCAACGUGCCCGAGGGGUUUGUCAAACUCCUCGUCUCCAUCACCAAACUCGCAAUCGGGCCAGCAGCUCGCCCGGAGUUCACCCUCUAUCAGCACAAGCUCAGUGACGACGUGUCUAUGCACCAAGCCGUGGUGCAGUUCAGGGGAGGACGAUCUGCUGCUCGCCAUUUCCGUUUUACGGGAAGGGCCAUGCCUACGGAGAGGCAUGCUAUGCAGAUGGCUGCCCGCGAGGCGAUAGCUCGCCUUCGGGACAUCCUUCCUACGAUGAAGACUCGUCGCUACCGCUACCUCCCAUGCCAUGUGCCUUACACCAGCCACUAUGCGUUUGCCUGCCAUCGGGGAGAAAGAGACGAAGCCAUCGAGAUGGUUGUGGAGUAUCUCAAGGCUCUGGAGGAGUCUUUCGACAACCUCGUAGAUGAUCUUGUGGCUGCCCGCAUGGACCUAGUCCGGGGCGGUCCUGCCAGCCGGAAGGAGCUUCUCCACACGGCGCCGCCUCUGACAUUCGUCUCGUCUUCAGCCUCGUAUGCACCGGCCGUUUUGGCCACUGCUCGCCGUCUGCCUACCACUGAGGAGUUCGACCGAGUCAUUGCUCCUACUCCAGUCAGAGCCGCACCGCCUGCCGCACGCGCUCUACCACCAGUCGCCCCCGCGCCAUCACCGCAGCGCAGCAUCACGCGCCAGGAGCCAGCUAGAGAGGAGGAGGUUGAUUCUCCUGGACCGCUGAGCCUUGCCAUCGGCAAGGGGAAGGAGAUCCUCACCAUCUCCGACUGAGAGCACCGAGUAGCCGCGUGUUAUGUCUGCUUGUAUGAUGUGCUGUUUUAUCUGUACGCUAGUUUGUAUUGGUGUGUUUGCUGCCUUCCGGAGUAGUACGCUAGUUUUAAAUAACAUGUCAGGAUUGUGUACACGCAUCCUGAGUGUUGUAUCUUGUGUUUGCUUUCGCAUGUAAGAUUUUAUGUUAAGCACUUCUUCUCCGUGAAAAUCAUUUGUGUUGCCUUUGCAAGGGUUUUCCUCGUGCUACACAGUUUUUCUCAUGGGUUUUGCAAAUGAUACCCCCAGACUGGAAAAAUGUCUCGCCCAUGGACUCGCUCCAUGCCCAAUCAGCCAGAAGAGGUUUACGGGACACAGACCAGCAACAAUUUCACUCAGGGUCAGUCCAGCCAACAAGACAGCGAAGCAGCACUGUCUCAAGUAUGUCGUCUCUUCGAGCAAAGCCAGCAACAGCACCAAGAGAUGAUGAACCAUGUCAUCAACAUGGGAAACCACCGUGAACACUAUCAACCACAUUCCAAGUUAUCCGAGUUGCAGAAGACUCGCCCCUCAACUUUUGCUCACACCGAUAGGCCGCUGGAAGCCGAUGAUUGGCUUCGUGAGAUUGAAAGGAAACUGAUUAUUGCUCAAUGCUCAGAUCAUGAGAAAGUGCUUUAUGCACCACACUACCUUACUGGAGCAGCCGCAGCAUGGUGGGAGAACUUCCUACACAUGCAUCCCAGGGAACACGACAUCACCUGGGAAGAGUUCAAGGAAGGUUUCCGUGGGGCACACAUCCCCAGGAGCAUCCUAAAGAUCAAGAAAAGAGAGUUUGAUGACCUGAAGCAAAGAGGCAUGUCCGUCACAGAAUACAACGGCCAGUUUACCCAACUGUCUCGUUAUGCCUACGACGAGCACAUGACAGAAAACAAGAAGAUGGAAAAAUUCCUGGACGGCCUGGCACCAGCACUAAGAUGCCAGCUGAUUGUACACACCUUUCCGGAUUUUAAGACGCUGGUGGACAAGGCCAUCACCUUGGAAAAUGAGCGCCGUAGUCUGGAAGAUAUCCGCAAGCGGAAGAGGGACAAGACGACUCUUGCCCGCAGCAACCGAGGCAAGGCUGAGGUCCCAAGGACAGACACAAGGAGAUCCACGACUACUGAGCCAAGACCCGUCGGACAUUUUCAUGCCAGAGACAAGGAGUUCACAUACCGUCCGGGAGUCACCUGCUAUGCUUGCGGUCAGCAAGGGCACUAUGCUAAACAGUGCCCGAAGCCAAGAGACUCGGCACCCAAGCCGAACAAUGGUGGAAACAAUCCCGCCCCCAAGCGCAACAACUUCAAUCCCAACAACAACCACAGGAAGGGUCACUUGAACCAUGUGACCAGGGAAGAAGCGCAGAAUGCCCCAGACAUCGUGCUCGGUACGUUCCCUGUCAACACAGUACCUGCCACGGUUUUGUUUGAUUCUGGUGCUUCCCAUUCGUUCGUUUCGAAGAGUUUUGUUUCGCAACAUGGUUUUCCGAUACUCCCCUUGGAGAAGUCUAUGAUCAUCAAGUCCCCCAGAAACAAGCAAAUUGCUCAGGGUUACUGCCAAGGAGUGGUCAUUGAGUUCGAAGGACUACCAUUCCACGCGAAUCUCAUCGUAUUGGAAAGUAAAGGACUGGAUGUCAUUUUAGGAAUGGACUGGUUGACCACCAACAAAGGAUUCAUUGACUGCUUCAAUCGGACAGUGAUUCUCACUCACCAUCACGGCAAGACUAUAAGAGUUUCCGCUCAAGAAAGGCCACGAUCACAGAAACCAAAACUGAACAAGAUGGACAUCGCAGAAUUAAGAAAAGUGCCAGUGGUAUGCGAGUUCCCUGAUGUGUUCCCGGAAGAACUACCAGGUAUGCCACCAGACCGAGAGAUCGAAUUCAGCAUCGAGCUAGCACCUGGCACCGCUCCCAUUUAUAAGAAGCCGUAUAGAAUGGCACCCUCAGAGUUGGUGGAGUUGAAGAAGCAGAUAAAGGAAUUACUGGACAAGGGGUUUAUACGAGCCAGCUCCUCACCAUGGGGUUCGCCCGUAUUGUUCGCCAAGAAGAAGGAUGGGACACUGAGACUGUGCAUAGACUAUCGAGCCCUCAAUAUGGUCACCAUCAAAAACAAAUACCCGAUGCCACGGAUAAAUGAUUUGUUUGACCAGCUCGCACAAGCUAAAGUAUUUUCAAAGAUUGAUUUGAGAUCAGGAUACCAUCAACUGAAGGUACGAACAGAGGAUAUCCCCAAGACAGCAUUCACUUCCAGAUAUGGGUUAUACGAGUUCACAGUGAUGCCUUUUGGUCUAACAAACGCCCCCGCAAUUUUCGUCCACCUCAUGAACAAAGUGUUCAUGAAAUUCAUGGACAAAUUUGUGGUGGUAUUCAUUGACGACAUUCUGGUUUACUCAAGGACACCAGAAGAACAUGCUGAGCACCUCAGAAUUGUUUUGGGAGAAUUGAGGAAACAUCAGUUGUACGCCAAAUUUAGCAAAUGCGAAUUUUGGCUAAGACAAGUUGGUUUCUUGGGCCAUAUUUUGAACCAAGAAGGCGUGGCCGUAGACCCAGAAAAAGUCAAGGCCAUACUAGACUGGAAGCCGCCCGCGAAUGUUACAGAUGUGCGGAGUUUCCUAGGAAUGGCAGGGUAUUACAGGAGGUUUAUUGAAGGAUUCUCCACGGUGGCCAAACCUAUAACACAGUUACUCAAGAAGGACAAGAAAUUUGUAUGGACAGAAGCAUGCGAGCAGAGCUUCCAAGAACUCAAGAAAAAGUUGACAACCGCACCAGUCUUAACUGUGCCAGACAUACACAAGAGCUUUGAGGUGUAUUGUGACGCGUCCCGAAAAGGUCUCGGAUGUGUACUAAUGCAGGAUGGCAAAUUUGUCGCAUAUGCCUCCAGGCAACUGCGAAAGCAUGAGGAAAAUUACCCAACACAUGACUUGGAGCUAGCUGCGGUCAUACAUGCACUCAAGGAGUGGAGGCACUUUCUGUUGGGAAAUCGUUGUGAAAUAUAUACGGACCAUAAGAGCCUCAAAUAUAUCUUCACACAGCCAGAGCUGAAUUUACGCCAACGACGCUGGUUGGAACUGGUCAAAGACUAUGACGUCGGCAUCCACUACCACCCAGGAAAAGCAAAUGUAGUGGCCGAUGCCCUUAGUCGAAACCCCAGCACAGACAGUGAUGGUCAGCAAAACUUGAGGCCUGAGUUUCAGCGAGAGUUCACUAGGCUCAACAUAAUGUUAGUCUCCGAGGGCACCGUAUCAAACCUGGAGAUACAACCCACCUUGAUGGAACGAAUUAAGAAGGCCCAACAGGGACAUCCCAGCAUCGAAGGCAUAAAGAAGAAAAUGAACCGUAGUAAGACUUCAGAAUUCGUCACAGACAGUGAAGGAACAUUAUGGUACCAGGACAGACUUUGCGUACCUAACAUUGAGGAACUCAAGCAACAGAUCUUGGCGGAGAGCCACACCGCUCCAUACUCGAUACAUCCUGGAGGAACCAAAAUGUACAAGGACAUUCAGGAAAGAUUUUGGUGGCACGGUAUGAAAAGAGAUAUAGCCACACUUAUUGCUUGUUGCGAUUCAUGUCGGCGUAUCAAAGCCGAGCAUCAAAAGCCAGCAGGGCUACUCCAGCCUAACAGAAUACCGGAGUGGAAAUGGGAUGAAAUAGGAAUGGACUUCAUUGUCGGAUUACCCCGAUCACAACGCGGAAAUGACGCCAUAUGGGUCAUCACAGACCGACUAACCAAGGUUGCUCAUUUCAUUCCCGUGAAGACUACCUACUCCACACAGAGACUGGCAAAACUUUAUCUCUCCCGUAUAGUUUGCUUGCAUGGAGUCCCAAGGACUAUAAUAUCGGACCGAGGCACCCAAUUCGUCUCCAAAUUUUGGGAACACCUAUAACAAGCUCUGGGCACACAACUGGCUUUCAGUACAGCAUACCACCCUCAGACAGAUGGACAAACAGAACGUGUAAACCAAAUCCUGGAGGAUAUGCUAAGAGCCUGUGUGCUCACCUAUGGAAUCAGUUGGGAGGAGAGUUUGCCGUAUGCCGAAUUUGCGUACAACAACAGUUACCAAGCCAGCUUGCAAAUGGCACCCUUUGAAGCAUUGUACGGACGGAGGUGUCAUACCCCAUUGAAUUGGUCAGAAACAGGUGACAGCCGUAUCUUCGGCCCAGAUAUGCUUAAGGAGGCCGAGGAAAAAGUUAAACAAAUCAGGGACAGACUCAAGACAGCACAGAGCCGACAAAAGAGCUACUAUGAUCAGAAGCAUCGUGAGGUCAGCUUUGAACCUGGUGAUUCCGUAUACCUCCGAGUAUCUCCUAUGAGGGGUCUGCAACGGUUCAAAAUAAAGGGGAAACUAGCCCCAAGGUUUAUUGGACCAUUUUGCGUAAAGGCACGAAGAGGCACAGUAGCCUACCAACUAGACCUCCCCAAGGAGCUGUCAGACGUCCAUGACGUAUUCCACGUCUCGCAGUUGAGGAAGUGUGUGAGUAACCCGGAGAAACAUGUACCCCAUGAGGACAUUGAUGUGCAACCAGAUCUCACCUACAGACAAAGGCCAGUAAAGAUUUUAGAAGAGUCUGAACGGAGGACCCGUCAGAAAACGACAAGAUUUUUCAAGGUUCAGUGGAGCAACCACACUGAGGAUGAAGCUACAUGGGAAAGGGAGGAUUUCCUUCGAGCAGAGUAUCCAUAUCUGUUUGAGGAUCAGCAGAAAUCUCGAGGACGAGAUUUUUCCUAAGGGGGUAGGCGUUGUGACACCCAAGUUUUUAUUUGGAUUUUUCAAAAAAAAAGAUUUUUAUUUGACUUGAAGGGAGUGAUUUAAAAAAUUUCUUCAAGAGAACUCUCACUCUCAAAUAUUUUUAUUUAUGGCAAAAAAUUUAUUUGGAUUCACCCAAGAUCUGCCUUUGACCUUGGAGGUUCUUGCUUUUCUUUUGGACUCAAGACAAAAUGGUUUUCAUUUGGGAAAAUAACUUUUGUAAAUCUUUUUGAAAUUUGCACUAUGGCUUUUGGAAAGCCUUUUGCCACUUUCAACAAUUCCUCUUUGCCAUGGCCCAAGUGCAAAUGAUCUCUCCUAACUCCUCCCUCACCUCUGGAUCAUGAUUUACAUCAAAUCCAGCAAGUUGGACCUCCCCAUGUAUUUAUUUUCCAUUCAAAUUCUAUUCAAAUAUUUUCUGCCUUCUAUUCUACCACUUGGAGAUUUACAAAGGAACUCCUCUUUCUGUUUUGAUUUUUGGCCCCAAACUUCUUUCCCUCCUAGUCCUUUGAACCCUCAACCUGGAACCAUGAAGAUCCACUGGUCUCCAGUUCAAAAAUUUCAAACUACAUCAGCUGCAAGUUUGGACCAGAUUUGCCAAAUUUGGUGAAAUUCAUUCAAAACCUUCUCCAAAAAUUACAAGUAAAUUCAUGCAGCCCCUGGGUGCUUUGAGUGAUCAUCUCACCAAGUUACAGCUCCAGCAAAAUUCAUCUCUUUACCAAAACCUACUGUCGAACACCUGCAGUGCAUGGUCAUGUCAAGUUUCAGUUAAGUUCAGACAACACUGCAGUGGCUGCUGUCGUUUUCUUCAGAAACGGGCGUCGAUCUCGCCAGUACCCUCGCGUCGCCUUGCUCCUCGUCCUCGCCCUCUCGUUCCUGCACCGCACGAGUGCCUGGCAUCUUGCGGGCGUUGGCGACGAGCAGCAGAAGGUGCGCCGCCCCGUGACCGACGCCGGCGGCAGCUUUGCGGACGCCAGCGGGAGACACGGCGCCGCCGACUCCACCCAGCGCCGCCCAAACCACCGGAGCCCGCCGCGUGGCCGUCCACUCCCCCGAAUGCGCUGCCGCCCUCGUCGUGAACCCCAGGGCGCGGAGCGCGCUCUCUGCCACCGUUGAGCUCGUGCGGUCACCUCACCGUGGACAGACGCCGUUACGCCGAGACUAACCACGUUCAGCUGCAAAUCAAGUCCAGCAACAUCCACUGAUGCUUCUCGACCGCUCAAACCCCCUGCCAACCCACUGCUCCACCGUAAUCGCUCGCCGGAGGUUCUCCGUUCACGGCCACCCCGUCGAGCUGCCUAUAAAUAGGGGCCCCGAGCUUCAACUCGAGCACCCACCAGCCCUACACUUCCCCUAGAGCACGCCCAGCCACUGGAAGAGCCGCGAGGGGGUCUCCUUCCUCGACUCCGGCCGCCGCGAUCCGCCACGGGGUCCAGCCCGAUUCGCCCCCGUGUGUGCUCCGCAACCCCCAUUCUCUUACCAGUAGCUUCUCCUUGCAUCACCCGUUCUGACCCGCGCCUCAAUUCGUACUUUGCAGCCCUCCACCGGAGUUCCCCAACCUCACCCGAACCGCCGUCCGCCGGAGAUAGUGUCGCCGUCGACGUGGUGCUCCCCGUUGGACGAGUCCACCACCCACCGACGCGGAAGAAGACACUGAAGCUCUUGGUACCCUCCGUUUCUCCUAACUCGCCGUGGUUCGACGCCGGCGUCCACCGCCGUCUUCGGGCGCCGGCGAGCUUUCAAACCUGACAUGCGGGCCCCGCGUGUCAGCCUCUGUUUUACUUCCCCGAACCGUUUUCUGUUGGCACCUUCGGGCAAGAUACGUUUUCUCCUUGCGCUUGCGCAUUCCCAGCCGAAGCGUUUUCUGUUUUCUCAGUUAAAACCCUGGAACUUUUCUGUUUCAUUACAGAAAGGUCCCUGGACAGAAACCUUUAUAACUUUUUAAUGAAAAGGUAUUUUUGAGUGAUCCUUUUUCUGACAAUCUUCAAAUUUUGUCUAGUUUUUUAUGGGAUUUAUUUGAAAAAUAUUUGGCAAGGUUUCUGUGCAUGUGUUGGUUUUCACGUUAGUACCCCGUUUCGUGAUUGCCGUAGGUUCCGGGAGAGGGGACGGAGCCGCGAACUUCGCCGAGCUAGACUCCGACUUCUCCGAACCAGGCAAGCAUGUUUGAACAUUUGAUAUGGCAGAUGUUUUGCAUGUUCAUGUGAAAGUUUGUGCGUGGCAUGUGAGCGUCGAUAAAUACCUCGUUGCUUGUAAGGCAACGACCCGGUUGUUCCGAAGUGGCGAUGACCUCUGAUGAGAGGUGGCCUAAUCAUGUAGUGACAUGAAGGGCAGCAAGGUGGUACUGUUGUAGCAUGCCAGCCUUGCGUCAGCCGACUCUCUUCGGCGUUAACGUGGUUGGAGCCACGUUAUCGAUCUUUCCCCGCAUGUUCCAAAGUUGCGAUGACCUCUGAUGAGAGGUGGCCUAAUCAUGUGGUGACAUGAAGGGCAGCAAGGUGGUACUGUUGUAGCAUGCCAGCCUUGUGUCAUCCGACUUUUCCGACGUUAACAUGGUUGGAGCCGUGUUAUCAUCCCUUCCCCUUUCCGUGCUACCACAUGUCUCAUUGCCAGGAUACGGUUUAGUAAGUUGGUAACCUCUUUCCGUGUACACACCAAACAGAGAGGCCGGGAUGAUGGUACCUUGGCCCAGGAUUAAAGCCAGUCAUUCGGUCAGGGGGCAUGGGUGUUUCCGGUUGGGACCGAGAGGGGGGCACCCCCUUAUAGCGCGCGUAUAGAAAUUUGAUCCCAUGCUACGCGAGGUUGUAGCCUCCCCGACUCAGGGUUUUUCCUGAAUGUUGCCGAGGGUGAUCCCUGGCUUCGGAUGGUUAAAUUGGGUGUGUACUGGUUAGACGUGUUCCUUCCAGAACACCGUAGACGGAACUAGUCCCCGUGACUACUGAAAUCCGUUGGCUGUGGUUAAGUACAAACUCUGCAGAGUCAAUUCUUUCCAAAUCAUCGUAUCCAUAGUCAGUAAAUGUAGAUUUUUAUAUCCAAAUCUAUCCGUGUGAAAAACUUGCCCCCGGUGAACAAGCUCAAGCGGUAAAGUCUCAGAUUUAUUGUUAUUCCUGUGGAUGGACCAACAUUAUAUUUGUCUCGUGCUUGUGAUAAGUUAUAUUCCCGAACUAUUGUAUUGUUGUGUUACAAUAUAAGCCCUUUAUGCGAUGUCGCUCAGACGUCCGACUGUGGCAUGUACUGUCUUUAUUUUCUGUUAUAAGCCCUUUAUGUGGUGUCGCCCCGACGCCCGACUGCGGCAUUAUUAUUCCGCAUUUUCCGCUCGAGGAGUCUUUCAGACACUCGUUUGGCACCAGUAUUAUUAUUCCGCAUUUUCCGCUCGAGGAGUCUUUCAGACACUCGUUUGGCACCAGUAUUAUUAUUCCGCAUUUUCCUCUCGAGGAGUCUUUCAGACACUCGUUUGGCACCAGUAUUAUUAUUCCGCAUUUUCCGCUCGAGGAGUCUUUCAGACACUCGUUUGGCACCUGUAUUAUUAUUCCGCAUUUUCCUCUCGAGGAGUCUUUCAGACACUCGUUUGGCACCAGUAUUACUAUUCUGCAGUUUCCGCUCGAGGCGUCAUUCAGACCCUCGCUUGGCACCCAGUAUUUAUUAUCUCUAUGUCUGAUCGCACUGGUUAACUUAUUCAUGUGCUUCAUGUUUGCAUUUGUUAUACCUUAUGUCCGAACUGUCUUGCGAGUACUUUCAUAGUACUCACCUGGCUUGUUGAUUUGGCCAGAUGUUGACGAAGGCGAUCUCUUGGAUGAAGAGUUUGAUAGCGCGUCCGACGCCUAGAGGAGUCCCAGUCAGUCCUGCGCGAUCCCGGAUAUUGGUCACUUAUGUUGUUUACGCUUCCGCCACCCGCAAUAAGUCUUCUCGAGCCUCACUCCGACGCUCGAAGAGCUGUAGUCUUCUGGAGUCAUAUCACUCGCCCCGCGGUGAUAUCUCCACCAUCGUUAUUAUCGUAAGUUAGUAGUUUGCCACCCUAUCCGCCGUAUUGUUUUAUCGGCGUGCAUGUAAUAAAUUGUUGGCCAGUCUCUGCUCAACUUUGUAUUAUAUUUAGUACUCCUGGUACUUUUUCUUCUGUGACCAAUGUUUUGUCUAUCAGUGAGAAGGAAUUCUUCCUCGCUGGUCCGUAUCAGGGAUUGGUUUCUCAAUAAUUAUUUUAUUGAAAAACCGGUCGUGACACAUAUCACAUCACAACAUACCCUGCAAAAACAAGUUAGACGUCCUCUACUUUGUUGUUGCAAGUUUUACGUCGCUGCUACGAGCUUCUAGUAAGAACCGUUCUUACCUACGCAUCAAAACCACAAUGGUGAUUUAUCAAGUUUGCUGUUUUAACCUUCAACAAGGAUCUGCCGCAGUCAAAUUCGAUUCAACUAAAGUUGGAGAAACAGACACCCGCCAGCCACCUUUAUGCAAAACUAGUUGCAUGUCUGUCGGUGGAACCGGUCUCAUGAACGUGGUCAUGUAAGGUUAGUCCGGGCCGCUUCAUCCAACAAUACCGCCGAAUCAAAAUACGACAUUGGUGGUAAGCAGUAUGACGAUCACCGCCCACAACUCUUUGUGUUCUACUUGUUCAUAUCAUCUAUGCAUAGACCUGGCUCGGAUGCCACUAUUGAGAAACAUAGCAUGCAAUUUCAAAAAAAAAAUCCUACGCUCACGCAAGAUCUAUCUAGGAGAUGCAUAGAAAUGAGAGGGGGAGAGUGUGUCCAUGUACCCUCGUAGACCGAACGCGGAAGCGUUUUGUUAACGAUGUUGAUGUAGUCGAACUUCUUCUCGUUCUGACCGAUCAAGCACCAAACGUACGGCACCUUCGAGUUCUGCACACGUUCAGCUCAAUGACGUCCCUUGAACUCUUGAUCCAGAAAAGUGUCGAGGGAGAGUUCCCUCAGCACAACGGCAUGGUGAUGGUGAUGGUGAAGUGAUCCACGUAGGGCUUCGCCUAAGCACUACAUGAAUAUGACCGGAGGCGUAAACUAUGGAGGGGGGCGCCGCACACGGCUAAGAAUUGUUGGUGUGUCUUCUAGCGGAGCCCCCCCCCCCACAUAUAUAUAUAUAUAUAUAUAGGAGGGAGAGGGAGGGGAGAAGCAAGGGGCGCCCUAAGUAGGAGGGAUCCUACUUGGGCGCCUCCUCCAAGUCGGCCUCCCCCCUUCCAUAACUAUCGGAGGGGGAAGGAAAGAGAGGGGGAAGGAAAGGGGGAGGCCGAAUCCUCCCCUUUCCUUCUCCCUUCCCUCCUUUCCUUCUCCUCCUAUUUUGGCCUAUAGGGGGGCACACCAGCCCCUUAGGGGCUGGUCUGUCCCACUCUUGGCCCAUUAGGCCCAUAUAGCUUGCCGGGGGAUGCCUGGAACCCCUUCCGGUGACCCAAUAUGUACCCGGUACCCCCGGAACACAUCCGGUGUCCGAAUACUAACGUCCUAUAUAUGAAUCUUUACCUCUCGACCAUUUCGAGACUCCUCGCCAUGUCUGUGAUCUCAUCUGGGACUCCGAACAACAUUUGGUCACCAAAUCACAUAACUCAUACAUUAAACGUUAAGCGUGUGGACCCUACGGGUUCGAGAACUAUGUAGACAUGACCGAGACACUUCUCUAGUCAAUAACCAACAGCGGAAACGGGAUGCUCAUAUUGGUUCCCACAUAUUUUACGAAGAUCUUUGUCGGUUGCACCGUAAUGACAACAUACGUUAUUCCCUUUGUCAUCGGUAUGUUACUUGCCCAAGAUUCGAUCGUUGGUAUGUUCAUACCUAGUUGAAUCUCGUUAUCGGCAAGUCUCUUUACUCGUUCCAUAAUAAAUCAUCCCGCAACUAACUCAUUAGUCACAUUGCUUGCAAGGCUUAUUAUGAUGUGCAUUACCGAGAGGGCCCAGAGAUACCUCUCCGAUACUCGGAAUGACAAAUCCUAAUCUCGAUCUAUGCCAACCCAACAAACACCUUCGGAGAUACCUGUAGAGCAUCUUUAUAAUCACCCAGUUACAUUGUGAUGUUUGAUAGCACACAGGGUAUUCCUCCGGUAUCCGGGAGUUGCAUAAUCUCAUAGUCAAAGGAAUAUGUAUAUGACAUGAAGAAAGCUAUAGCAAUAAAACUGAACGAUCAAUAUGCUAAGCUAACGGAUGGGUCAUGUCCAUCAAAUCAUUCUUCUAAUGAUGUGAUCCCGCUCAUCAAAUGACAACACAUGUCUAUGGUUAGGAAAGUUAACCAUCUUUGAUUAACGAGUUAGUGUAGUAGAGGCUUACUAGGGACACGGUGUUUUGUCUAUGUAUCCACACAUGUAUCAAGUUUCCGGUUAAUGCAGUUCUAGCAUGAAUAAUAAACAUUUAUCAUGAUAGAAGGAAAUAUAAAAUAACAACUUUAUUAUUGCGUCUAGGGCAUAUUUCCUUCAGGAAAUUCAUGGCUAAGUUAGCAUAUUGUCCUGGUUAAAUAAAAAAGUUAGCAUACUGUCUGAACUGGCAAAAAAGGCUUCAAAUGGUCGGCGACAUCUUCACGCGUCUUAGACUCUCGUGUCUUGACGCCCAUAUCCACUCAUCCGCCCAUUAUCAGCCAACCGAUCUCAAUCCUAUGCACCAAAUAGAAACGAUGGUAGUUUUCCCCUAACACUUUCUUUUUGCGGGAAAGUUUUUCUCGAAAUAGGCUCUCACCCCGCUUUAUAUAUAAGAAACAUUUAUAUUUGUACCCUUAACUCGAAUCCAGUACUCAAAUUAACCCCUAAUUUUAAAGCAUGCUCAAAUUUUCCCCUUUGUCGUUAGGUGCCCUUAUAGAAAUGCCCUUCCAUGCCAUUACCGUCUAGUCAAAGGGCUUUGACCAUUUUCUGGGCAUUUGCUGGACGGUCAAAGGCCUUUCACCUAUAAGGGCACCUAACGGUAGAGGCGCAAAUUUGAACACCCUUUGAAAUUAGGGGUAAAUCUGAGUAGUGGGUUCGAGUUAAGGGCCCAAUGUAAAUGUCCCUAGAUAUAAAGCAAUGACCACAAACAACCAUCCACAUACAAAGACAACACCACACACACCUGGGCUGGAUUCUGCAGGAAUGUUUUUGGCUAACACGUCAGGGCCCAAUCCACCGUCGCUCCCAACUCCAUUUGUCCAUCAUCUUUUUUCGCAUAUGAUUCAAACUUUCAAUUCGAAAUUGGCCUUUUGCGGAGAAUUCAAAAUUAUUGAUUCAAUAUCCUCACUUUUUUGGCUAUGCAAAUUGCAGUAUCUUUUCUAAAACCGCAACUCGGCGUCCACAACCUUUUAGGCUCAACUGUUUUUCUGGAAAAAAAAUUAGGCUCAACUCUAAUAUAAACUAUUACUAGCAAAAAUCUGUUGUCACACACUCUAGUGAGCACCGACCUAAAACAACACUCCAAAAAGGAAAUGAAACUAAAACACCGUUGUCACCCGAGCCAAUGGUGGAGGGGCAGCACAACCCAUGAUGAUGCCUCCAAGGAGGGGAACGACACUCGAGAACGACCCAUCACUGGUAUCGACACUGUCGAGAUAUUGCUGAUGGUGGUAUAUAUUGUCGGAAUCACCCUCUACUUUUGGAUCUCGCGAAGAGAAAACAUUUUUUCCAAUUUUCUUCCCUCUCAAUUGUGAAGCGAACAAAGCGGGUUUUGUUGCAGCUACCGCUAUCCUAGGGAAACCUAAAGGACUAACAGAGGAACGUGAUGCAGUCUCUCCCUAGGACAAGGGAGAGGACACUCACGUAACCUUUGGACAAGUUUAUUCGCCUCCUAACACUAGUAGAAAACCGGGCUUUGGUCCAGGCUAGAAAGGCGCAUUCAUCACGGUUCACUCACAAACCGGGACCAAUGGGGGCAUCAGUCCCGGUUCGUGAGGCCAGGGCGCUGGCCGGGCCUCGGGGGCCAUUGGUCCCGGUUCGUCUGGCCCCUUGGGUCCCGGUUCUGGACACGAACCGGGACCAAUAGGCCUCGCUCCUGGCCCACACCCUUUGGUCCCGGUUGGUGGCUGGAACUAGGACCAAAUGUGGUCCUUUAGUCCUGGUUCUAGCCACAAACCUGCACCAAAGGGAAGCCUAUAUAUACCCCCUGCCCGCGAGUAGAGUAGUGCACUGCUCUGUUUUUUGGCCGGCCGUGGGAGAGCUUUGUGGUGCUCUAGCUCACCUCCUAUGCACAUUAGUUGUUUGAUGAAAUGCCCGAGCCACACUUAAGCUUUCUCCUCCCGAAGCUCCUUGCACAAGCUCCAUUUUCAUCAAGAUUUGUCUAGGUUUGGCAGUCCGUCCUGUCCCGUCCCCGUCCUCACCGCCGUCGAUCGCCCCUGCCAAUCUCGUCGCCGGCACCACCGUGGUGAGCCUCUUGUUCUUAUCCUCUUUCUAAAAGAACAAAGUUCUUACUUGCAUGAUUUAGAUAUAUACUUGUUUAAUUUUGUUACUUUUAUUAUUGUUUGUUAUUAUAUAGUGCGAUGGUUUUGGUAUCCGCCUCCGUCGGCCCUCGUCCUAUCUAUGAUUCGGAUGUGGUAAUAUUAUCUUUUAUAACUAUUUGGUUCAUUUAGUGUUUAUGAAAAUUAUGCCGACCAACAUGACAUAGAUGUUUUUAUCUAGGAGGUAUGUGAACCGGAAAUUCCAACCGACCCAAUUGUCGAGAGGUUAAAUUUAGUUGAAGAAGAAAACAAUUACCUGAAGAAAAAAAUGAAAAUAAUUGAGGAGGAGAAGAUGAGAUUGGAGUUGCAUGUUGCGGAUGUCACCGAUGAUCACAAGAUCAAGAUGGAUACAAUGCGCUUGAAGAUUAGAAAGAUUAGAAAAUAUGCCAUUCAUACCGAGGCUUGGUAUCAUUAUGCCGUUGGAUCAAUUGUUACCUUAGUUGCGAUUAUGAUCGCAUUUGUUGUUGCAUUGAAAUGUUUUACAUAGUUUCAAUGUAUGGUUUAAUUAGAUGCUCUAGAGAGCUAUAUAUAUGUUGUUCAAUAAGAACUAUAUAUGUAUGAACUUUAUGUAUUUAUUUUUUCAGUAAUAACAUUUGAUCACUACUAUACUUUGGUUUUAAUGUGAUGAUGAACUUCUAUUAAUUUGGUCACUUCUGUAUUCAUGAUGUUCUGUAAUGGUUUUUGACACACUUAAUUAUAUAUAAUGCACGCAGAUGAACCGGCAAUGGAUGUACGAUAACAGACGCACCUCUGAGUACAUUAAGGGCGUGCAUAAUUUUCUCGAAGUGGCUGAGGCAAACAAGCAGAAUGGUUUUAUGUGUUGUCCAUGCCCUAUAUGUGGGAAUACGAAGUCUUACUCUGACCGGAAAAUCCUUCACACCCACCUGCUUUAUAAGGGUUUCAUGCCACACUAUAAUGUUUGGACCAAGCAUGGAGAAAGAGGGGUUAUGAUGGAAGACAAUGAAGAAGAAGAGGAUGAUGACAACUAUGUGCCCCCUGAAUACGGUGAUGUUGCAACAGGGGAAGCUGAAAAUCAAGAGGAACCAGACGAUGUGCCCGAUGAUGAUCUUCGCCGGGUCAUUGUUGAUUCAAAGAGACAAUGCGAAAGUGAAAAGGAGAAGUUGAAGUUCGAUCGCAUGUUAGAGGAUCACAAAAAAGGGUUGUACCCAAAUUGCGAAGAUGGCAACACAAAGCUCGGUACCACACUGGAAUUGCUGCAGUGGAAGGCAGGCAAUGGUGUAUCUGACAACGGAUUUGAGAAGCUACUGAAAAUAUUGAAGAAGAAGCUUCCAAAUGAUAAUGAAUUGCCCGACAGUACGUACGGAGCAAAGAAGGUUAUAUGCCCUCUAGGAUUGGAGGUGCGGAAGAUAUAUGCAUGCCCUAAUGACUGCAUCCUUAACCGCGGUGCGUAUGAGGAUUUGAACGCAUGCCCGGUAUGUGGUGCAUUGCGGUAUAAGAUCAGACGAGAUGACCCUGGUGAUGUUGAGGGCAAGCGGCCCAGGAAGAGAGUUCCUGCCAAGGUGAUGUGGUAUGCUCCUAUAAUACCACGGUUGAAAUGUCUAUUCAGAAACAAAGAGCAUGCCAAGUUGAUGCGAUGGCACAAAGAGGACCGUAAGAAAGACGGGAAGUUGAGAGCACCCGCUGACGGGUCGCAGUGGAGAAAAAUCGAGAGAAAGUGGGGGGACUUUGCAGGUGACGCAGGGAACGUAUGGUUUGGUUUAAGCGCGGAUGGCAUUAAUCCUUUUGGGGAGCAGAGCAGCAAUCAUAGCACCUGGCCCGUGACUCUAUGUAUCUAUAACCUUCCUCCUUGGUUGUGAAUGAAGCGGAAGUUCAUUAUGAUGCCGGUUCUCAUCCAAGGCCCAAAGCAACCCGGCAAAGACAUUGAUGUGUACCUAAGGCCAUUAGUUAAAGAACUUUUACAGUUGUGGAAUGGAAAAGGUUUACGUGUGUGGGAUGAGCAAGACCAGUAGGAAUUUGACCUACAUGCGUUGCUGUUUGUAACCAUCAAUGAUUGGUCUGCUCUCAGUAACCUUUCAGGAACGACAAACAAGGAUACCACGCACGCACACACUGUUUAGAUCACACCGACAGUAUAUAUCUGGACAAAUGCAGGAAGAAUGUGUACCUGGGGCAUCGUCGAUUUCUUCCGAGCAACCAUCAAUGUCGAAAGAAAGGCAAGCAUUUCAAAGGCGAGGCAGAUCACCGGAAGAAGCCCGCAGUCCGUACUGGUGAUCACAUACUUGCUAUGGUCAAUGAUUUACAACUAAUCUUUGGAAAGGAUCCCGGAGGACUAUCUGUUCCGAACGACACUGUGGGACGCGCACCCAUGUGGAAGAAGAAAUCUAUAUUUUGGGACCUACCCUAUUGGAAAGACCUAGAGGUCCGCUCUGCAAUCGACGUGAUGCACGUGACAAAGAAUCUUUGCAUGAACCUGCUAGGCUUCUUGGCGUGUAUGGGAAGACAAAAGAUACACCGGAGGCACGGGAGGACCAGUAACGUGUGCACGAAAAAGACGGCAUGCCUCCAAAGCAGUAUGAUGGUCCUGCCAGCUAUGCUCUUUCCAAAGAAGAGAAGGAAAUAUUGUUUGAAUGCCUGCUCACUAUGAAGGUACCGUCUGGCUUCUCGUCGAAUAUAAAGGGAAUAAUAAAUAUGUGUGGCACCCUGGCUCAGAGCGACCGGUUUACCCUGCAUUGCCAGCCCAGAGAUCAUGUCUUCUGGCAACACAAAACAUAUUGGUACAGAAAACAACCGCUUUAUUGAUGCUAGCGGAACAGAGUUCAUAUUACAACAGUGGUCGAGGCCAAGCGGCACACUCGGUGCGGCGGAACAAUAUGUACAUUAUUUAGUGAACAUAAAAGGGCCUCGACUCGAACAACUACGUGGCAGCGGAAUAACGUCGUAGCGGAAGCUCCAUAUCACAGGGACACUGAUGUGGACACGAUCUAGACUCGAACAGCGCUCCUUUCCAACGAGACUUUCCUGAAAUCUGGCAUGACACGCCAGGUCAGUACAUUGAAUGUACUUGCAAGCUCACAACAAGCAUAAUCAUAAUGGCAAACAAUAUCAUGAUAUUUAACCAAUAUUUAAUAAUGCAACAUUUUAUGUCAACAUGCUGUGAUCAAGCCCAAACGUCCCUCAGGACAGCUUACCAACUAUGAUCAUCUCUGGACCACAAACACACCACCAUAGUGGUAUUUCUCAAGAACAACUUGUGAUCCUUAAUUACGGCGAUCACAACCACGACCAUCAUUUGGUCCCAAAUACCUCGAUGGCCUUUCUGCCAUCCAUUGACAAUGCAAAGUUCAUAGCUUAGUGUGCAAUUUUUAUCAAACGUUGACUCAUGGUGGGACCUAGUACGAGGUGUUCGUGACCGUGGACUCGGCUAUUGAUAGAUUAUACACUCUGUAGAGGUAGCACACUGUACCCACAACACGGAACCCAUGGCCUCGCAUUUCCAUUCGGGUGGACCAACAGCAUUCCGACAAAACCCCUCCAUUGCCACAGCACUCUCCCGGGCACUCCGACCCAAAUCCCCAACGGGCUGGUCCUAGGUGGCCCCGUGUCUACCAAAGACACCCCGACCACCGUUGUGGUCAAAACACUCCCACUCGGGGACUCGGUACCAUAAUCUCAUCAACGAGCACACAAGAUUAUGUGUGCUUACCGGGCUAGGGCAAGCACGACAUAAUCUUCCCUAGAUGGAGGCACCGACCAGAGGCCGUGUCAAUGGACCGAAUCAAGGCCUCCCACAAGGCAAAUGUGGUUGCACUGGAAAGAAACUCGAUUCAGCGGCACCAUGACCCAGUCAACGGUAUAUUCAAGUUGAAUUAUAUUCAGGAUUAAUCUCUAAACUAAAAAUGACCGGUCUCAUAGCAUGCCAUGAAAUGCAAAACAACACAUGCAUCACAUAUUGAUAAAAAUGACCGACGUCAUCCAUAUGCACACCAAGCAUAAACGUCAAUAACUCAUAUUACUCUACUUGCUCAAAAUGACUCAAAACUUAACCAAAAUAUUUUUGCAACAAGUUCUAUUAAUUUCCUACGCAAGAAAGUAACUUCGAUAAAUCUUUCAUAUGCUUGACCAAAAGAUAUCAAUAUCACCACUCUUAAUUUCUUUAUCACUAAGUUGGGUUCAAACAUUCUGUAAGACAAAUAAUAUGAUUAAACUGGGUUCUAACAGAAUAUUUUCUAACAAAUUUUUAUCAAUUUAUGAAUGCAAACACAAAGCUUUACAUAAUUACUAACAUGCAUACCAAAAUUAUUUCUAACAUCACCUCAAAUAAAUUUUAACUUGCUUUACCCACAUAAACUAGUUUCAACUAUUCUGUAAAUCAAGCAUAACAACUGACCAAUACUUAAUAGAAUACAAAUAAUUCAAUAAUUAUUUAAAUGCAUGGGUUAAUCAUUUCAUUUAAGUGAGAAAAUCACAAAUAUUGAAAUGGCAUCAUAAAAAUGUUGUUGUGGCUUGCCUUAGUACAGAUGAGGUUCACAAGCCUCCUGGUGAUCCUCAAGACAAGCCUCACCUUCUGAAAAUAAUUUUAAUCACAAAAAGAGAAUAUCAAGAACACUUCUGAAAUUCACCAGAAAUUCUAAAAAGCUCAAAAAAAUCUCAUCUUUGGUGAGCUGUUAGAUUACCUUUCAAAGAACACAAUGCAACAAGAAUCAUCUCAUUUGGACUUAUGGUUAAAAAGUUAAAAUUGUUUGAAGCUCUCUGGAAUAUAAAUGAAUUAGAAUAAAAGAAACAGCUGGGGGGGAUGACGUCGAAGGCGUAAAGCCCAGGGGCGCCACCACUCGUACCGCUUCGCGCGUGUACUGAGUGGCUGACUAGCAGGCCCCGCUAGUCAGGUGGGGGAAGAGGGAGAGAGAAACAGAGAGGGCCGUGGCUUCGCCGGAGCUCUCGCCGGCGACAAGGGCUCCUUGGCCCAAAUGAGAGGGAGGGAUGGCAAGAGGAGAUCGAGGCGCACCUGCCCGUACCCGUAGCGUGGCUAGGGGUGGUCGGACGGCGUCGGAAUCUAGCUCGCGAGCGGAGGCAGAACGAGGAGGUCGUCGGAGUUGAGGAAGACGGCGAGCAGAGGCUGCUCCAGAGGCUCCAAGCGGGCGAGAUGGCCACACCGGAGAGAGGCGGAGGCCUUGGAGGGGUCGCCCAGGCCUGGGAGGGGCUGGAGCUACCGCGGCGACCAGAGGGGAUCGCCGGUGUGCUCGAGCUCGGGGACGGCGGCCCGAGGCCUGCCCGGCCGGACUACGGCUUCCUACUCGAUCGUGGGGUGUGUGUGAGUGCUGGAUGGUGAUCGAGGAGGCUGGGGGUGGCUCUAUUUAUAGGCGAGCGGCGAGGGUGCUUCGGGCUCCGCCGGUGGACACCUGUCCACGGCGCCCGGUGACGAGCGGCGUCAGUGAGAGGGGGAGAAGGCGACGGAGGUCACGCGGCUACUGUGGGCGAGCGGAGACGAGCACAGGAUCAAGGGGGUGACGACGAGCACAGUGUGCCCGCACUGUUGGGCUGGCCGGACCUUGCCCGUGCUCGCUGCGGUGAGCUCCGGCGUCGGUGAGUGCCAGGGUGGAGUUAAGGACGUCGAGACGAUGAUGGUGGCGAGGUUUGGCAUGGUUGGGCAGGCGGGGGAAGCAAGCACGCGCGAACAAGCGUUCGGCGGCACCCAGAGCGCGUCGACACGCAUGCCUGGCAUCGUGGACACGCGUGGUCACCGCGCGAAAUCUCUCCUCAAGCCAGCCUUCGUCCAAAAUUCAUGUCUAGCAUGUUGUUUGUGGUAUUUUUGAAGUUCACCAUGGUUUGGUUUGGAUCCAGGUGCAGUAGAGAAGAUUUUACAAGCCAGGUAAGUUUCUGGUCAGUAACUUUGUGAUGUUACUGUGGUCAAAUGGCUAGGAGUUUGGGGCUGUGCUUUGGAGGCUAGUAAUAAGUUACUAAGGUAAAGAUGCACAAGAAAGUUCAGGUCAAAUGGAGCAAGUAAAAUGGUAGUUGCUGUAGAAACCACCAAUUUUGUUCAGAACAGAAAAGAUUUUCUGUAGCAAAAAUAUUCCAAAAAGUGAUGAAAUAUUUUUGCUCAGGGAGGUGCCCUAGGGUCCCUAGAAUAUUUGUGAAUUAUCUUAGAAUUUUCUGAGCCAUAAAAAUUAGGGUUGCCUUGAAGCAAACAGAUCUGGCUUAGGGUUUUUGAGAGAAAAUGAAUAUUUUUCAUUUAAGAAAAAUAUUCCAAAGGUUAUUUUGUGGUGGAUCAGAAGUGAAGUGAUGGUUUGGGAGAGAAGUGAACACUUGGGUGAAAGCCAAGGAUGCCCAAGUGUUUAAGUCCAAAUGAAAAGAUUCAGAAACUCCAAGUUUCAAAAACUUUCAAAUGAAAUAUCAAGCAAAUAAGAAAGGGCAAAAACCAGGUUGUCACAAACCUCCCCCACUUAGAAUGAAUCUCGUCCUCAAGAUUCGGUUGCUUGGGAAAACCACUCUGGAUAUUGACUCUUAAGGAACUCUUCCUGCUCCCAAGUUGCUUCUGACUCGGUGUGAUGCUCCCACUGAACUUUGAAAAAAAUUCUGACUUUGCUGCGAGUGACCCUUUCCACUUGAUCCAAAAUUUUGGAUAGUCUUUCUUCAUAAGUUAAAUCCUUUGCCAAUUCUAUCUCAGCCAUUGCAGUCCUUUUCUCAGGCGGGGAUAUGCAUCGUCUCAAUUGCGAAACAUGGAACACAUUGUGUAUUUCUCACAACUCCGGGGGUAGUUCCAGUUGGUAUGCAACCGUACCCACUCGAGACAUAAUUGGGAAUGGACCAAUGAAUCUGGGUGCCAGGUUUCCACGAGUCUGAAAUCGCUUAACUCCUUUCAUAGGAGUGACUCGGAGGUACACAUGUUCUCCAGGUUCAAAACUGACCUGCCGGUGCUUUGCAUCAUAAUAACUCUUCUGACGGGAUUUGGCCAAUUGCAGUCUGUCUCUGAUUUCUCUGACUUGUUUCUCGGCUUCCAUCAUGAGAUUGGUUCCGAAGAUAUGGCUAUCUCCAGCUUGAGACCAGUUUAGAGGAGUGCGGCACUUACGACCAUAUAGAGCUUCAUAGGGUGACAUCUUUAGACUGGUCUGGAAACUGUUGUUAUACGAGAAUUCGGCGUAUGGCAAGCAAUCUUCCCAGUUCGCCCCGUUGGCUAGCACACAGGCUCGCAACAUAUCUUCGAGUAUUUGAUUUACUCGCUCUGCUGACCGUCCGUCUGGGGGUGAUAAGCAGUACUAUAUUUUAAUGUUGUCCCCAAGGCUUGAUGGAGGCGGGACCAGAAAGCGGAGGUAAACAAAGAACCUCGGUCGGAAGUGAUAGUCCGGGGUACCCCAUGCAGACUGACGAUUCUGGAUACAUACAGUUGCGCUAGUUCAUUUGCUCUGUAUCUGGUGCUGACCGGGAUGAAAUGAGCAACCUUGGUUAGGGUGUCCACUAUAACCCAGAUUGCGUCUUUGCCUCGCUGUGUCCUAGGCAAUCCGGUGAUGAAGUCCAUGCAAACAUCAUCCCAUUUGCAUUGUGAAACUGGCAGUGGUUGGAGAAGUCCGGCUGGCUUCUGAUGCUCUGCUUUCACCUUGUUGCAUAUGUCGCAACAAGCUACAAAAUAGGCAAUGUCUCUCUUCAUCCCAUUCCACCAGAAUAUUUGUUUAAGGUCUUCAUACAUUUUCGUACUUCCCGGAUGAAUGGAAUACGAGGAUUCGUGUGCUUCUGACAAGAUUUUCCUCUUCAAGUCCGGUUGAUUUGGUACACAAAUUCGUCCACGGAAUCGGAGGGUACCGAAGUUGUCCUUGAAGAAAUCUAGGGGCUGCCUUGCAUGUUUUUGUAGCUUGGCGUCAUCUGGCUGGGCCUUGCGGAUUUCCAUCUCAAGUGUGGGGGUAACUCCCAAAAUAUUAGUGAGGCCAGCAUCCACGAUGACCAAGCUGAGCUGAGCGAUCUCCUCCUGAAGUUCGGUAGGGAAUGAUUUUAACAUGACAUUUAAGCUGACAGGCUUUCGACUGAGCACAUCGGCAAUGACGUUGGCCUUUCCUAGAUGGUAAUUUAUUCCAAGGUCAUAAUCCUUGACCAACUCUAACCAUCUUCGCUGACGGAGAUUUAAAUCUGGCUGAGUGAAGAUGUACUUGAGGCUUUUGUGGUCGGUAAAAAUUUGGCACCUUUUUCCAAUGAGAUAGUGUCUCCAAAUCUUUAAUGCAUGAACCACUGCAGCCAAUUCCAAAUCAUGAGUAGGAUAAUUUCCCUCAUGUGGUCGUAGUUGUCGUGAUGCAUAGGCUACUACCUUGCCGUCUUGCAUCAAUACACAACCAAUACCUUGUCUGGAGGCAUCGCAAUACACGUCGAAGCUGCGAUAAAUGUCUGGAGGAGUCAAUACGGGUGCGGUUGUCAGACGCGUCUUUAGCUCAUAAAAACUCUUCUCACAAUCCUUGUUCCACUCAAACUUUGUAUCCUUUUUGAGCAGUUCCGUCAUAGGUUUAGCAAUUUUGGAAAACCCUUCAAUGAAACGAUGAUAGUAUCUAGCUAAUCCAAGGAAACUCCGGAUCUGUGUUACAGUCGUGGGCGGUACCCAAUCGAGCACAUCCUUUACUUUGCUUGGGUCCACGGCUAUGCCUUCGGCGGAUAGUACAUGCCCGAGAAACCCAACUUGCUUGAGCCAAAAUUCGCACUUACUGAACUUGGCGUAUAGCUGAUGGUUGCGGAGCCGUUGUAGCACUGCCCGGAGGUGAUCCUUAUGCUCUUCUUCACUCUUGGAGUAAAUGAGGAUGUCGUUGAUAAAGACUACCACAAAUUUGUCGAGGAAGUCCAUGAACACCUUGUUCAUCAUAUGCAUGAAGAAGGCAGGGGCAUUGGUGAGACCAAAGGACAUCACAGUAUAUUCAUAAAGACCGUAUCGUGUAGUGAAUGCGGUCUUAGGAAUAUCUUCCCUUUUAAUCUUGAGCUGAUAAUACCCGGUCCGUAAAUAGAUUUUUGAGAAUACUUUAGCCCCACUGAGCUGAUCGAACAGAUCAUCAAUCCUUGGCAGUGGGUAUUUAUUUUUGAUGGUGACCUCAUUCAGCUGGCAAUAAUCUAUGCACCUACGGAGACUGCCAUCCUUUUUACUCACGAAGAUUGCAGGUGACCCCCACGGUGAAGAGCUGGGACAAAUAUAACCUUUCCGGAGUAAUUCGUCAAGCUGUUUCUUUAGUUCCACUAAUUCUGAUGAGGGCAUCCGGUAAUACUUCUUGUAUAAUGGUGCGGUUCCGGACACAAGAUCUAUGGCAAAUUCCAGUUCCCGAUCUGGUGGCAUGCCUGGCAGUUCUUCUGGAAACACAUCAGGGUACUCACUGACCACAGGAAUAAAUUCCAAUUUGACCACAGCAGUGCACACUAGUUCUAGCUUGGGUAUAUGCUUGCGAGCAUAGAAUUUGGUGAGCUGCCCAUUCAGAUUGGUUAAAUUGACUUCUCGGGUUGCGCAGUUUAUACAAACUUGAUAUUUGGUCAGCCAAUUCAUUCCCAAUAUAAUAUCCAACUGUUCAGACUCAAUGAUUAUCAGAGAUGUUGGAAAGUGGACCCCAUUGAUAUUGAUCUCCAGAUCACGGCAGACUAGAUUGCUCUUGAUUAUAGAUCCCGGGUUUUGUACCAGCAUAUUUUUGCCCAAAAUUGUGCAAGGAAAAUUGUUUUGGGCGGCAAAACUCCGAGAAAUAAAAGAAUGGGAAGCCCUAGAGUCAAAUAAAUUACUGCAGGUAUGUCAUUAACAGAAAACAUACCAAUGACGACUUCUGGCUUCUCUUGGGAUUCAUCGGCGGAGAUAUGAUUCACGUGCCCAGUGAAGUUUUGCUGGGUUGGCCCUGACUCCAUAAAGUUGACUUGUGGCCUGCUCAGCGCAUUCACUCUGUGGUUCUUGGGGCACUGUUUGGCAUAAUGUCCGGGCUGCCCGCAAGUGAAACAAGAAUUAUUGCACUGCCGCUCCUCAUGCAUUGGAUUGGCCACAGCAUUCUUGACUUGAGUGGUGGUCUUGUUAACAUUCUGCUGCCAAUUUGGCCGGUAUUCCACCUGAGUCUGCUGCCAGGUACGAGCCUUUUGCAUAGGUUGCCCAUCCUUCUUUGGCUCAAACUUGCGCUUGUUGUCGUUAACAGGCCUAUUAUCUGAUAUAAGCUUGUGUUCCCGUUCAGCAAUGAAUGCCUUGUCUACCAGAGUUUGGAAAUCCGUGAAAUCAAACAUACUGAGAGCACACCGAAGUUGCGGAUUUAAACCUCCAAGAAAUCUGUCCAUCUUCCUUUCUUCGGUGGCUACGUCAUACAUAGAGUAACGGGCCAGAUGAUUGAAUUUUUGCAAAUACUCAGCCACAGAUUGAUUUCCUUUGACAAGCGCGAGAAAUUCACGCUGCUUGGCCUUCAUAACUCCAGUAGGGAUGUGAUAUUUGCGGAACUUAUCCUUGAAUUUUUCCCAGGUGACUUCCUCAUCAAUCGGCCACAUGGCUUUUGUAUUUUCCCACCAUAUGGCAGCUGCGCCUUCAAGGUAAUGGGUUGCAAAUGGGACUUUAUCAUUUCCUUCAGUACGGACGAUCUCAAGCUUUUUCUCCAUGGUGCGCAACCAAUCGUCUGCAUCCAAUGGGUCAACAACCUGAUUAAAAUUGGGUGGAUUGGUCCUCUGAAAAUCUGACAGCUUUGAGUGAUGACCAUUCUGAUUUCCAUUUUGUCCAACUAUAGCUUGCACACUUCUCAAUAUUUCAAUCAGAUCAUUGUUCCUUUUUUCUUCAAACAUACGCGGAACUUGCUCGGUGGAGGGAGGAUCAGGCGGAGGAGGUGGUGGCUGAACGUACGGCUCGGGAGAAUAUCCUGCCUGUCGUGCGGAACGACGAACAGGAGUUCCCUCACGAACAUUGCUACUGCCGCCUCCCCGCGUCAUCCUAUUGAGUAUUUUCCCAAGGCAACGAAAUCGAGAUGAGGGACAUCCAAGAAUAAAAUUGGGGUAAAGCCAGCAACAAUUCUCGAAAAAAAACAAAAGAGCGAAGAGAAUACGGCGAUUAAAGUCCCAUCAUAAUUAUACAUAGACUCAUACAUGAAAAUUUAACAUCCUGACUGGUUCCACUACUCUCAUACAUGAAGCAUCAUGACUCGUACAACUACAUCCGUACACCAUCUAGACGACUUCGAAUACUCAAAGACACUACUGCUCUGUUGGUGCUGCGGUGUCCUCCCCUGAAGCGGUCACAGAUCCCGAACUGACGUGGUUAACGGAAACCUCCGGGUUAAAGGUAACACGACGACGCUACCUCGAGGGCUCUCCCUCAGGGACAGGGGUAGGAUGAAGCAUCGGGACUGCAGGAGUAGCAAGAGGUGAGACCCACUCGGCAGGAGUACUGAGAGGGUUCACGGCCGGAACGCCUGUGCUACUCGGGGGAGUAACUGGCGAAAUAGGGGAGCUAGAGAUAACUGGGACAUAAGGGGUAAAUCCCAGUGAGGAUGGAGUAAUGGUGGAUCUAGUAGUGAUCAAGGUAGCGGCUAAAGCAGUACGGGCACGAGUCAGCUCUCGAGCCAGCUCGUGGAUCAUCAGAUAGCUAGCAAUGAUAUAGCGAGCAAGAUGGCUAGCAACACUAUCAGACUCCGGGUUAACGAGAGGAAACGGACACGACCGUUGUCGUGCAGAGAUGGGUAGCAGUAGAAUCCUGGGUGAUGCUGCAUUUGAACCUCGGUAUAACGAAGCUCGACAAGGAUCUCAAAUGCGGCAAAUUGGACAGCCUGAGAAGCGGUGGAGGCGUAACCGCUCCGAGAAGUGCGAGUGUAAGAGCCGGAAUCGGAACUGGUGCGCAGAGUAACCACUGCGUGAUACUCAUACACUGAGUCUGCUAGACGCUCCCGGUACACACGGUAGACUAGUUCGUCUCCGUGAGGGUACAGCCGACGCCACACGUUGCGGAGAAGGUGCGGUGACGAUUACGGCAUCAACUGCAACUGGCACGGAUACGGCACCGGAGCCAUCUACACUCACAACCAUUAACAGGUUAGCAUAAAAAUAAUAAUCAAAUGACUACAAUGCAACAACCAGCUAUAACUGCUAUUGACACUCACAUUUACUUGUGUCUAGCGUCCAGUUAACACGUCGAAGUCUAGCGUGGCCUACAGUUAGCGCGGCUCUGGUACCAACCAUUGUGGCACCCCGGCUCAGAGCGACUGUUUUACCCUGCAUUGCCAGCCCAGAGAUCAUGUCUUCUGGCAACACACAACAUAUUGGUACAGAAAACAACCGCUUUAUUGAUGCUAGCAGAACAGAGUUCAUAUUACAACAGUGGUCGAGGCCAAGCGGCACACUCGGUGUGGCGGAACAAUAUGUACAUUAUUUAGUGAACAUAAAAGGGCCUCGACUCGAAUAACUACGUGGCAGCGGAAUAACGUCGUAGCGGAAGCUCCAUAUCACAGGGACACUGAUGUGGACACGAUCUAGACUCGAACAGCGCUCCUUUCCAACGAGACUUUCCUGAAAUCUGGCAUGACACGCCAAGUCAGUACAUUGAAUGUACUUGCAAGCUCACAACAAGCAUAAUCAUAAUGACAAACAAUAUCAUGAUAUUUAACCAAUAUUUAAUAAUGCAACAUUUUAUGUCAACAUGCUGUGAUCAAGCCCGAACAUCCCUCAGGACAGCUUACCAACUGUGAUCAUCUCUGGACAACAAACACACCACCAUAGUGGUCUUUCUCAAGAACAACUCGUGAUCCUUACGGCGAUCACAACCACGACCAUCAUUUGGUCCCAAAUACCUCGAUGGCCUUUCUGCCAUCCAUUGACAAUGCAAAGUUCAUAGCUUAGUGUGCAAUUUUUAUUAAACGUUGACUCAUGGUGGGACCUAGUAAGAGGUGUCCGUGACCGUGGACUCGGCUAUCGAUAGAUUAUACACUCUGCAGAGGUAGCACAUUGUACCCACACCACGGAACCCAUGGCCUCGCAUUUCCAUUCGGGUGGACCAACGGCAUUCCGACAAAACCCCUCCAUUGCCACAGCACUCUCCCGGCCACUCCGACCCAAAUCCCCAACGGGCUGGUCCUAGGUGGCCCCGUGUCUACCAAAGACACCCCAACCACCGUCGUGGUCAAAACACUCCCACUCGGGGACUCGGUACCAUAAUCUCAUCAACGAGCACACAAGAUUAUGUGUGCUUACCGGGCCAGGGCAAGCACGACAUAAUCUUCCCUAGAUGGAGGCACCGACCAGAGGCCGUGCGAAUGGACCGAAUCAAGGCCUCCCACAAGGCAAAUGUGGUUGCACUGGAAAGAAACUCGAUUCAGCGGCACCAUGACCCAGUCAACAGUAUAUUCAAGUUGAACUAUAUUUAGGAUUAAUCUUUAAACUAAAAAUGACCGGUGUCAUAGCGUGCCACGAAAUGCAAAACAACACAUGCAUCACAUAUUGAUAAAAAUGACCGACGUCAUCCAUAUGCACACCAAGCAUAAACGUCAACAACUCAUAUUACUCUACUUGCUCAAAAUGACUCACAACUUAACCAAAAUAUUUUUGCAACAAGUUCUAUUAAUUUCCUACGCAAGAAAGUAACUCCGAUAAAUCUUUCAUAUGCUUGACCAAAAGAUAUCAAUAUCACCACUCUUAAUUUCUUUAUCACUAAGUUGGGUUCAAACAUUCUGUAAGACAAAUAAUAUGAUUAAACAAGUAUUUAACAGAAUAUUUUCUAACAAAGUUUUAUCAAUUUAUGAAUGCAAACACAAAGCUUUACAUAAUUACUAACAUGCAUACCAAAAUUAUUUCUAACAUCACCUCAAAUAAAUUUUAACUUGCUUUACCCACAUAAACUAGUUUCAACUAUUCUGUAAAUCAAGCAUAACAACUGACCAAUACUUAACAGAAUACAAAUAAUUCAAUAAUUAUUUAAAUGCAUGGGUUAAUCAUUUCAUUUAAGUGAGAAAAUCACAAAUAUUGAAAUGGCAUCAUAAAAAUGUUGUUGUGGCUUGCCUUAGUACAGAUGAGGUUCACAAGCCUCCUGGUGAUCCUCAAGACAAGCCUCACCUUCUGAAAAUAAUUUUAAUCACAAAAAGAGAAUAUCAAGAACACUUCUGAAAUUCACCAGAAAUUCUAAAUAGCUCAGAAAAAUCUCAUCUUUGGUGAGCUGUUAGAUUUCCUUUCAAAGAACACAAUGCAACAAGAAUCAUCUCAUUUGGACUUAUGGUUAAAAAGUUAAAAUUGUUUGAAGCUCUCUGGAAUAUAAAUGAAUUAGAAUAAAAGAAACAACUGGGGGGUGACGUCGAAGGCGUAAAGCCCAGGGGCGCCACCACUCGAACCGCUUCGCGCGUGUACUGAGUGGCUGAGUAGCGGGCCCCUCUAGUCAGGUGGGGGAAGAGGGAGAGAGAAACAGAGAGGGUCGUGGCUUCGCCGGAGCUCUCGCCGGCGACGAGGGCUCCUUGGCCCAAACGAGAGGGAGGGAUGGCAAGAGGAGGUCGAGGCGCACCUGCCCGUACCCGUAGCAUGGCUAGGGGUGGUAGGACGGCGUCGGAAUCUAGCUCGCGAGCGGAGGCAGAACGAGGAGGUCGUCGGAGUUGAGGAAGACGGCGAGCAAAGGCCGCUCCAGAGGCUCCAAGCGGGCGAGAUGGCCUCACCGGAGAGAGGCGGAGGCCUUGGAGGGGUCGCCCAGGCCUGGGAGGGGCUGGAGCUACCGCGGCGACCAGAGGGGAUCGCCGGCGUGCUCGAGCUCGGGGACGGCGGCCCGAGGCCUGCCCGGCCGGGCUACGGCUUCCUACUCGGUCGUGGGGUGUGUGUGAGUGUUGGAUGGUGCUCGAGGAGGCUGGGGUGGCUCUAUUUAUAGGCGAGCGGCGAGGGUGCUUCGGGCUCCGCCGGUGGACACCUGUCCACGGUGCCCGGCGACGAGCGGCGUCAGUGAGAGGGGGAGAAGGCGACGGAGGUCACGCGGCCACUGUGGCGAGCGGAGACGAGCACAGGAUCAAGGGGGGUGACGACGAGCACGGUGCGCCCGCACUGUUGGGCUGGCUGGACCUUGCCCGUGCUCGCUGUGGCGAGCUCCGGCGUCGGCUAGUGCCAGGGUGGAGUUAAGGACGUCGAGACGAUGAUGGUGGCGAGGUUUGGCAUGGUUGGGCAGGCGGGGGAAGCAAGCACGCGCGAACAGAGCGUUCGGCGGCACCCAGAGCGCGUCGACACGCAUGCCUGGCAUCGUGGACACGCAUGGUCACCGCGCGAACUCUCUCCUCAAGCCAGCCUUCGUCCAAAAUUCAUGCCUGGCAUGUUGUUCGUGGUAGUUUUGAAGUUCACCACGGUUUGGUUUGGAUCCAGGUGUAGUAGAGAAGAUUUUACAAGCCAGGUAAGUUUCUGGUUGGUAACUUUGUGAUGUUACUGUGGUCAAAUGGCUGGGAGUUUGGGGCUAUGCUUUGGAGGCUAGUAAUAAGUUACUAAGGUAAAGAUGCACAAGAAAGUUCAGGUCAAAUGGAGCAAGUAAAAUGGUAGUUGCUAUAGAAACCACCAUUUCUGUCCGGAACAGAAAAGAUUUUCUGUAGCAAAAAUAUUCCAAAAAGUGAUGAAAUAUUUUUGCUCAGGGAGGUGCCCUAGGGUCCCUAGAAUAUUUGUGAAUUAUCUUAGAAUUUUCUAAGCCAUAAAAGUUAGGGUUUACUUGAAGCAAACAGAUCUGGCUUAGGGUUUUUGAGAGAAAAAGAAUAUUUUUCAUUUAAGAAAAAUAUUCCAAAGGUUAUUUUGUGGUGGAUCAGAAGUGAAGUGAUGGUUUGGGAGAGAAGUGAAUACUUGGGUGAAAGCCAAGGAUGCCCAAGUGUUUAAGUCCAAAUGAAAAGAUUCAGAAACUCCAAGUUUCAAAAACUUUCAAAUGAAAUAUCAAGCAAAUAAGAAAGGGCAAAAACCAGGCUAUCACAAUAUGGCAGAGAAAAAGUUCCAGAACCUAAAGUCUCAUGACUGCCACAUGAUUAUGACGCAACUGCUUCCGGCUGCAUUGAGGGGGCUUCUACCGGAAAACGUUCGAUUAGCCAUUGUGAAGCUAUGUGCAUUCCUCAAUGCAAUCUCUCAGAAGGUGAUCGAUCCAGAAAUCCUUCCAAGGUUAAGGAGUGAUCUGGCGCAAUGUCUUGUCAGUUCAAGCUGGUGUUCCCACCAUCCUUCUUCAAUAUCAUGACGCUCGUCCUAGUUCAUCUAGUCGACGAGAUUCUCGUUUUGGGCCCUGUAUUUCUGCACAAUAUAUUCCCCUUUGAGAGGUUCAUGGGAGUCUUAAAGAAAUAUGUUCGUAACCGCGCUAGGCCAGAAGGAAGCAUCUCCACGGGCCAUCAAACAGAGGAGGUCAUCCGUUUUUGUGUUGACUUCAUUCCUGACCUUAAGAAGAUUGGUCUCCCUCAAUCGCAGUAUGAGGGGAGACUGACUGGAAAAGGCACGCUAGGAGCGGACUCAAUAAUAUGUAGGGACGGGCAUUCUUGGCCUCAAGCACACUACACAGUUUUACAAAAUUCUACCUUGUUGACCCCAUAUGUCAAUGAACACAAGAAUAUUCUGCGCUCCAAACACUCGGAGCAGUGUGACGACUGGAUUACAUGUGAACACAUCAGGACUUUCGACAGUUGGUUGCAAACACGUCUCAUGGGUGACAACACUGUUUCUGAUGAGCUGUACUUGUUGGCCAGGGGACCAUCUUCGACUGUAUUGACUUACAGAGGGUAUGAGAUAAAUGGGAAUACAUUUUACACGAUCACCCAAGAUCAAAAGAGCACCAACCAAAACAGUGGUGUCUGCUUUGAUGCAGCAACCAAGAGGGGAAAGGACACAUAUUAUGGUUACAUAGUGGACAUAUGGGAACUUGACUAUGGACAUGAUUUUACGGUCCCUUUGUUUCAGUGCAAAUGGGUCAAUCUGUCAGGAGGCGGGGUACAGGUAGACCCACAGUACGGAAUGGCAACAGUGGAUCUGAAUAAUCUUGGGUACAUAGACGAACCAUUCGUCCUAGCCAAUGAUGUGGCACAUGUUUUCUAUGUGAAGGACAUGUCUACCAAACCGAGAAAAAGAAAAGAUAAGGAAGCGAAUACAUCAUACGAUGAGCCAAAUCACCACAUAGUUCUUUCAGGAAAAAGAGACAUCGUGGGAGUGGAGGGCAAGACAGCCAUGUGUGAAGAUUAUGAAAAGUUUCAUGAAAUUCCUCCCUUCAAAGUCAAGGCUGACCCAAGCAACCUGUUAAAAGGUGAAGAUUACCCAUGGUUACAGCGCAAUAAGCAAAGGACACAAGCGAAGAAAAAGUGAAGACUAUCACUGUAGUUACAUGUGAAGAAAUGAAAUGCCUUUUGUAACAGAUGAGUUUCCAUAUGAAACAUUGAUACUUCGAAAGAGAUUGUCCAUUUUGUACACGAAGUGCAUCCAGUUUUUGCCGUAACACUCUCAACUUUUUAAAACAUGCUAUGUGGGUGAAAUGAUGAUACCAUGCCAACUUUCAACCUUUUCAGGGUUCAUUUCAAGUGCUUUUCAAUUUCAGGGUCAUUUAGCUCAAAACAAUCAGUAAAUUCAUAAAAAAUACCAAAUUAAGUCAGAAAGGGUUGAAAAUUGAUGAUGUGGCUUUGAAUGGUGCAUUUUGAACACACAAAGAGUCUGGAGUUCAAAUAAGUUCAAAAAAUGAAAUCCCUUUGUAACAGAUGAGUUUUCGUCCGAAACCCUGAUACUUCGAAAGAGAUUGUCCAUUUUGUACAUGAAGCGCAUCCAGUUUUUGCAGUAACCCUCUCAACUUUUUAGAACAUGCUAUGUGGGUGAAAUGAUGAUACCAUGCCAAGUUUCAACUUUUCAGAGUUCAUUUGAAGUCCUUUUCAACUUCAAGGUCAUUUAGCUAAAAAAAUUAGUAAAUGCACGAAAAAUACCAAAUGAAGUCAAAAAGGGUUGAAAAUUGAUGAUGUGGCUUUGAAUGGUGCAUUUUGAACACACAAAAACUCUGUAGUUCAAAUAAGUUCAAAAAAUGAAAUCCCUUUGUAACAGGUGAGUUUUCGUCCGAAAGCCUGAUACUUCGAAAGAGAUUGUCCAUUUUGUACACGAAGUGCAUCCAGUUUUUGCCGUAACCCUCUCAACUUUUUAGAACAUGCUAUGUGGUGAAACGAUGAUACCAUGCCAACUUUCAACCUUUUAAGAGUUCAUAUGAAGUGCUUUUCAAUUUCAGGGUCAUUUAGCUCAAAAAAUCAGUAAAUGCAUGAAAAAUACCAAAUGAAGUCGGAAAGGGUUGAAAAUUGAUGAUGUGGCUUUAAUGGUGCAUUUUGAACACACAAAAAGUCUGGAGUUCAAAUAAGUUCAAAAAAAUGAAAUCCCUUUGUAACAGAUGAGUUAUCGUCCGAAACCCUGAUACUUCGAAAGAGAUUGUCCAUUUUGUACAUGAAGUGCAUACAGUUUUUGCCGUAACCCUCUCAACUUUUUAGAACAUGCUAUGUGGGUGAAAUGAUGAUACCAUGCCAACUUUCAACAUUUUCAAAGUUCAUUUGAAGGGCUUUUCAAUUUCAGGGUCAUUUAGCUCAAAGAAUGUGCUGCAGUCCGGCUCGCUCCGACCUUCAGCGAUCCUCAUCUUCGGGGAAUUCGCUGGAUCCCAAGGUGAUGGAUAGUGGGUCCCUUCCGGCGGCCUCUUCUCCCAAGGCCAUGGACGACGCGGAGGUGUUAUCCCGAAGGACCUCCCCAGGCCAGGGAGAGAAGCAGGAGGUCGUCGGGAUGGCGCCAGAGGGUGAUACCUCGGGGGCCGGACACGUGGGGGAGCAAAUCCCCAUGGAGACUGGCGAUGGGGGCCAUAUCCAAUUCGGCCCCCAGCCGAAUACAAUUCCGGAGGCCUAUAUGGCUCCGGAAUCAGACGAGCAGCCUCCUUCGAAAGAAGGAGGUGCACCGAUUCCACUGGCGACCUCUGUCCAUCUAGAGGCACCGGAUACUCUACUGGAAGCGCUGUGAAGCGCUUCCAUUGUGGAGGAACACCGUACCCUCAUGGGCACGGUGGUUGGGAGGAUUCAGUCCGUGAAAAGCGAACUGACCGAAGCCUGCACCAGCCUUCUAACAGGCUUUGAGGUAUGAAACGCAAUUUAUGUAAAAGGAAUGUCAUAGUAUAGACAGUAGCCCCUGAUACACUGUCCGGUGAUCGAAAAGAAAAGCCGGACAGAGGAUCAAAUAAUAUUCGCAGGAGACAAACCAUACAUGUCUAUGUGAACAAGCAGGCGUCUUUGCUGGCUGCGACCUCUCAUUCUGCCGAAGUCUCCAGACUAAAGCAGAGUCUGGAGCGGACCAAGAAAGAGCCCGGCAGUGUGAAAAAACAGUUGGAGGACCAUCAAGGUAUGCAAUGACCUUGCGUAGAUUCAGAAAGGAUGAAUUGUUUGUAUUGACCAUAGUGCCAUGAUAUUUUAUAGGAGCGGCGACCGAGGUGGAGACCCUCAAGAAGGCGCUGGCCGAAGCCCAGGAGAGAGCAACAAAGGAACAAGCCGCUCGCGAGAAACACGAGGCCAGGGUUGGUGAGGUCCAGCAGGAGCUCCAGGACGCCGUGAAGAAAUGCGGGUCCUUGGAGUGCAAUAUUGCGGAUCAAGAGACCGAACUUGCCAAGGCCCGCCAAAGCACACACAAUGCCGGGGUUGAAGCCCAGGGCGCCUUCCAGGAGAUCUAGGAGGCCAGAAAAAUCGCGGCGGGUAAGGCCUUUAUUAUGCAGAGCAAGUAUGUGAAGAAAGGUUCCUCUUACUGACCGGAUUUAGAGUUCUCCAGGGGCAUUUGCGGAUCUGCCGCGCAGUGUUGCCGACGCUACGGAAUUCUUCCGAGUCGAAGAGGGGAGCUCAACGGAGAAGCUAUUCUGGUCGCAAUACCUUGCACCAGAGCAUCUGGUGCCCUCUAGCGAUCAGCUGAAACAGCUGACCAAACUGCACAGGGUAGCCGAACUAGCCAUGAAGGAUUUAAUAAUCCGUUUGUGGCCUGCCGAAGCCAUACCCAGCAGCUACUUCGGGCUCAUGAAGCGGCUGGUCAAUACCUGCCCUCGGCUUGAUGCCAUCAAGCGGUCGGUCUGCAUCGAAGGUGCGUGGAUGGCCUUCGCCCGUGUCAAGAUGCAGUGAGCGAAGAUGGACGCCGUCAAGCUCGCGACCGAGGGACUGCCCGCGGGCAAGGAGCACCGCACGCCCGAGCGGUAUUUUGAUUAUGUCCUCAAGGGAUCCCGCAUUGUAGAGGGCUAGUGCUCCAAAGACAUUAUCUUUGAAUGAAGUCAUUCAUGUUAUCCCUUCCUGUAUUAUGGAACAAAGCCGUUGUGUAAUAUAAUGUUUGUUGUUUGAAAAGUUUACCUCCUGUGCGGCCGCUUUAUUAAAUCUGAGAGUUGGCCAGUCGUCGGCUUCAGCCCCCACGUAGGUAGUACGGGGGUGUUCGGGAUGAAUCUAAACACUCUUGAUCCAAGAGUUUGGUCCUUGAAGGAGGUGUUUAGCGCAACGAACCAGGCAAUCGGACUAUGUGGCUUUAUCACCCUCACUUAGCCAUAGGAGUUUGACAAUAGAAAUGUAGGCGCGGCCCCUAGUUAGUUUUUAAUCCGGACUAGGGCGCUGUAGACACCUGAUCGGGUAGAGACCAAUUCAUCGCAUAAUGCAGAAAAAAUCGCAAAAGAUUUGUAACCUCUGAACAGCUGACCGGCUCACGUCGCGUCAUGACAGUCAGUUUUCUGCUUUCUCUACUGAGGUGCUCAUCCGGAUAAACCAGGACACAAUCACAGUAGUUCUCCCUUUACUACCCUAGCCGAUAUAGCGGAACAUAAGGUAGUAAGCACAGGAGCCGGGCAACCCAACUAUUGACCAAAGACAUGAUUCGGAGCCGAUGCAUAUAAUGCUAAAAUUGACGGAGGCCGAAUUGCUAGUCUGACUCCUGACGAGCUGGACUGUCCCGCUGCAGAGUAGUCCGGACUCGUUUGACAGUGUCCGGGAGCUUGGCCGCCGAAUUAAAGUUCUGCUUGAUAAGGCCGCUCUAUACUUCUGCUGCUAGGGCCGCGGUGUGCUCCUCAGUAUGGAGGGAGCGUUCCAUGUUUCCAUUGACUGUUAUAACACCGCAUGGUCUGGGCAUCUUGAGUUUGAGAUAAGCAUAGUGUGGUACCGCAUUGAAUCGAGCAAAUGCGGUUCGUCCGAGCAGUGCAUGAUAAUCGUUGCGGAAGGGGACGAUAGCGAAGAUCAAGUCCUCACUUCGGAAGUUGUCCGGAGAUCCGAAGACGACUUCCAAUGUGAUUGAGCCCGUGUAGCGGGCUUCUACACCUGGUAUUACUCUUUUAAAGGUAGUUUUUGUGGGCUUGAUCCUUGAUGGAACAAUGCCCAUUUUGCGCACUGUAUCCUGAUAGAGCAGGUUGAGGCUGCUGCCACCGUCCAUGAGGACUCGCGUGAGGUGGAAUCCAUCAAUGAUUGGGUCAAGGACCAGUGCGGCUGAACCGCCAUGACGGAUACUGGUCAGAUGGUCCCUGCGAUCAAAGGUGAUCGGGCAGGACGACCAUGGGUUGAAUUUUGGGGCGACUGGCUCUAUCGCAUAGACGUCCCUGAGCGCAUGUUUGCGCUCCCUCUUGGGGAUAUGGGUGACGUAUAUCAUGUUCACCGUUUUAACCUGGGGGGAAACUGCUUCUGUCCCCCUGUGUUUGGUGAACGGGGCUCCUCUUCAUCGUCCUCACUUUGCGACCCCUUCUCCUUGUUCUCGGCAUUUAACUUGCCGGCAUGUUUAAAGACCCAAAAACUCCGGUGGGUAUGAUUGGCUGGUUUAUCAGGGGUGCCGUGGAUCUGACAUGGACGAUCGAGUAUGCGGUCCAAGCUGGAAGAGCCCGGAUUGUUCCUUUUGUAUGGCUUCUUCCGCUGACCGGACUUGGAGCCACUGAAUCCGGCGUUAACCGCCGUGUCAUCUGUAUUGUCACCAUUGUUUCGACGCUUAUGCCUGUUGCGCUGGGGCUUGCCGUUGCUAUUCUUGGCUUCAUAGGUGCCAGGUUCACUUGCAUUAUUAUUGCUACAGGCUAGCCAACUAUCUUGAGUGCCGUGAGGGCUGCCAUGGACUUCGGCUUUUCCUGGCAGAGGUGUCGGGCUAGCCAUUCGUCGUGGAUGCUGUGCUUAAAGGCCGCUAGGGCUUCGGCAUCCGGACAGUCGACGAUCUGGUUCUUUUUAGUUAAGAACCGAGUCCAGAAUUUCCUGGCUGACUCUCCGGGCUGUUGGACUAUGUGACUUAAGUCAUCGGCAUCCGGAGGUCGGGCGUAUGUACCUUGGAAGUUGUCGCGGAAGGCGUCUUCCAGGUCCUCCCAGCUGCCAAUGGAGUUUUCAGGCAGGCUGUUCAACCAGUGUCGAGCUGGUCCCUUGAGUUUUAGUGGGAGGUAUUUGAUGGCAUGAAGAUCAUCACCGCGGGCCAUAUGAAUAUGGAGAAGAAAAUCCUCAAUCCAUACCGCAGGGUCUGUUGUCCCAUCAUAUGAUUCGAUGUUCACAGGUUUAAACCCUUCUGGGAAUUCGUGCUCCAUUACUUCAUUAGUGAAGCAAAGGGGGUGUGCGGGGCCUCUAUAUCGGGCCAAGUCGCGACGUAGCUCGGAUGGAGUCCGUCUGCGGUUUUCAGCCCGGGCGUGAUUAUGCUUGUCUCGUCUGGCUAGAUAGUCGUCGUCGUGCGUCGGGGCACGCCCCCGCGAUCCGUAGAUCAAUCUGGUCUGACCUGCUCUAUUGUCCAGGUCCUGCCGCAGAUCAUAUGUAUAUCCCCGAGAUGAUACAUCUCUACCUUUACAGCGAGGUAGUAUGGGCUGGUUUUCGGCUUGAGUUGUCGUUUUGUCCCGGCCACGAGGUGGUCGGUCAGCCGCAUUACAUGCUGAUGGUACGGGCUUGAUGGCCUCGUCGUCAAAUUGGGGCAGCAGUUUGCGCUUCGGGUAACUUUUGGUUGGGCGCUCGAGGCCGUAUUCCUCGGCUGCCAGGACAUUAGUCCACCUAUCGUUGAGCAGAUCUUGAUCAACUUGAAGUUGCUGCUGUUUCUUUUUCAGGCUCCUUUGCAGUGGCAACUAGCCGGCGCUUAAAGCGCUCCUACUCGAGAGGUUCCUUAGGCACGAUAAAAUCCUCGUUGCCGAGGCUCACCUCAUCCUCGGAGAGAGGAAGAUAAUUGUUGUCCUCCGAGUCUUCGUUUUCAGCCUGUUCAUCGGGGCUAACUUGCCCAUCUUCCUGGUCGUCCUGUUCAGAGAUCGGCUCGACGGGUUCUUCUUUGUCUUCGGCACCGCCUGGAGUGUUGUUGCCUCCUGUGCCGGUAUUGCUGUCUUUUCCACGGCGUGAUUUAGAGCGGCGGCUGGCGUCGGUGCUUUGGCUGUGUCUCAGGAGGUUUAUCCUCGACUAGAUCUUCUUUAUCAUCGCCGCUACCCUCUUUGGGUGCGUCCACCAUGUACACGUCAUACGAAGAGGUGGUUGUCCAGCGUCCGGUGAACGGCGGGUUUUCGGCCUGCUCCUCCCCGGCAUCGUGGUCCAUACCAUCAAUGUCUUCGGAGCCGUAGUUGAGCAUGUCAGUUAAGUCCUCGACGGUGGCUAUGGAGUGGGUGCUGGGUGGGACGUAAAAUUCCCUGCUCCCAGCCCCUAGUCCGGGCUGGGCGUAGUUCGGAUGUUGCUCCUCUAUAAUGACGAGAGAUCGCAUCAAGUCCAGAGCCAUUCUUAAAGGCGAGGUUUGGCCCGGGAGAAGAAAAUCCGUGGAGCAUGGCGGGAAGGAAACUCCUUGGCCGAGCUCACACGAUGCUGACUCCGAGAGUUCGGAGACAGUGUCCAGAGGAGAGUCCGGCUUCAUGAUGGUUGCCAGCGACACUACUUCCUCCGGUCCUCCCGUACUGGGUUUAGUGGCCGCAGAUAGUCCGGCGGGCUUAGUAAUCUCGUCUUUGGACAUGGCGACGCGCUCCGGAUCUAAAGCCAGAGCGGAGGUUGGGGUCGUGAACCCUUGGAAGAUCAAGUCUCCUAGGAUAUCAGCGACAUGAUCCAGAUUUCCAAAACUAAUCUGGUGACCUGGGGCGUAGCUGUCGAUCUACUCUAGAUGGCCAAGCGAGUUGGCCCGCAGUGCGAAGCCGCUGAAUACGAAGAGCUGGCCGGGGAGAAAUCCUCCCGCAGGACAGCGUUGUUGUAGAUGACUGAUGAAUCCAUCGAACCUUCUGAUGAUGACGCAGCGGAACUCUCAAUGGAAGCACCAAUGUCAGUGUCAAAACCGGCGAAUCUCGGGUAGGGGGUCCCGAACUGUGCGUCUAAGGUCGAUGGUAACAGGAGACGGGGGACACGAUCUUUACCCAGGUUCGGGCCCUCUUGAUGGAGGUAAUACCCUACUUCCUGCUUGAUUGAUCUUGAUGAAUAUGAGAAUUACAAGAGUUGAUCUACCACGAGAUCGUAAUGGCUAAACCCUAGAUCUCUAGCCGGUAUGAUUAUGAUUGCCUCUACGGACUAAACCCUCCGGUUUAUAUAGACACCGGAGGGGGCUAGGGUUGUACAAAGUCGGUUUACAAAGGAAGGAAUCUACAUAUCCGAACGACAAGCUUGCCAUCCAUGCAAAGGAGAGUCCCAUCUGGACACGGGAAGAAGUCUUCUGUCUUGUAUCUUCAUAGCCCAUUAGUCUGUCCCAUGUUACACAGCCCGGACGUCUGAGGACCCCUUAAUCCAGGACUCCCUCAGCUACCUCAAAGCCCGGCCGUUGUGGGACAAAGCUGAGAAUGACCUGCUUGAUAAAGGGGUCGAACCAGCAUCAUUGAACUGGCCAGACCGUUCAAUGACUUGGUUCUUCGGGGUUGGGGGAACUUUGGACCCUGAAACAGGGGAGUGCCGUUGGACGGACGAGCAACUUGCAAUACCCAUCAAGAAGCUUCAGAAGUAUAUCACCGCAGCGCAGAAAGGGACGUUCAUUCCUGACAAAGAGAAGGACGAGCUGACUGAGGCCCUCGGGAAUCCUGAGCACCCUGGACGAACACGAGGCACACCAGGCUCCAUUCCGUGGGUGGUUGGGUUUCCCAGCGUAGGCGGUUACAGAAGCCGGGAGAGGAAGAGGAAAGCGGAGCUGAGCAAAAUGCAGAAGCUUAAUGCAAGACUACUAAAGCUAGAGGAACUUGAGAGCCAACGAGCUACCGGCCAACCAUCUCAGCAGCACGAAGCUACCGCAGAAGCUACCCCGCCAUCUCAGCGGAGAAGCAGCGUGGCUUCCAGGGAGCUCGUUCAGCCUGACUUCGCGGCUCCUAGCUACCCCGUGGAUACUAUCACGGAGGCUCAACAUUGCCAGCUUAUAAUGAAAUGGCAGAACCUCACUUUGAAGGCGGCUGUCGGCUUUGUUGCACCUCCUCAACCUGACAGAACUUUUCACUGUCGUUCGAUUCCACAUGGCUAUGCUGUUGUGACGGUGGAUGAAGUAAUGGAGGGAUUUGAGGAGCUCGAGCUUGACCACCCUACAGGUGAAGGGGAUAAUCAGCUGGUUUAUGCUUUGAGGAGUACAUGCUAUGGCGGAAGGAGUACAUCAAGCUUCCAAACUAGACGCCUCCUCCUCCGGUGAGUCAAGGCACUCCGCCUCCUCCUCCGGCGAGUGAUCAGGGCACUCCGCCUCCUUCUCCGGCUCCUCCGACGCGUGAGGGCACUCCGCCUCCUCCGGCUCGUUGGAGCAGUCUACCUCCUCCUCUGCCUCGUCAGCAACGGCAGAAGACAGACGCCGCCACUCAGCCGCGUCGGAGCACUCCGCCUCCUUCUCCGCCUCGUCAACAACGAUGGAAGAGAGACGCAGCCGUUCUGGUGGCUAGCAGUACAAGGAGAGGCGGGAGGCAAUUCAGAUACGGUCCAUCUCUCAAGCAUCUGGAAAAGUUGCCAUACGAGAGGACCGGAAGGAAAACAUGGAGAUCUGUGAAGCCCAAGUGAGGGACUUUUUUGCAAAGAAACCUCCACCUCCGAAGGAGAUGAUAGAUCCGGUGAAAGCGAAGCGCACUAUCGAUGCCCUGAAGUGACCACCAUCGCCUCCACCGGAUUCCAACUAUGACCGCUGUCUUAAAAAGACAUAUGAAGAUGCGCGGCGGUCGGUAAGUACUUCCAGUGAUGCAAGGUUAGCACAAUGAAGAAGUGGGAAAAAUUUCCCCAGCUCGGCGAACAGGCGAACCAAUCGUGCCCCCCACUCAAGGUGUCUAGCGAUAUCAUCGCUAAUCAGCAGGGGAUGGUGCCCGAUACCAAUCCUGCUGAUUACCUGAGCGAUGGUUUAGAGUUUGAAACAAUGGAGGUGGACGAAUUCAGAUACCAGUACGGGCAGCCUCUCGUCAAACCUGAUCAUCCUCCUCUAACAACGAUGAUGCGAAGAUUCCAUGAAUGGUACAUGAAAACCUGCAGCGAGUCUGGGAAGGAUACUUUGACGAUGAGAAUUAAAGUGGAGCACGACCUCGUUGGAAUGGAUCUGUUGUCUGUUGAAUUUGAUGAGUUAUUCCAGUUAUACAAUCAAAAGGCCCUCGACAAAACACUCGUGAGUUGCUACUGUCUGUAAGUACUACUUCUGUAAUUAAGUCUCUAUAUAUAGCUCAACUCUUUCAUGCCAUGUGUAUAUAUAAUUAUCCUCGCUAUAUUAUGCAGAUUGAAGAUCGUCGAAUGCAGAAAAGCACAAAUCUAAGACAUUGGGUUCAUUAACCCAAAUAUCAUGCAUGAAUGGACGAUUCAAAAGAGUGUCACAGAAACCGAGGACAACUUGCUACAAUCGUUGCACAAAAAUCAAAACAAAGAUAAAAUACUCUUUCCUUACAACUUCAAGUGAGUGUUACUGUCUUGUGCAUAUUCAGCUUCCCUUAUUACACGAGGUUAUAGUAAUGUAAUUGAUGAGUUAUGCAUGCGUGCGCAGCUUCCACUUUAUUCUGCUAGAGAUUAAGCUUGACCGGGGAGUAGUAACCGUCUUAGACUCGAGACGAAAAGAUCCCUAGGACUAUGCGGACAUGACUGAAAUGCUCCAGAAGUAAGUUCAAUCGAUCAUUAUCGCACCAUAUCAGCAACUUUGUUCAUUUCCUGAUAUCAAGUAAUUAUUUUCUUUGUCUGGCAGGGUUUGGAAAGAGUUCACCGCAAUUUUUCUGGGACUACCGGGGGAGCUGCGAUUUACACACCUGAAAGUACUACUACCUAGUUCCGCGCAUCUCCCAUUGAUUCUAGCUAGUUUCAUCAAUACCAUUUACCAUGCUUGCUUAUCAAUUUGAUUGACCUCUAUUUCUCAUAAAGUGCUUGUGGUAGGAAGCUGGGAAUGAUUUUUGUGGAUACUACGUUUGCGAGUUCAUCUACAAUGCGACGGCAUCUAAGCGGGGCUACUAUGAAAAACAAUAUGAAGUGCGUAAGAAAAAAUAUUCAUAAUUUUAUUUUAUUACCAUCAUUUGUGUUGAGUUUCAUUCAUAUACAUGUAUUGACCCCCUUCUUCAAAUUAGAUCUGGCAGAUGCGGGAUGAACUCCUACCACAUGAUCGCAUACGAGCAAUUCAAGAGGAAUUGGCGGGAUUCUUUCUUGACCACGUCAUCAAUAAAGCCGGAGAAUACCAUGUGGAAAUUGAUAUAGACAUGAGAUGUUAGGGAUUGUAAGAGAUCUUAUAUUGUAUAUAUGUAGCUAGUAGCGUCAGACAGAUAUACGAAAACUUGUUGUUCGACAAAUCUCUCGGAGAAAGAGAGGUCACUCCUCUCUGUAUAUGUUCAUGACGAUCUUUUGUAAUUAAUGGUUCCUUCAUUUGCUUACUAGCUAGCGUGUCGGGUUCUCUCUAUACGUAUAGUAGCUAGCGUCGACCAAGCACGGAGAUAAGAGAUGUCACUUCUCUCUAUUAGCUAGCUAACACAAUAUAUGAAACCCCUAAAUUAACCCUCCAAAAACCCCUAAACCCCCUAACCCCACCCCCCCUUCAAAAAAACAAAAACCCCUGCUCCUGCCAGCUGCUGACGCGUGGAUGCCUUUUGGUCCCGGUUGGUGUUACCAACCGGGACUAAAGGUCCUCCUGCUUAGGGGGCCCGCAGCGGCCACGUGAAGCCCCUUCUGUCCCGGUUCGUAAGCGAAUCGGGACUAAAGGUUUUGGGCUUUAGUCCCGGUUCUAGAAUCGGGACAAAUGGGUCAUUUUCUACUAGUGUAAAUAGGCUUGGCUCUUCGACCAAGGAGGCGUGAAGGUGGAGGGGACUCGCACGUAAGAGAUGAGACAAUCUACACGGACUGCCUUCCACAAAUCGAAUAUAAGCACUGCACUGGCCGACCCAUCCCACAACACCUGAUCUGAUUUCUUCGAGUUUUCAACUGUAUUUCAGUUUUUUUCUUUCCUUUUUUGUCAUUUUAUUGUUUUGAUGUUUCUUCAAGGAUUGUUUUUGGUUUACUACUUUUAUUUUUAUUUAUUUCUUAUUCAUUUCUAUUAUUUAUGUUCCUUUUUGUAUUAAAUUUUAUUUUUCCUAUAUAUAAACAUAUUUUCAUAAAUACACUAAUAUAACACAAAAACCAUUUUCCAAAACUAAAUGAACAUACAUUGAAUAGUUUUUAAAUAAUAUUUAGUUUCUUUGACUUAUACAUGGACAUUUUUCCUUGAGAACACAUGUUUUUCAAAAAUAAUGCAAGAACACUUUUUUAUAUAUCAUGAAUAUUAUUUUGAAAAAAGUUCCAACACGUGAACCCUUUUUAAUUGUGUGUUUUUUUAAAAUCGAUGUACACAUUUUUAAAAUACGUGAACACUGUUUAGGUACAUAAUUUUUUUAAAUAUGUGAACUCUUUUUAAAAAUCAUGAUCAAUUUUCGAAAUUCACACAUUUCUAAGUUAUGAGAAUUUUUCAAAAUAUGCUGACAUUUUCUAAAAACAUAAACACUUUUCAAAUUCCAUGAGCAUUAUUUAAAAUACAUAAAUACUUUUAAAUUUAUACAAACAUUUAUUUAAUCAUGAAAGUGAAAUUAAAAAAUGCAUACGCAAAAAUGGAAAAAGUGAAACAAAGGAAAAUAAAAAUGUGAAACAAAAGGUUAAAGAAGAAAAUAUGCUAUACAAGAAAUAAACAAUGCGGGUUGCUUUGGUGACGUACAAACACUAGCUUACAGAAUGCUGGCCUAGCUUUUUACGCUAGACAAGAUGGUAGCCUAGUUUUUCGCCUUCUUUAUAUAUAAAAGAUGAUAUAUCGGUUAAAAAUACAAGGAGACAAGAGGUGAAAACGAGCCGGUCCAAUAACGAAGCGCCCUUCUUUCCGUGAUGAGGUGUGUCACAUCAGUUUCCUUUUUUUGUCAUUUUUAAUGGAGGGAAGCAAGAGGAAUUCAGACCCUCCCGCGGUCUCAGGCAGGGCGAUCCUAUAUCUCCGUACCUAUUCUUAUUCACUGUGAAAGGUGUCUCCUGUCUGCUGAGAUCCACAAGUCCAACUGAACGUGUACAGGGUAUUACGGUGGUAGUCGGUGCUCCCCAGGUAAAUCACCUAUUUUUUGCUGAUGACAGCCUCUUGUUCUUUAAUGCUACACCUGAGAUGGCGAAUAGAGUGGACUUUCUUUUGCAAAGAUAUUGUGCUGCUUCAGGGCAGCGUAUUAAUAGGGAGAAGUCUUCAAUACUCUUCAGCAAGGGUUGCUCUGAAACUGAGGCAGAAGGUAAAACAGAUUCUUGAAGUCCAAAAUGAGAAAUUGACCGAAAAAUACCUUGGCCUCCCAUCUAAUGUGGGAAGAGCCAAGGAAGGGUCUUUCAAGUACCUCAAAGAUAGAAUUUGGAAGCAAGUACAAGGCUAGAUGGAGAAGGCUUUGUUAGUUGGAGGAAAGGAGGUGCUCAUUAAGUCGGUUGCUCAAGCAAUCCCUACGUACUCUAUGGCUUGCUCCAGACUGCCAAGGGGUUUAUGUCAGCACAUCAAUGAUCUUUUGAGGAAGUUUUGGUGGGGAUCCAAGAAAGGAGAGAGGAAGACCGGCUGGGUCUCUUGGGAAGUUAUGUCACAUCCAAAAUUUAUGGGAGGCGGGGGUUUCUGCGACAUCGCACUCUUUAACCUGGCUUUGCUUGCGCGACAAGCCUGGCGUCUCCUCCAUGAACCCAACUCCCUCGACACCCAGAUAUUAAAGGUUGUGUACUACCCUUUCAUCUUCGAUUCUUGAAGCAGAGGUGGGGAAGAACCCAUCACAAGUUUGGCACUCUAUAGUUGAAGGAAGGGACAUGUUAAAACUUGGUCUAGUGAAGCGGAUUCGUUUGGGUGAGGAUACCAACAUCUUGCUCGACAAUUGGAUUUUAAACUCCGACCCAUGUGCCCAAAAUCUUCAAGUCCUCCGCACAAGGUCUCGGAGCUCAUCAACUCUGCCACCGCAGCAUGGGACUGCGACGCCCUUGACGAGCACUUUUAUGCGAUGGAUAAGGAAGCGAUGUUAAACAUUCCUCUAAGCUCCAAGGUCCGAGAGGAUUUCUGGUCAUGGCAUUAUGAACGGAAAGGCAUCUUCACGGUGCGUUCCGCGUACAGGCUUUUAUCAUCCACCAAGCAGUAACACACAGAUUGGCUAGAACACAAUGAAGGACACUCAAAUGGUGAAGCACAUCGUCGGUCAUGGUCUAAGCUUUGGGGAGCUGUUGUUCCCUCGAAAGUCAGAGUUUUUUUUUCUAAAGAUUAGCCAAAACUUUGAUCCCUACAGGAGAUGUUCGUAAGCACAGAAGCAUAGCUGAUUCCGUUGUGUGUUCAUUAUGUCACACAGUAGUAGAUACAUGGCGCCACUCUCUCUUUGACUUCCGUAUGGCGCAGUGCGAUUGGGCCCUUGCCGAUGAAGAUCUUACCAAGACUAUCAUCUCAAACCGGACGGAGGACGCCAAGCUUUGGAUGUUAUGGCUUGUUGACACGCUACCCUCGGCACGCGUGUUUGUGACGAUGUGGGAAAUUUGGUGGGCGAGGCGUCGAGCCAUCCAUGAUAAUCAGUUUCAAAGUCCGCUGAGUACUCAUAUUUUCGUCAACAAAUUCAUGGUUGAGCUCGAGUUGAUCCCUGAGAAGAAGCCACAUUGUAAGGACCUGCAUGUAAAUGCGAGAGGCCUGCAUGUCAUUUCAGGAAAUAACAACGAGCAACCGCCACUGACUGGGUGGGUCCCGUCCGAUAGCCACGAUGUGAAGAUGAAUGUGGAUGGCGGCUUUUCCAAGAUCGGGGACUGUGGAGCUUUAGCAGUGAUCUGUAGGGAUAAGAGAGGUAAUUAUUUUGGUGACUCGGCUAUUAUCUUUGAGGGUCUUCUGGAUCCAACAGUACUCGAAGCAUAGGCAUGCAAUGAGGCUCUCUCACUUGCCACUGAUUUACAUGUCCACUUAGUGUGCGCGGCAUCGGAUUGUCUAGAAGUAGUGACGAAUAUACAAGCUGAAGUUUCCUGCCGGUAUUUUGCUAUCUUGCAAGACAUCAAGCACCAGAGAAGUUUAUUUCAAGAUAUCAAGUUUAUUCAUGAAAAUUGGAAACAUAACAGAGAGACCCAUGCCUUAUCAAAGACAGAUGCUUCUCUUACUCCCGGGUGCCACGUGUGGCUUACUUGUUUGCCCGACAUCAUCUGUAUCCCUAUGUGUUUGAACGUUUAAUAAAAGAUGCAGUUUGGUAAAAAAACGCAUUUCAAUAUUUGUCAAAGUUACUCUGUCUACAUUUGCAUAAAACACCCUGAGAUGAGAUAAAUUACAAUCGUAGCCUUUUUUGGAAUUAUGGGGCGUUUUCGCUCCAAGAUUUACCCACAUGUAUGAAAAUGACCUAUGGGUAAGUUUGAACAUGGCACGUGUAUUUUUUGGUACGCUGUGGGGUAGAAAUCGUGUGGUGGCUCUAGGCUUAUGGUCAAAAUUUUGUGAACGUGUGUGCUGAAUUCGUGGGUGUGGUUAGCGAUUUUGGGUGCGUGUGGGCCAUGUGGCUCUGUUGACUUGCGCGUGCAUGCUUCAUUGUUUUCCUCCUUCAUGUUGCCUUGCGUGUUUCGAUCGGUGCGAUCCACACGUUGUUGUGUGUCGUACCGUGGUAGGUUUGGCUUGCCAAUCGGUGUUGUUCUACCCUGUUAAUCGGCGCUGCUUUGGACAUUUAGCUUUAGAUACUUAAUCGGUGCUGCUUUCAUUGACUGAUCUAGAGACGACGCUACUAGUAGGCCUUUGGUGUUCGUUUCAGUUUUCCCUUCUCAUCUUCUCGCGGGCUAUAAAUAGGUAUUCCUCCAAGAACGGCGAUGGUGUGCUCGGGCUCGCGCGCUCUCGAUGCGUGGACGAACGAGUCAAUGACGCGUGCACGAUUGGAUUUAAUGCUAUCAUGUGCGUACACGACAGUGCAGUUACCCCGCCGUCCGAGUUAACCCGGUUUUAACAGCCCAUCUUCGAGGUGUUCCGUCAGUACAGAAGUGUGGUAGCGGCCCAUAACCUAUCGCCGCCGCCGUCCGUUACGGAGACGCCGUUGCAUGAAUGGGUAGUUGGGUGCCCAGCCGUGGAAAGUAAAUGGGUACCCAACUUUCGGCCCACGGUCGUCUAGUCGUAGGUAAACAGUAACACAAAUAUAUCCUCUUUCUCUCCUUGCCGCCUAGACCAGGAGCUCAUGGCUAUGCAGAUGGCGACCGCCGGAGAUGAUGAAGUCGACUUCCUGUCAGAUCCCGUCGACAGGUAAUUUUUUCAGCUCCUAUCAACUAACCCGUGUGGUAUUAGCUGGUUUUAAGACCUGAUCUGUUCUAUCCUUCUGGCACAAGAUUUUCACUCUCAGAUCUUGCUGCGGGACAGCCCUUGUUUGAUAAUGAGAAGUACAAAUCCAUGGAGUGUGAGCCUGCUGAAUCAAGCAUUGGUAAUGUAGGAGAUGCUCCGGUCAACAGCAAUUGCGGUGCAAUUGCCUUGUACGCACAAGUACCUGAGGAAUCUACCACGCCUGAAGCCCUAGGCUGGACAAAGAGGUGCAACACUGUGCCCAAUCUUCAGUUACCAUUACAUGCGUAUAUAACAUUUUGUCAUUGUAUCUUAUUACGCACUGGUUAACUAUCCGAUUCCAUGGAUUACAUAUAUAACCAAAAGUGUCCAAACGUCAUGCUUCAUAUGCGUUCUUUUAACUGAUACAGAAUCCGUGUCGGGGCAGCAUCUAGCGAGCGCCACCCUUGUGCUGACAGGGUGAGUGCUUUGGAAGAAACCUUACGAAGAUAUGCCGAAAAGAAAACUGACACUGUCGUAGUUCCUGCUAUGGGUACCAAAUUUGAUUCACUUGGAGAAGCCUACGAUUUCUACAAUCUCUACUCAUGGGAGAUUGGUUUUAGAGUUAGAUACGGAAAAAGGCGGCUAAAUGUGGGAAGAACAAAAUGUAUGCAGGAGAUAGUUUGUGGAUGCUCUGUAAGUGCACUUUCUGAAAAUCAUUGGCAUAUUUAUUGGGCCUGCCUUGAUGUUACAGAAUAAUAAGAAUAUCGCCACACGGGCAAUUGUUGUGUUUGCUGCAGGGGAUACCAAAGAAGAGUAAUAUAAGAACUUGCCGAUGCAGAUGCCCUGCAAUGAUAAGACUGCUUCGAUCAAGCGGCAAUGGCCGGUACGUAACUGAGUACAGGGCAGAUCACAACCACGCGUUGACUGAAAAAUAUGGUGAGAAAAUAUACUGGCCUUCACACAAGCAUAUUGACAUAUACACGCGAAAUGUUAUCAAGCAACUCCGCGAAAAUAAUAUUAGCAUUGGAAAGGUGUAUAAUAUUAUUGGUAGCUUCUUUGGUUCAAUGAGCAAUGUACCAUUAGCAAGAGAACGUUGCGAGGGCUGUGUGGCAAGAUCAGCAGAGAGCAAGCUGACAAUGAUGUGAAGAAGACCGUCGAUGUCUUUGCUGAGCUGGGAGCAACAGAUUAUGGGUUGUACUAUAGAGUACAACUUGAUCAAGACAGCCGCAUAAGAAAUUUGUUAUGGUCAACCGGAGCUAGCAGAGCACAAUACCACUAUUUUGGAGGGACUGAGAUCCAGUGCCUUUAUCAAGUGAAGUCACGCUGCAACUUUACCCUACUAAUCUCCAUCCAAUCCACAUCCUACGGUUCAGAUCACAUAAGGGAAAAGGCUCUCAACACUUAGCAGUUUCAGGAUAGCAGCAAACAUCAAUAAGCUGCAAACAACGAUGCAGUGGCACUUGAACUCAGUUUUAUUUGAACAGAUUGAAACCCAAAAAAUAAAGAACUGCAGAUACUCAUGAACAGACUAUAAAACAAAAUUUGGUUUGGUUAUACAGUAGUGCAUUAUGCAAUCAAAGUGGAAUAAAUCAAUUGCAGUUGACACUAAAUCCAGUAGAACUUGAUAUUAAAAGGCUGCAGCGCAUAAUGUCCGAAUGCUACAGCAAUAAGUUUCAAUGUUGAGUAAUCAUCUACACAAAAGCUAUGCUGAAAACUGCUAAGUGUUGAGAGCUUUCCUAUGUGUGAUCUGGACCGUAGGAUGUGGAUUGGAUGGAGAUUAGAAGGGUAAAGUUGCAGCGUGACUUCACUUGAUAAAGGCACUGGAUCUCAGUCCAUUUUGGAGAUGCCAUUACAUUCGAUACAACAUACCGCACAAACAUGUAUGACAUGCCAUUUGGAUUAUUUGCAGGAGUCAAUAAUCACUUUCAGAGUAUCAUUUUUGACGGGGUGCUAGUCAGAGAUGAAACAGAGGAGAGUUUUGAAUGGGUCUUCACUGAGUUCAUCCGCAUGAUGGGGGGAAGAAGCCACAAACAAUACUCACUGGUAAGUAGGAGGAAUCCAUAACUUGCUGCCAAUCAACAUGUUCAUGUUCAGUUACUGCACAUCGUCGAUAUACUAAUAUUACUAUGUGUCUUUGUGCAUGUCUGUAGAUCAAUCCCGAGCAAUGGAGUUAGCUAUAAAGAAAGUGAUGCCAGAUACUACUCACCGUUGGUGCAAGUGGCAUGUGCUCAAGCGGGCAAAAGAAUUUCUUGGGCAACAUUACACAAAGCGAAGCAAAUUCAUGUCAGAAUUUCACAAGAUAAUACAUCACAUGCUCACAGUUGACGAAUUUGAGACUGCAUGGAAACAACUCAUUGAAACAUAUGGUUUACAAAAACACCACUAUCUGACCCAAAUAUAUGAAACAAGGAAAAAGUGGGCAAAACCAUAUUUCCAUGGCAAAUUUUGUGCAAAGAUGACAAGCACACAACGCAGCGAGAGUGCAAACCAUAUGUUGAAAACUUAUGUUCCAGCUAGUUGCCCAAUGCAUCUGUUUGUUCGCCAGUUCAUGAGGCUUCUUUUUGAUAGAGAAGCAAAUGAGAACUAUGAAGAAAGAAGAACAAAGAUAGUAAGUUUGAUAGAAAUGUGUCCAAAAGUUUGUAUUACUGAACAUUUCUGUCAAGUUUGCUAUCUAAUGGUCGAACAUGUGCAGGUAGCCCCGGUGCUGAAGCUGAAGACACCAAUCGAGUUGCAUGCCAGCAAAAUCUACACACGGGCCAUUUUUGAGAAAUUUGUAGAAAUCAUAUGUGAAGCAGGACAAUACAAGGUAGAAGAAGUUAGUAAAGGGAAAACAUAUUUUGUGAACCGGUACCAUCCAGAGAGACAUGAGCAGUGGUGCAGGAUACUAUACAAAGUUGAAGUUGUCAAUGAAGGAGAAAAAAUCAUAUGUGAGUGUGGAAAUUUUGAACACACUGGACUGCUCUGCUGCCAUGCUAUCAAGGUGAGUUCGCUUUUUAGUUCAUCAUUCUGCUGCAGCAACAUACCCUUCUGGCUUAGAGAAAUAAAAACUGAUGUUGCAACGGUGUGCGUGUGACAGGUGCUUGAUUUCAUUGGCAUAGACCAUAUACACGCGAAUCAUAUUCUGAAGCGUUGGACAAAGGAUGCAAGGGAUAUUCUGCCAGCUCACCUCUCGUACCUUCAGAAGGAUAGCAUUUUUGUAAAUUCAGUAACGUUCAGGCAUGCAAAUGUGUACACACAUGCACUUGAAGUGGUUAGAAUAUCGGAUGCAAAUCUAGAAGCAUAUGAGUGCGCGAUGGAGAUGCUUAAGAUAACAAUGGAUAAACUGACACCCAUUGCUGCUGUGCGUGAUGGACGGGGAUUGGAAGACAGAAUUCAACAACUGACGGAUAAAGGUAAGGAAGCAGCAGCAGAAAUAGCACCACUAGUUAGUAAUACAAGUGAUGUUGAAUGCAGCGCAAUUGGGGAUUUCAUUGGCCUAAAAGCUCCAGAAUGGAAGAGAAAGGCUGGCCGACCAACGACAAGCAGAGACAAACCUCCGUACGAUGAUCGGGGCUGGAAAAGCAAGAAGUUCAAGAAGGCAGCGGGUGGAGAUGAUGCUGACAAAUGUGGAACAAGCAAGCGAACUCGUUUUUGCAGUAUAUGCCGAGAACCUGGGCACAAGAGCACCACCUGCCCCCAAAGAGGAGAUCUGCCUCCAAAACAAAGGAAAGAGGCAAAGUGUUCAAUUUGUGGCGUCGGUGGGCACAGAAGAAACACAUGCAACAAUCCAAAGGUUGUUCUGCAUGUUGUUGACAACACUAAUCUGCAUGAAAACGCAAUUAUAUCAUCUUCGUAAGCACAAGGCAUGCUAUUAUCUCCAUGUAAAAUUUGAGCUUAUCUGUACCAUGCAUGUAUAACUAUUCUGUGUGACAUGUCGGUAUGGCUGUCAACUCUGUAGACUGGGACAAAUUACUGUCAUAAUAAAAACAAGUUCCUACUGCCACCAUGUACAUGGUAGACUCACUUGUCGUGGAGGCCUCAUUUUGACCGAGUACAAGUAAGCAUUCAUUAUGCAUCGCAGCAAAACAGGCGUUUACGUGUCAACUGAACCCUGGUGUAUGCUGUGAGCGGGAAUCCCCCAAGUUUGAAUUUCAAACUACAUGGGCGCGCUCAGCGCAAUGAGCUCUACUUAAAGCUUGCCACUCCUACGCUGUCCAAGAGCCUGUAGUGUUCUAAUCUUCCAUCCUUCUCAUCCUCGCCGUGCUAUCUCACAUCAGAAAAAGAGAAGAGGGAGAACUGUUUGUGCUACGGCAUAGAUGUCUGCAAGGGUGUCGAGCGGAUGCUCUCUUACGCAUGUUUCUUCAAGCUCUCCUUGCGAUGCACUAGCCGCCGCAAGCAAGCUUCAUCAACAGUCAGUCGGGUCUGCGGAUGAUGGAGGGUUCUCCCACAAUACAACGUCGAUUGAGGUACGACUGCGCCUAAUCAGUUUGCAGAUUCUGAUCUUGCCCCCUUCCGAGCUCCAGACAUGAAUAUUUCAUGUGGGGCUUUUGCAUUCGUGUUACGACUGCAGAUCUAACUGCGUUGACUUAUGCGUGCAGGCUUCAGUUCACGCCAGAGCUGAAGGUGAACGAGUGGAAGAUGGAGAUGCCGAAGAAGAACCUGAAGUGCAGUCCCGGCUUGCGGUCCUGGAAGAGGUGGCCACUCAUGAUCCAGAAGAGCAGAUCUUGUCUGACGGAGAGAAAUUCACUUACACGGGCAGCUGCUGCGGAUCAACCACCAACUGCGUUCGUCAAUCAAGCACGGACAUCAACGACUACGCCAACCCAUCCAAGCGCGCAAGGCUUGCUGAAUAAGAAAACUUCAUGCAGUCGUUAGAGCCGUCAUUAGUGUUAGUAAGCAGAAGUUAGUGCCGCGUCAUCGAGAAAUGCAGCCUCCCUAGUAUGCUCAAGUACUAGUGGAUUUAUCUUUGGUUUAGCAAGGAAAAAAACUCCGCCCGUUGGACAAGUGUUUGGGUUGAUGCAGGUGUUGCGUUAGGUGCAAAAAUAAAGUUAGGACACACGUUUGACUUUAUACUUGCCUCUAAAUGACAUUGUGUUACGGUCUAUGUGGAUACUAUUUACACACUGAUUUUUUUUAAGUGUAUGAUGUAGUAUUGUCAAUGAGAUCAAAAUUGAGAGAAAUGAUUUUUUUGGGGGGGUUUCAAUGCUCAAACUACAUGUAGUUGGCUACCUGGUAAAGUUGAUCAUAUUUCUCCGGCGUGCAUCGUAAACAAAAAAUUAUAAUUAAGUCCCGAGUUCAUUCCAUUUUCGUCACCGCUUAAAACCUAAUUUCGUACAUAUGCCUUCAAAUUUAUCCGUUGCAACCAACUCGAACACCAAAAUGAAGUAUAAUAACUAUGACGAGUGCGUGCGCGACCGUCGUUCGAUUGUAUAUGAACCGCAAACGAUGUCGUUUGACUGAAAAUUGCUUCGAGAGAUCAGAACUUGUCGAUGAGGGGUAAUCUUGAGUCAACCUCACACCUCGGAAGUCAGUUCGGCAUGGGAAAUUCUGGUGUCUCUUCCCGGCUCAUGAUUGCCUAUGUACAUAUCGUCCACUCUGCCCUAUCAAAUGUUAACCCCAUUCCCGCCCUCUGACCAACCUCCCGCCACAUCUCCUCUCCCCAAACUACACAUAUUAGUAGUUACACGGCACAUUUUAUUGAUGGGUGACUUGGAUCCCCGUCGGAUUACUUUGCAUGCGAUACUUCGAGUGUGUCAAGCAUUGGAUAUAUGUAGACUGCGGGGCAUAUUUCAUCACUGCGGGGCAUGCUACAAAAUUUUAACUGGCUGAAAAAAUAACUAUAGCCCUCUUGGCAUUGCUUCACUAUGCCGAUUAUAGACACACACCUGCACGUAAAACAAACUGCUAGAGGCACAGAAUACUCCUUCAUGGAAUAAUAUAUGAUGAAAAUCAAUUGUUUCAGAGCGGCUACAAAAAAACUAUCUCUGAGAUUAGCACAUUUUACCCCCUUUGACACGGAGAGUGAUUCGGCAAAUCAACUGAAAUAUUUUGAAUGUUGUCCACAUUGAUAUCAAGUAUGCCACUUAACAUAAUGUUGGGCAAUAAUUGUGAACAACAAAUCAACCGUUUUUCAUACAAAUGAUAUCAACUAGUGUCAUUCUCGAAUUAUUGUUAGACAUGGUCCUCAGGGUCCAACAAGGCAUAUGCAUGUCAUUCUGUAUAGAGGUUCACGAUGCAUGUGUAUUAACCUAUGCUCGUAUCUAUUAUGGAUAACAAAAGUGAUUGAAACAAAAAAAAAUGUUUCCAAUGAUAAAGCAACGUAUGUUGUACUACAUACAAUAUUGAUCAAAUUUUGCAGCAUUCAAUUUUUUUCCCGUACAUAAGCCCGAAGUUCAAUGGAUUUUGAUCGAUCCUUAAACCCUAAACUUAUGCACCUACCAUCCAAUUUAUGCAUUAUAACCAACUAGGACUAAAGGGCUGACAUCCGACCGUAUAUGAACACCAAACGAUGGCGUCUGCUUGAACAUUGCUUCAAGCGAAGCGAAAUUUGGCAUGAGGGGUAAUGUCGACUCAACCUGACACCUCGAAUGUCAAUGCAGCCUGUUAAAUGGCAUUGCUUCUUCUUAACUAAUGGUUGUCUAUGAGCAUGCCGUCCACUCCGGCCUACCAAAGCGUCACCCAACCUCCCUCUCCAGCCCCCCACCCCCCUCCCCGGCACCGCCAACCUCCACACCACAAACUAAAUAGAGUAGUACUUACACGCUAGCUUCUACCAAUGGGUGCAUUGGUAUCAACUAUCCCACUUAUCAUAAUGUUGGGUAGUAAUUGCGAAAAACAAAUCAACCAUUUUGAUACACUGACAUCAACUAGUUACAUUCUCGAAAUAUUGUUAGUCAUGCUCCUCAUACUCCAAAAAUACAUAUGCAUGACAUUCCGUAUAGAGGUGCACGGUGCAUCGGUGUCAACCUAUGAUCGUACCUAUUAAGGAUAAGAAAGGUGACAAUAAUCGAUUUUUUCGGUUUUCAAUGCUAAGGCUACGUAUGCUGGACUACAUAGAUAAAUUGAUCAUAUUUUUUCAAGCGUUCAAUCUUUUUUUCCUUGUACUUAAGCCCCAACUUCAAUGCAGUUCGAUCGAUACUUAAACCCUAAACCUAUGCACAUACCAUCCAAAAUAUGCAUUACAACCAACUCGAAUACCAAGAUGAACUGAACUAACUGUGACAGUUCUAUACAUGGGUGACAUCCGAUCGUAUAUAAACACCAAACAAUGGCGUUUUAUUGAACAUUGCUUCAAGCUAACCAAAAUUAGGCAUGACGGGUAAUCUUGACUAAACCUCGCACCUCGACUGUCAACGUGCCCUGUUAAAUGCCACUACCGGUUCCCAUCUAAUGAUUUUCUGUGAGCAUGACGACCACUCCGGCAAUACAAGCGUCACCCGACCUCCCNNNNNNNNNNNNNNNNNNNNNNNNNNNNNNNNNNNNNNNNNNNNNNNNNNNNNNNNNNNNNNNNNNNNNNNNNNNNNNNNNNNNNNNNNNNNNNNNNNNNNNNNNNNNNNNNNNNNNNNNNNNNNNNNNNNNNNNNNNNNNNNNNNNNNNNNNNNNNNNNNNNNNNNNNNNNNUUUACACAAUUCCACUAACUUCAUGGAUGGCAAAAUACACCAUUAACUCCGCAAACAUUUGUACUCCUGAAAUAAAAUAUUAGCCUUUUGCUGUGCCCUAAUGCAUUUAGCAAUGAACAAGUUUCAAUGAUUUUAAAUAAAAUCGGGAAAAUCAUCAUUAACGGCUUGCGCGGCCAAUUUAACCAGACACUGCCGCGGCACCCAUCCCGUAUUAAUACAAAAAACCCAGGUGGAUUAUGACAUGAUGUUGCCAAAACUGGAAGCACACUAACAACCCCGAUUACUUUUAAGCGCGCCGUGCCAUGGGCGUCGUGUUUUAAUCGCGUGUCCUAAUGGCACCCCCUGCCGUAGAAAAGUCUAUGCAUGUGUGCAUGCAGCAUACAGGCCGAAGGGGACCGAGAAAUCCAAGAGAACCGGUGGCUGACAAAUCCGACCAAACCCACCAUGUUGCACUGCUGCUACAGUACCUGGAGCAAUCCUCUCCCGAGGAGCGAUUGGCAUUAUUGAAGCUGACCAACCCACAACUGGAAUCCGGUUGUGCGGCGUUCGCUCGCAACUCGUGUCCAGCACACCAGCUUCUGCUCAGGGAUGCCUAGCCACGUGCCAAUCUUUCCCCUUUCUACCCCUGGCUGCAUCGCGCGCCGUCGAUACAAAUUAGGAAACGUGCGUUGGAAGUCAUCGCACCCCGUGGGAACGCGCGAACGAUAGCUCACUGUGACUGGGCCCAAACAACUCUGAGCCGUGGUACAGCAACUCGUGCCUCCACUGCCGAAGCCCUCUCCUACCUUAUCUACUGCAUCCGAACAGAGUUGCUCUGCUCCAGUCCACUUGCUGUUCCUUCUUCCCCAAGCGCUCCUAAGAGCUCCUCGGUCUUUCCUCUGCGCUCCUCUUUCCUCCGCCGAGACUGAGAUCGACUCCGCGCUGACAUCCGAUUCGGAAAACUGCACCCUCGUGCGGGCGAAGAGGUAGCUGGCUGCCUUUCCAUUGUUCUCAUCUAUGUCUUGCACACUUUUCACUGUUGCAUGCUCAUCCAAAAUCUGCAUCUGAGCUACCUUCUCAUCCGAUCUGUGGCUCCAUGUUUUAAUGCAGCGCUUAGCUCGUCCACCGUGCGCACAUACCAUGGCUCCCCUCGAGGAAGCGAACAACUUCGAAGCAGAUCCAGAUGGGGCGGCUGAAGACGUCGAGCUGGCGCCGAGGAGGAAGGGUAGCGGCCCUCACAAACCAACCGGGUUGGAAGGAUCCGAUCCCAACGACAUUCCGUCGGUACGAUGCGGCUUCACUGCUUCUUACCUGAGCUCCCUGUCGCCGAUGCUUUACCCUCAGGUGACAAAAACCGGGUUGGGAUCCCUGUUGACAGUCCGCAGUGCCUGUGGUGAGGAUAAUAAAAUGUACUGGACUCUCCUCAUGUGCGUCGACACGGAAAAAAGAGCCCUCAAGUUUCCAGAUGGGGAGUUUAGGGUCCUAGAUGACCCAACAAUAGAGUAUAUUACGGGGAUUAAGUCAGGGUCUACAACCAUCCUCGUAGGUGUAGAGAACCUGGAUUUUAGAUCAGAACGACAGGCCGUGCGGAAGCUGCUGGGUUUAGAUAGUUCACUUAGGGGGGAAAUCAAGGUUUCCGAGGUUUUUUCGGUGGUUAGAGGCAUAGAUCCGCGUUCCGAAGAUAAAAAAAGACUUGGAUCCAGCCAACGUGGGCUACACACGGCUGGUAUGUGCCACGAUGGUUGCACCUCAGGCCAACUCUACGUAUGUCCCAGAUGAAAUACUACAUUGCGUCACAAAUCCAGAUAUUAUCGGAUCAUUCAACUGGGGGAAGUACAUAGUUGACAACAUCAUGCUAAACGCAAAACGUGUGCAGCAUCACCACAAGGACAAAAUAGGUGUCUGCCUCAUGGGAGGAUUCCAACUCGUGCUUCAGGUAUGGAAUCGCUCUACGUGCGUGCAUGGCUAAUGCAAAAAGCGUUUGUCCUUUUUCAUCCUUGUCUAUGAUUGCCAAAAAGCUGAUGCUCUGUUUCUUGUCCUCAUUCUUUCAGGCGUUCUUCGCUGAGUGGAUGGAUUUUCAAACUAGCAUGACGCCAAAUGUUUGGCCGCGUAUAUCUGCAUACUCAACGGAAAUCCUAAGAGAAAUAUUUAUUCUCGCAAGGGAUCCAAAACACAGAUUCAAGGUGACACUUUUUGCUCUCUUUUUUCACGAGUUUGUUUCAUUGCCAUGCAAAUUAUACAUGACUACAAUUAUAAUUGUUAACAAAAUAUGCAGACAAAAGCUGAAGGGGCACUGUCAGAGACUAGAUGGUAUAUACAUCCGAUCCUACUACAGGCGAGCAUGAUUUCAAUGCACACUGUCCAGGCUACUGCUAAUCAGUUCAUCAGCUCUGUGGUCUGCAAUCAGAUCAGAAAAACCGCAAUUCAUUUCGCUAGAAAUCACACACCUCCAGGGCAAAUCCUGUCAGCACAACACCAAGAACGUUGCAGCAGCAUUGUUAACCAUAUUUCCAGCGACCUAUCUUCAGUCGCCUCUGCCAUGUACAAAGAGUUCAUGAACCGACUUGCUGCUGCAGAAAAAGCUCGCCUUAACACACAUGCUAUGCAUCUAAACCCCAGCCCUCUGGAUUGCACAGCUACAGCACUAGUAGUUACCCAGGGUACGUAUGUUCUCAUACCAAACUAAUCUGCACUUUAUCAUGUACGCCUCUUCUUCUGACGCCAAACCUUGAAUUUUCGUAGGUGUACCAGGACGACAAGAUGUGCCAUCACCGAGUCUUCCUCAAGAACAAGCCUUAGCAGAAGCACGCAGAGGGGAGCGAUCCUUCACUGGGAAUGUUGCCCAUCUUUCUAGUCCAACAUUCAUAACCCGUACGUCUUGUCUUGCUCCUGUUGGUGAAAGUCGGCUAUCCUAUGUACAAUCUCUAACUUAUAUAUUGGUUUCCUAAUACAGCCUUGCAGACACAGCACCCUAUGGAGUCUCCACAUGCAAAUGCAUGCGCUGAAACACUUCUUCAGCUGGCCGGUAAAGUCUCAAUACCUUAUGAAAAAUUUAUCCACCGUUUCUGUUUCUCUCCAACAAGAAAGGUGCAUCAAUCAAGACAAUUAGACUAAAUCUCGUUCCAUCAACAAAUCACACAGAAAACUAUCUUGAGAGGACUCCUGAAGCUCGUCUACCUGAACCACGUAUUGUUGGAGCAUCACAGAAUCUUAUCAUAAGAGACGCCUCCUGCCUCCUUGCACCCCGUGCUCUUCGUUUUAAUGACAUCUCUGUAAAAAAGAUUCAGCCAUGAGACAUAAGUAAAACAACAUUGUAAAUGCAAAACAUACAUUCCAUGAUCUUCAGUGCAAAAAAAGGUUUUCAAAACUACCUGAUCGUUCUGCUCACAUCUCUAAUCUCUGUGCUUCUGCAGGUGUGCUCUUAUCACCACAUUGCCCAGAACCACCUUACCAUCUGCGGAGACGGAAAUAUGUGACGGAAGUCGCAAAAAAACCAGCAUGGCCAGUAAAACGUCAAAGGUCAGGCGCUGAAAAUAUAACAGGGUAUAAGAAAUACAAAAUGUCUACUGCUGUCCAACCACCUCACAGUGAGGGACCUAAAACAGCGAGAUCAGCCCCUGAUCCAACUACGCAGACUAGUAAUAAUCGCCAAACUGCUCGUCACAGACAUCUUUCAGGUUAGCCAAGCUUAUAUCGUUGCAUGCUUUCCUGUUGUCAUAUUCUAAGUUUCAUCAUCAUUAACUCUAGCUCUUACUCUGUUCUGAACCAGGUCCUUCAAGGAUUACUAAAUACAAAGAUCGUGUAGUUGCAUACAAGCGUCGAGAACGCUCACAGAGUGCCAUUUGUGCUAUACUUGAUCAGCAGCUUGCAGGUUGACUUUCCUUCUAGUGAAAGUACUCUGAGCAGCUUUGUUUAAUUGCUGCAACUAUACUGCAACUGUAAACUCAGAUUAACCGAGCUUGAACUAACAAAAAAUGCAGGCACCCCAUCAAUUCCAUCCAUCGCUGCAGUGACCACAAGACCAUCAUGCCAACAAAUUCCUGCAAAUUCUCCAUCACUGACCCUAGCCAUGCAAGAUGCAGCAACGACACAAACGCCCAUGGCUUCAGGUGCAUCAUCACCUUGACUAUUUACAAUGCACUUCUCGAAAGUGAUACACUAUCUAAUUUUCAUCUUCAUGCUCAUUUACCAUGUAUUGACUUUGCAUCCGAUGCCAUGGCAGGAAAUCCACCACUUUGGGAUUCAAGUCCAGCAACAGCUAUGUGCAAUUCAAGUCACCAUGAUGACCUGCUUGCAGAAGGUAACACUUUAAACCCAUCUAUGAUCUGCCAAAUAAAAAUAAAUCCAUUGUACCAACAGCAACAAAACUAACUGGCUUCCUUAGCAGUUGCCGGCUGUGCAAGUUUCUGUGCUACCACUGGUUCCAACUACUGGAGAUGGUGCUACCGUUCAAGCAGAAAAUGUUCAUACACUGAUCCACAACAGAGGUACUUCCCUCACCGUCAAUGCGCAAUACUGAUUGAUGAAAGCAUAAUUUCUUGAUUGCCUCAUCCAGUGCAAUGAUUUAAUGCUUCGGUAAUAUUGUGACUCACUUCCAUACAACUCCAACCGAUGCAGAUGUUGAUGGGCAUACGGGUCCACAGAAUACAAAUAAUGGCAAUGUUGUGUCUGCCUCUGCUACUGAUGAAAUCCCUGCCAAAGGUACAGCCAGCUUCUAAUGCUUCAUCAUAGCUUAUAACCUUUCUGUUCCUUUCCAUUUGUGGUGAUCAGCCAAAUUGGUCGAAGAUAUGACUCAUCUUUCUAAACUCUACUCACUACUCAGCAGAUACCACGCGGGCGAGCUUCCCAAACAGCACACCUCUCCCAGCAAAUGCAGCUGACACUACUGGGAUGCAAAAAGAAUACCCAGAUGAAGGUACCAUUCUCCUGUCUUUACACCUUUGUGCAAAACAUCAUCAGGACUGCAGAGAAAAAAUAAACAAAUUUCCAGUUGCAGAUCGCAGAAGCACAUCUCCUUCUCCAAACACAGACUCACAUGAAAAUAUAUGCGCUCAUCCUACAAAUACAUCUCUGACUCCGUACCUGAUCAGCGAUGGUAAGUUCAAUCAAACUCACAUCCAGUUGGCUACGAUAACUUCAUCUGCAACAACCAACAUACCUCUAACAACAGAAACCUGCUGACUUCUAAUUCAGAUGGUCCUAGCAACUGCCAAGCGACCGGCGAUGACCUGCCCAUUUCAGCAACACCAAAGAUCGAGCCAGACGUUGAGGUUGCAAGAUUUCUGAGGAUAAUAGCAGACCAGCCCUCUUACUUCAAUGUCUAUGACUCCUACCAGAAUAUGGAAAAUACAAAAGAUACUGAUCGUGAGAGGUCAUGCACUGCUCCUUAUUAUAUCACAAUUGUCUUUUCAUUCAAACUAGUUCCCUAUCUUGAGCAACAUAUAUCAAAAUUUACCAACUGCAUCAUAAAUUUAUUAAUGCCUAUAUUCGUUGUCACAGCUUGUGGCACCAAAAAACUAUACUAUAUACCUGACCAAAACGUUUCCAUGCUAUCAACAGGAAAUGGAUUUCGUUGAAAACCCCCUUAUGCCUGGAUAUGACGGGCCAUGCUAUCUACCGGAGUUAUGGAGCAGGAAAAAUAAUGAAGAACAAUGGCAUGAAAGUAGUUGUUCAUGUUCUAACCACAAAGAACAACAAAUUGUACCCAAACAGAAAACCUCGCUGGAGAAGCAUAAUUGGCCCAUGUUUUGCGGUUAGUCUCAUAAAACACUUUUCAUAAAAUAAAAAAGCUUUCACUCUUGCUAAAAUGACUUACUUCUGCUGCUGCUUGCAGGAGGAAUUCGCCAACAACCCGGAGAAUCCCAACAUAGACAGAUUCUUCUCAAUGUUCGAUGCAACCAAACUCCCCUACAAACUGGAAGAAACAAAAAAGGUAAGCACCAGCAAAAUCCACACACUCGUAACUAUGAAGAAAGGAGCAAGCACAUGAUGAGGAGGGCUUCAAGUUAAACGCCCAAUAACAAGAACUAACAUCUCCCUUAUUGUUUUACAGUUCAUGAUAGUACUCGUUGUCGACGGGGGCUGGUGCGUUUAUGAGGUUGACAUAAAUGAGAGAACACUGCAUGUCAUGGAUCCAAUGAUGGCCUCAUCUAGGAGGGAUGAUGUGGAGAGGAAACACAGGGAGAACGCUGGAUUUAUGCUCCACUGCCUUUGCAAGUGCCUCCGUGAAUGGUAUCCUAAUUGGCAUUUCACAACUUAUCCAUGGACUUACAAAUACAACAGUGGCAUUCACCACCGCAACUCCGACAGGUCAAGCCAUAUCCCAUAAAACCCUGAACUAAACUCCUGGAUGCCUAUUUAUUUAGAUUAUUGCCCUAACUUUCGCCAAAAACAAUUCAGAGCCGAUAGCGGGUUCUACGUCAUACACUACAUUCGGGAGUUCGAUGGAGUUAUGUUGCACACGGCUCCUACAGAUGUAUGCUGCCACUCAUUGUCAAACUGCUUCUGAACUUGAGUUACCUAUUGAGUCAAACUGCUUCUGAACUUGAGUUACCUAUUGAGCAUAACUAACCAUACUAUGCUUCUCAGGACCUGAUUAAACAUCUGCGCAAGGAGAUGGCGUAUGAAGCACUGAGACUGAAUGGCAACAGGGGUGACUUCCCGAACAACCUCUAUGCUCGGAUCCUAGAGUAAAAGUUGAUCCAAGACAGGUAGAUGUGAGCCAUCGAGCAUUUCAUCAACCUAUCUAUUUCACCUCAUCAAGUAUCGAACCUAUGGUUCAGGUAGCAGAUAAUAGUGUCACCACAACUAUUUCUGCUUAUGUAUCCAACUUUGGUUUACAAGACUUCUAUCUGUAAUAUGUGCCAAGACUAUGGCUGCUAAGCUUAAUUAGCUCCUCUUUCAUUCCAAAGACUUAUGUCUGUAAUAUGGGCCAAGACUACGACUGUUACUAUGCUCAUUUGGCCCUAUCAGCAUCUAAUGAACUAGUAUGCUUAUCUUACAUAUGUUGCCCACGGUAAAAAGUUUGCUCGUCUACACUUCAAGUAUGUUGGUAUGUUUUUUUCAUUAAAAAUAGUAGAACAACUUUCGGCAACAUGUAAAAGCACGUUAUCAUACUUGCACCCACCUCGUGCACGACGGCUGGCAAACGCCCCGCAUGUCAGAUAUCUUCAAGCUGUGGGUGCCGCCAAAAAAUACAAAGAUCCAAUCCAAGAUUGCCUCUUUCUCAAGGAAUUGCAAAUUUCAAGAUAAUUUUUCCUACAAAACAUGGAUGCGUGUGUGUGAACAAAUCUAUAAAAUUCAAAGUAUAUCGAAGCAGAUGUGCCACAUUCAGAAUAAACACUUCUUUCCACAACACACUCGAGAUGAUGUAAAAAGAUAAUUCCAUUAAAAACUUCUAAAAAAAUAACUGAAAAAAAUUGUUAAUAACUUGGACUGCCUUUCCUAUAAACCACACUACGUAUGAAGCAAACAACAUUCACAUGCUGGCAUCGCAAACGUAAUAGUAAGUAUCUCUGACUAAGGCCCAGUUGUUUUGCCAGAAUCCCAGAUUCUACCAGAAUCCGACCCCCUACCCAGCUUCUGCCAGAAUCUUUGAGCCCUGUUUGUUUUACAAUCCUAUCUAGUUAGGUUCUAAUUAGACAAGAUUGAAAACAAAUGGGGCUCAAAGAUUCUGGGAGAAGCUGGGUAAAGGUCGGAUUCUGGGAGAAUCCCCAGAUUCUGGCAAAACAAAUGGGCCUAAACCUACUUGGAAAGAAUUAUAUACGGCUCGAUUAUUUUCUCUCUAGAAAGUGCACCAAACACAUUCCAACCAUUUACUAGUUCAUAAAAAAAACCAAAAUACACUUGUGCGAAAAUAAAUGAUUUAUAUUUCCCCAAGAGCGAAAUACAUAUGAAGCAAAAAACUUGACAAGCCAACAUAAACCAUAAAAAAAAGACUGCCAUCAGUCUGCAACAUAUGCUACUACAAAAAAAAAUUCGUCGCUGACCUACUUUUGACAUUGGAAGUUGUAACCGCACAUCUUAAAAAAAUUGGAUAGCAAUCCUAAUUACGCAUCACUUGUAAACAAAAUCUUAACUACAAAUCUUUUAAAAUGCAUUUCUUCACGCCCAUCCAGUACUCACUCGACAUUCGCACUUACACAUAAAAUAAAACUCCCCUAUGCCGACAUCCUGAAACGAUAUGAAAAAAUUCUCGUUCGUCUCUAGAUAUGUAAAUCACUCAUUCCGAAGAUUCCUUUGUAUGACAGAAAAUGUACUACAAUCUAGUUACGAAAAAACUUAAAAUCAUAUCAGUUCAACCACAAAUAACACAAGAUCCAUACAUAACAUACGUCCACAUACUUAAAAAGGUUGCCACGUCAUCAACAAUCCUAAUUUAGAAAACUACAUGCUUCCAUGCAAGAGUCAUGCAACACAUCACACAUAUCAUCCUUCGUCCUCAAAUCCUAAGUCCACACAAGACACAAUCAAACAGAUGAGAUCAUUCCUCAUCUUCUUCAAGAGCAGCCCGUAAGACAUGAUCAGCAACAAAAUUCCCUUGCUCAUCCUGCAGACGAAAUACCUCGAAAACAGUUGUUUGUCGGAAAGUAUCCAAAUUCCUCUGCACAUUUUCAUCAAAACCAUGCAUAUAACAAAUAUCUACACUGACAAAACAAAUAAACUGCAACAAAGAUUACAACAUAGUGUUCUAAUGGGAAAUGCACUUACCUUCGUCAGUGGCCACGUCAUCUUUUCCCCAUCAUAGUGCCUAAUUGCAUGCAACAUGCACAUUCCAGACUCAUCCCUGAAUUGAGACAUGCAAACAAAAAACACCCCCACAACUUACAUCCAUCCUUCAAGUCAAAAAUAAGGAGAAAUGUGCUUCCAUGUUUACCUUGUGAAAACCUCACGUGUUAUCUUUGGGGACUUGCGCUUCCAUCUAUCUGAUGUACAAUGCCAUCUUGCAAAGAACUCAUUGAGACAACUGAACAAUGCUUCAUGUAUCUGAGACACAGCCUCCUGGUGCGUCGCAUGCCGCUUUUCUGCUCCCACAGGCUGAGCACACAACGGAUCAAGAAUUUGAAUCUCCUUCCUGAUCAUGUCCCACAUAUAUGCUGCCCAUCCAUGAUCAAGAAUGACUGGGGUAUAGAACUGCAGGCAACACACCCUACGUAAGACUUGGAUGCAUGCAAAACUGCCACCUAUUAGGCAAAACAUGACCAGGUAAUUACCGUCUGGCAUGCAGUUAUGUCAUGGUGCGCAUGUGCAAUUUGCAACUGCACCGCCUUGAUAUGUGCAACCUUUUCCCCGGCAAGAGCAUGUGUCUGUUUGGCCAAAAAAAACAAAAUACUAACCAAGAAGUGCUGACCGAAACAAAAAGCAUCUAUGUGCAAAACAAAUACUGACCGAGAAAUCCGGUUCAAGAACUUCCCUCCACAAAAGAUACUUGGACACAGCUUGGGCUUCGACAUCAAGCUGAUUAAACCUCCUUAGUGCAAGCACAGCUACCUCGUGCUCAAGUGGAUGAGCCCCGAAAAAUUGCUGCUUCACACAUGCGGCAUUUACACGUAGCAUCCGCGGGAAUUUGUGCUCAAACCAGAGACUGAAUACAACAUACAAAAAUUAGCCACCUUAUUCUCCUGUGCAACACUGAUAUGAGAAACCGUGAAAAAAACUAUUCUUACCUGUCGAGGUCAGAAUCAUUGUCCCUGGAAAUCCACGUGCUGAACUUGUUCACCAAAGAGAUUGGCGGAGGCUGUGGUAGACACCCACUUAGCCAUGGGCUGCGUGUAAAACUUGCAGACAUCGCAUACUUCCUUUUGGGCAACGUCGCUUCCAUAUUCCCAAAAUAGACUACAUUCGGCUCUUCUUCAGCAGUGUCAUACAGACUACAAACCGUAUCAACAAUUACCUGCGCAUAAAGUCCAAUUAUAUCUAGUGUUGGGUUCCUUUCUUCCAUGACUUGGUUGUCAACCACUGGAUUAUCAUACACAGGUGCCGCGUCUAGGUGCUCUGGUGAGCCCAUCUUCAGAUCUGUCGCAAGCAUGACACCCCCAUGUGAGCAAAUGUCAGACCCAACUUCAAAACAGGACAAACUACACAUAGCAUUAUGUACAUACAGACGCACACAGAAAAUAACAUGCUCUGCUCACCUCCCGCUUCUUCAGUACUAAGGAUGGCAAUUUUACCCAUGGGUACGGGUACCCGCGGGUACCGUACCCGCAUGGGCAGGGUAUGGGCACACUUUUAUACCCAUGGGUAGUACCCAUACCCUACCCGUUAAGUCAUGGGUAGGGUACGGGUACAACCUUCUACCCGUGGGUAUACCCAUACCCUGCCCGUAUGUGAACUAAUUUAAGUUUUCAUCAAUUAAUCAUUAAUUUGUCACGUGACUCGUCUACUCCUAUUGAAUUAUGAGUAUGUUGUGAUUUCUAAAUUUUGAUAGUGGCCAUUUACUCAUCUUCCAGUUACUGAGCUGAGAUAAUUGAUUUCUUUGUCAAAUGUGCUAUGAAUGAGUGUAAAAUUGUGAACAACUUAUGUACUAUUUGUUCUACCCACUAGGUACCCAAUGGGUACGGUACCCGUCGGGUAUGGGUAUGGGUAAAAAUUCAUACCCGCGGGUACGGGUAUGGGUAGAAUUUUGUACCCACCUACUAUACGGGUAUGGAUAUGGUAUUGCUCUACCCUGCCCAGACCCUACCCAUUGCCAUCCUUAUUCAGUACCAACCCGUAUCUUCUUUCUAACUUUUUGUUGACAACCAUCCUUGCUUCCACUACCACCUACAACACCAAAAUUGAAUUACCAUAUAUCCAAUCUAGUGUGAGCUCCAUGAUAUUAACACAGCUACAGUACCUUCCUCAUCAGACAUCUCGAGACGACGAGCAACCGUCCAUAACGCCUUCUGCUCUAUACCCUGCGCAUCUGCACCAUCCAAAAGGCAAAACAACGCAAAUGGUGACACUACCUCAUCAUAAAAACGAGCAGCGUGCGCCCUGGUAAUUUUCAACAAGCUUGAAUCAAAUUCAUUAAAAAAAGUAUACCUUCGGAUGACUUGUCGGACCAAUUCAAAGAAAUACACUUUGACCUGCCGCGCUUCUCACAACAUCUGCAUCGAUCCCGAACAAGUGAUACAAUUCUAUCAGCAAAACUAAGCAUGUCGGCCUGCAUCCUAUUCCGCAGCAACGACAUGCUCAGCGUGCACUUUGCAUUCUGUUGUUUCAGCAUCAGGCUCAGCUCCUCGAGAACCUGAAAAUUGCACGCUGCUUCAGAAACAUAGCAAGCAUACACUCAUCCACUCAGCAGUCCUCCACACAAAGAUCAUCAAUAAAAUAGAAAGGCCACAGCAACAACCACCACCCCACCACACCCCCCAACCCCCCAAACCCCCCUCCCAACCAUCAUAUCGGCAACUCUCCACACAAAACAAAACAUACCGGAUCACCGUGGCAAGUCCGUCGAAGAUGAUUUGCAAAAUCCCUCGGACCAAGAGAAUGAUACGCCGACCUCGCAUCACCUAGUGAGUCUGCUCGUGUCGUUGUUGCAGGUACAACCAAUUCCGGAGUCCGCUGUUUCAUCCUGACAGACACCUCAACAUUUGGGUAUCUCCCUGAGGCUGACGUUACAUCGGCAUCAAUGAAGCCUUGGCUCCUCACAUCCGACCGCGUAUAGCAAACUUGGUCCGCCGGGCGCAACUGCUUAGAAAAAAAGGUGAAAAAUAAAGAAAACCAUGAGUCAAAUAGUCACGGCUUUUCCAGGAAUAACUUCCCCUGAGUGAAUCUUGGCCCAUAAAAAUAAAAACCGUACCCCUGCAGGGACAUAAGACUGAGUGUUUUCUGUUCAAAUCGUUGCACGCGCGGGAAUACAGUGUGUGGCAUGUUGAACAACCCAAGCUCAAUGUUAUCGAGCAAGAAUAUCUGUCCAAAACGAAAAUUGCAAAAAAAUUCACUAACAAACAUUACCACCUAAAAAAAUAUCAAGGCAAUAUGUAAUGACUAUAAACACCUUGCACAUCUGGAAGAAGAAGUGGCAGGCAAACAGAUGGACCGUGGCUGCUUUGCUUUGAUAAUCACUCUGCACCUUCGAUACAGCUGCCAGAAGCUUCUGGAUACCAUACUCACACCAAUUGAAUUGUGCAAUCAACUCCGGGUUAGCUAGAGCACCCCAGAAAUCAAUUGUCAUCGAGUCAUACUUCGUGCACGGUGCUAUCAGGUAACCCAUCACAAAAAUUAUAAAUGCAAUCUGAAAGCAAUCCUUCUCCAUCUUACUAGAGUCCUCAGAAAGCUCUCUGUUUAUAAAGCUUUCAACCGCUUUCAAAUUCUGAGCAACUGAACCAUCCAUACCAAUUGUACGCUUUAUGAACUGGAUUGCCGGAGCAGCAAUUUGUGCAUCCCUGCCACUCACGUCUCGGUUCCCACACGGGAUGUCGAAUACCUUGUGGAAAUCUUCGACUGUGAAAGCAAUCUUCUUGUCAUCAUCUAUUUCAAUUACACGACACCGAGCAUUUACCUUCCUCAUGACCCAAACACUCAUUUUCAGAUCCAUCCUUGUAAUCAUCGGCAACUUCAGGAUUCCACCAAAUCCAAUCUCAGAUACGAGCCAUCUCUUGUAUUCAUCAAAUUUGCUAACUGCAUCUACAACACGCUUGACUGACUGACGAGAUGUAAUGACCGGCUGAUCUUCUGGCAAAACACGUAGAUCCCCCGCCUCCGGCAAGCUCUCUUCCAUCUCCUCCUCACACUCCAUGCCAUCAGACAAACCCUCUUUCUCCUCUUCUUCGUCCAUCUACAACAGUGCAUAGGCAGUGGAUGCUCACCAGAUCUCGCUACUAAAAGAUAUGGAAAACUGUAUCCAAACAUACUUGGUUCUCCUAAAUGAGAAAACUUACCAUCGAAUACAGCCACGACGACGCGCGUAGCCCUGCACCUAAGAAGCUUCAAAACUUCCACCACCGCCGGCGACAGCAGCUGCCUGAUGGCCACCAGAUCUGGUCACCUUGUUUUCAACUGCAGCUCCUCCUCUGAAGACCGCAAAUAGAAAACCAUUCACAGAGGUAGGUGAGCCACACAAAAGUAGGGCUGGGACGCGGAUAAGAGGCCAGUGGACCCAUGGGCCGGCCCACGAGAUGACCGGCCAUGGGAUAGAAGACAAACUCAGUUGCAGUACGCUAGGGCCGACACCUUUCAGACAUGCGCAGCCUCUACAAGACAGCCCGCUUCGCUUCUUCACCAUACACAAAGGCUCCGAGAAAAUGCCCACAUCUGCACUUUCUCGCACAUAAACCAAUCAACAUAAGCUUAACCUAUAAGCAAGAUAAUACUUGAUAAAUGUUUUGCUGGAGUUAAACAUGAUACCAUUUCGUAAUAUUUGGAUGACGCUAGUACACCAUAAGCAGUACACCUCCAAAAGUACACCGUCACUGUGCGCUUCAUGGGUACAGCAUCGCUCGGUGCUCACCAACACACUUUGACCACCUAACACAUGUACUUAGUAGCUUAAUUUACAUAGCACUUAGCACUAAUGCCAGCGAGUCUCUCUCGCAUCUUCACCACGACACCUAGUUCAGCACGCGCAAGACAACAUCCGCAACCAGCAGCAUCAGAAUGGCCACGCCAAUCACUAGAUUUGCUACCGACGCCACCAGAUUUAUGGAUGCAGCAUCGGCGACGAUGCCACCCUGACGACCGGCGACUGGAGCCGCCGCCAGCAUGUAUCCUGCCACCGUACUUGCCAAGGAUGCAGCCUGCGACACCUCCGGCGCUCCGUUCUGCUGCACGUGAUGAACCUGCGCCGCCUGCACAGCUUGAGCUCCAGCCGCCUGCCCGCCCUGCAUCUGACCAGCACCGAUUUGCCCCCACUGGAUGUGCUGUGGCAAGAUGGGCCGCGUAGGCUUCCUCCCAUCUGUAAAAAUCGCAUCCACCCCCCGAUGGCUGCCAGAGAUUCACGAGAAAAAACAUACGUUCGUGAGAACCUAAGCAAGAAGAAACAUCGGAAAAAAAAACUGCGAAAACCAAAUCCAAUAGACUGAACUUACGUUGUGAUUCCGGCACUUGUAGAAUCGCAGGCCGGCGUUCUGCCCGCGCCGCGCCUACGUAGGUGACCACGUUCCUGCCACAGUCCGGGCAAGGCACGAUCUGCAAAACAGCUGGAUCAGCACCUGGAUCUGCCAUCUAUCCGACCUAACUGUUCUCUUUGCUGCAAUUUGUGGCGAACUAAAAGAAACACUGUGGCGGCGGAUCGGCUAGGGUUCCUCCUUCUCUCGAUUUGGGGAUAGAAUGUGGGACAAACAAACAAGUACCCGUGACAUAGGUUAGAAUCAUAAGGUGGGCUGGGUUAAGUACAUCGGUUGGGCCGGAGAUGGGCCGCCCAUCGCGACCACUUCCCGUGGUACGGUACAUACAUGUACAGAACAGGAAACAAACGACCCGUCACGAAAUCACCGUCAACAGCAUUCUAACGUCGGACCCAACACCGUCUACCACUCCGUCCCGUGACCGUCACGUACACACAUUAACUCGCCUUACCAACAGACGGUCCCACCACGAAAACCACGCAUCUCAGGGGAAACGAACGCCUCCAGAUACCGAUAGCGCGCGAGCUCGUCCGCGUCGAUCAUUUUUCGUAUUCCUCCCUGUUAUAUCUCAACUGUUCUGUGGAUUUCUUUCUCUGCUUCCGUUUACGUUGAUUACGUGGUUGGUUCUUCGUGUAGCGAUAAUGGUCCGCAGUGGCCGACCCAGCCUCCUCGGCGUCAUGCGGUUGUCAUUGGCCUUCAGGUCGUUGGCACGUGCCUAUGGCGCUGCUCCAGGUGCGAGAUAGGAAGGUCGCGGGGGGAGCAGUCGCUGCUGAUGGCGUUGUCGUCGUCCGAGAGGACCAUCCUCGAGCGCCUCCCGUCGAAGGAUCUAGCGUUCCUGCUCGGCGUCGGUUCUCCUGCGAGCACCUUGCCAGUGGUAAUCGGCGGGUGGAACGACGAGGCACACCUCCGGGAGCUCCAGCGGGAGAGCAUGUCCCCAUUGGAUACGUAUCGACGGUUUUCCUAGCGGCGCUUUGGUCCGCUCGCUCCUUACCCCUGUCUCGAGUCUUGGCUCUCAACUACAAGGCGGCGACCACGGCGGGCUUGCCCGAGUUGGCAUUCAACUGAUGCGUGCGAGAUGUGGUCACCGUCCGCUUCUACUCCCCGGUUGUCCGCCCUGUCCAAGCGACCUCUCUUACUCCAGUCAUCUACCCGGUGGGAGCACCAUGCGACCAGCACGCGCGACGGUUCAGCCCUAGGCAGGCGGAUGUGUACGACCUCAGGCAGCCUCAUCGCUGCCUCAGUUCGUCGGAUGUGUGCGACAUCAUGGGCGUCCAUCGCAUCAUCUCCCGCCCCGCUUGCGUACAUCUCGUGGGCAUAGGCGCCGGAGCAGUGGCUUCACUACAUCGACACCAUUACUACCCCAGCAUGUAAGCGUCUUCUCCUCCUCCUCCUUCGGCAGUGGUUGCGUCUUCUCAUGCUCGACGAUCCUCGCAAGAACUGAGUUGUGCCACUCACGGUCACCUGUGAUGUUUGCUGAAUGUUGUGAUGUCCUCUUAAUCUCAGGCACUGGCGGUAGCCAUUCCGGCGGUGACCAUGGCGCGGGUACCACACACAUCCUCAGAUCCAAUCCCAUCUCCUCCUUCUCUCAUGCCUCCCUUCAAUCUCGGACUACCGUGAAACAGAGCCAACGUCGCCCGCUCUUUUGUCUACAAAGCUCAACUCACUGGACAUGAUGCGAUACUACUCUCCGUGCUCUGUUAUUGAGGCAUUCGGCAUUGCAAAAACAGUUGAAAAUAAUAAUUCAAGGUACUGAACCUAAACGUGAUGCAUCCUCCUUUACUUCUUGGAUGGCUAUUAAUUCAGUUACGCAACUUCAGUGUGUUUAUUAUCUUCACAAGACUUGCUUUACAUCUUAACUUUCUUGAUUCUGUAGUUAUUUUGGCAAAUUUGUUGAGAUUCAGUUUGACUAGAAUGGGAAGAUUCCAGGAGAUGCCACAAGGACUUAUCUUCUGGGAAGGUCACGUGUUCGUCAACUAUCUGACCCAGAAAGGAAGUAUCACUGCUUUUACAUGAUAUGUGUUGCACCACCAGAAGUAAGAUGAAGUCAUGAAGAUCCUGUUAUAUAUGGUCUUCUUCUCAAAAAAAUUGGAACCACAUUAUUUGUGAACUACCACAUUUUGUUCGCAAAUGCUGUACAAGAAUAGUCUACAAUACUCACUAAGUCUGAAACAUAUCCUAUUCCGCAUUGUAAAAAACUAAAGAUAUUGCAAAAACCUCGGGGCAUUCACACAUUCUAAAUAUACUAAACCUAGGUAGGAUCCUUCUAAACCUAGCUAGGAUUUAUUUUUUUGAGUUUUCUCACAGCCAAAAUCGGACCAAAGGGAUGCUGCCUAAGGAUGGCAAUGGGUAGGGUAUGGGCAGGGUAGAGCAAUACCAUAUCCAUACCCGUAUAGUAGGUGGGUACAAAAUUCUACCCAUACCCGUACCCGCGGGUAUGAAAUUUUACCCAUACCCAUUGGGUACCUAGCGGGUAGAACAAAUAGUACAUAAGUUGUUCACAAUUUUACACUCAUUCAUAGCACAUUUGACAAAGAAAUCAAUUAUCUCAGCUCAGUAACUGGAAGAUGAGUAAAUGGCCACUAUCAAAAUUUAGAAAUCACAACAUACUCAUAAUUCAAUAGGAGUAGACGAGUCACGUAAAUUAAUGAUUAAUUGAUGAAAACUUAAAUUAGUUCACAUACGGGCAGGGUAUGGGUAUACCCACGGAUAGAAGGUUGUACCCGUACCCUACCCAUGACUUAACGGGUAGGGUAUGGGUACUACCAUGGGUAUAAAAGUGUGAUCAUACCCUGCCCAUGCGGGUACAGGUACCCGCGGGUAAAUUUGCCAUUCUUAAUGCUGCCACGAUAAAUAGUGGGCAAUAUGACCGGGUGCACUCCAGGGUGGACCUAACUAUUUCCCAUCGGAUUUGAGACAUUCCCUCUGCCUGCACAUGGGCUGCAUGGUUGCAAUCUGAUUUGAUUGCGUCUAUUUUGGUUGUUUCCUGUUUGGACUGACCAAUGCAUGGCAUUGGUCAUGUGUUUUAUCUGUAUGUGACCUGAAUUAGUUCCUUUCUUUGAGUUCAAAAUAGCCAAAAUUGAAUGUGGAGUUUGUCUAAGUUCCGAAAACUAUGUUGCUUUUAAUAUCGAAUUAAUAUGGUCACUGAAUUAUGUUCAGGUUCAUGAACUGCAAUAUUAAUUUCUCCCAAAUAGUCUGAUUAUUUUCCUUUUAACAUUCAUGCUACGUGACUACCUUUGUUACAAAUUAGCUACAAAUAGCUAAGUUGCCAUUUAGAUAUUUUAAACAUGUACUGCGACCAUUGUUCUGGCAAUAUUUCAACUGUCAAUAUUCUAAUGUCUGCUAUUGUAGUCACUCUAUUCUACUGUUACUUUGCUAUCAUACUUGAAGUUAGUUGCAACUUUAUGGAAGUGAAUAUAGUAGCAUAUAAUUCUCAGGUGAUGCAGUCUCCACUUCACAGCAUAUGCGAAUGCACCAACUUCUUUGAAAAAUUUCUACAGGUUUUCCUCCCUGUAACAUAACAUAGUCAUACAGGCAGGUGCAAGAGAUCACUCUGAAUCAACUAGCGUCGAAAUGGAGCGAGCAGCCCACUGAGAGCUCGCAGGGAAGAGGGGGAUGGGGGACAAAGGAGACACUGCUAUCUGAAUUUUUCAGAUAGUAAUGUUUAUGUUUGAAUACAUGAAAAAAUUAUCAAAUAUCAGUUGUCGGCCUUCAUGGCAGUACUGAACAAAUUAAUUAAAAUGCCGCCGUUGCUUGGCAAUUUGCUUCGUGGAAACAAAUGCUAGAGGAUAUGUAAGCAUUGGCAUGAGUAUGCCAUACAUUUCACUAUUAGGACUAACAAAGGCCGUUUCACCUAAGAGGACCCAUGUGUUGGUACUUAGUUUUGAUGUCUACUUUUGUUUGCUUGCCAUUACAAAGCCAAUUAAGAUAUAUCUUUUUCAUAUAAUUUUUAAUAUGUCCAGAUGUUUAUUCCUCACAUUGCUAUUUAUAUUUAUAAAUGUUGAAAAAAUGCUUAUAGGAGUAUUAGUUCUGCCAUAAUUCAUUCCUAGUAAGCAUUGAUGUUUGGAAAUUCAUUUAUAUUUGGGAAGGAAGGAGAUAGCUCUGGCUAUACGUUGAUGUAUUUGUUUCUGGAAAAAAAAUGCAUCGACUCCGCAACAUAAUAAACCGAAGUUUGUGAAUCACGUAUACACAUCUUCCACUACAGAUUAUGAUGGAUUCAUAAUAAAAAAGGCGACUCGGAAGUACCGACUCAAUAUGUUGCGACUCCUUCGAUUUGUCUGAGCUCGAAACGCCGUUUUCACCCGAUGAGAUUUGGGAGGCCAUUAAGAAACUUCCCUCUGGCAAGGCACCGGGUCCCGAUGGGUUCACCGCCGAAUUCCUUUGCUCCUGCUGGGAUGUCCUCAAGCACGAUCUCUGUGCCGUCUUCGACAAGCUAUACGCCCUGAACGGACGUGCAUUCCAGAGGCUAAACGAGGCUCUCAUUACCUUGAUCCCCAAGAAACCAGAUGCGGCUUCCCUGACCGACUACCGGCCCAUUAGCCUCAUUCACCUUGUCGCCAAGCUCUUCGCCAAGGUUCUUUCUCUCAGACUGGCUCCUCGGCUGGGCGAGAUGGUUUCGUCCAAUCAGAGCGCCUUCAUCGCGGGAAGGAGUGUGCAUGAUAACUUCAUCCUAGUCCAGCAAACGGCGAGGCAGCUACACAGGCUCCGGCUCCCUCGUGUCCUUCUCAAGCUGGACAUCGCUCGCGCCUUUGAUUCGGUCUCCUGGCCCUUCCUUCUUCAGGUUCUGGAACACCUGGGCUUUGGUCCUCGUUGGAGAGAGUGGAUCUCCAUCNNNNNNNNNNNNNNNNNNNNNNNNNNNNNNNNNNNNNNNNNNNNNNNNNNNNNNNNNNNNNNNNNNNNNNNNNNNNNNNNNNNNNNNNNNNNNNNNNNNNNNNNNNNNNNNNNNNNNNNNNNNNNNNNNNNNNNNNNNNNNNNNNNNNNNNNNNNNNNNNNNNNNNNNNNNNNNNNNNNNNNNNNNNNNNNNNNNNNNNNNNNCAAGGCCUCCGGCAGGGUGAUCCGGUCUCCCCGAUGCUAUUCACUCUUGCCAUCGACGUCCUCAAUUCUCUGCUCCAACACGCGGUCACCACCGGCACCAUCCGACGCCUCACAGAGCGUUAGGCUGCCUCGAGCGUUUCUCUCUUCGCGGACGACGUGGUCAUCUUUUGCCACCCCGAUCCUUCUGAGCUCUCCGCGGUCAGUGGCAUCUUGGACUUCUUUGGGUCUGUUUCUGGCCUACGCACCAACUUCGCCAAGUGCUUGGCUGCGCCGAUUCAGUGCCCUGACGAGCUGUCUGGCGCAGUCGGAGCCGCCCUGGCUUGCCCAGUUGUGGCUUUCCCGAUUCAGUAUCUUGGUCUCCCCCUCUCUCUAUGUAAGGUGCCAGCUUCUCAGCUCCAGCCCAUCGUCGACAAGAUGCUCCUCAAGCUGGCAACUUGGAAGGCCGCGCUGCUUUCACGAGGAGAGCGCCUGGCCCUGGUCCGGCAGGUUUUAACAGCCAUGCCUGUGCACAUUCUUCUUGCCAUGUCGCUCUCCCCUCCUAUUCUCAAGAAGGUGAACAGGAUCAUUCGGGAUUUUCUUUGGCAUGGCCGCAAAGACGCUCGUGCGGGUUCUUGUCUCGUCAGUUGGGCACGUGUCUGCCGUCCAAUCGAGCUCGGUGGCCUUGGGAUCCGCGAUCUUCACCGCACGGGCAUCUCUUUGCGUGUCAGAUGGCUCUGGUUGUCUGCUUCUGAAAGUUCGCGCCCUUGGUCCCAUCUUCAACCCACUUCAAUUCUUCCGGGCCUCGACCUCUUGGAUCCUCGGCAAUGGCACUUCCUGUCACUUCUGGACUGAUAAAUGGAUGCAAGGCCGCUCCAUCCAGGAGCUUGCCCCGGGCCUGGUGGCCUUGGUGCCGAACCGAUCGCGCCGCUCCCGCACAGUUGCGGCCGCCCUCCACGAUCGCGCCUGGAUCAGGGACAUCCGUGGCUCCUCGGGCCCCGAGGCCAUGCUCCAGUAUGUGGAUUUAUGGCGCAGGCUCCGGUCCAUCGAUCUUACCACGGAGCCCGACAUCAUCCGCUGGAAGUGGACGGAACAUGGCGAGUACUCUGCUGCCUCCUGCUACAAUGCUCUUUUCAUAGGUUCCACGGCGUCCGAGCACUGGCGCAUUGUUUGGAAAACCGGCGCCCCCCUCUCGGUCAAGUUCUUCACCUACCUUGCAUCCGUCAAUCGCUGCUGGACGGCGGACCGGCUCUCUCGCCGCGGGCUCCCGCAUGAACCGGCCUGUGUGUCGUGCUCGCAGCAGGCCGAGACCCUGCACCAUAUCCUUGUCGAGUGUGUUUUUGCCCGCACCAUCUGGCAGGGCAUCCUCUCCUGGUGUUGUCCCACAGCCGCGGUUCCGGAUGGCACGCUUGGGUUCUUCGACUGGCUGAGUGAGACCCUUCCUCUGAUGACUGCCGACAAGCGUCGUGGGAUCUCCACCAUUGCGGUGCUUACGGCUUGGUCUCUUUGGCGCCAUCGUAAUGUUGUGAUCUUCGACAAGAUAGCUCCCUCCUCCACCUCUCUCCUAGCGGCAAUUCAAGAGGCACGCUCCUGGAGCCAAGCACCAUUAUCCCUGUAAUGUAACUGGUCUUGUAGGGCUGAGCAUCCCAUUCCCAUGCUCGCUUGCAUCGCAGUAGCACUUUCCUGUGCACGCAACCACGAUGUCAACCUGUAUUUUCUAUCCCCUAUCAAUGCAAAGAUACGCUUCCAAGCGUAUUCACGAAAAAAUGUUGCAACUUCCGUUAUCAACACACAACAAAUUUCAUUGCAAUACAUCGCUAGUUAUUACAAUCGCAGCCUUGGAGAUGCCAAGCAAGUAGAGACGCGCACUUUCCUGAAAGAAAAAAAAACAAGUAGAGACGCGCACCGCGCUGCUGUUCUGGGGAAUCCAUGGAAGCGGCAAUGGCGAGCUCGGUGGUAGGAUCGAGGGCCGAAUUCGGGUCCCGCCUAGGGCUCGCGAGGCCUUGGCUCAGACCCACCGGCGGCCGCGGCGGUCCUCAUACCCCUCUCUCGUUUCGCCAUCUGCCAUGGCCGACCUCGCGCCUCGUCCGCAGCAGAGCAGCCCGGACUCGGGGCGUCGUCGCCGCCGCAAACCCUCACCAGCAGCAGGUCGGAGUGGAAGGGAUUGCGGCGAUGGAGCCCGAGAGGGGCAGCCCCGGUGAGGUGCUUGUUCUUUCUUCCCCUUCCUGUUACGAUUUGUCCGUGACGGCGGCGAGCCCCAUCCAUCAUGCGGCGGAUCUGUAUUGCAGGUGAGGGAGGAGAUUGCGAGGUGCUACGAGCUCGUCCGCCGCCUCGGCCGGGGCGCCGUCUACCUCGGCUCCUCCAGGGUGCCGGCCGCGCACCCCCACUACCACCAGACCGCCCAGCUCGCGGCGGAGAUAGCCAAGCUGCUGGACUGCACCACAUGGACGGGCGCCGGCCCCGGGCUCAUGGAUGCUGCUAUCCAGGGCGCCCUCGAGGCAGGCAAGCCGAUCGGCGGCUUCAAGAUCGGCAAAGAGGCCGGUGAAUGGACAGCCUCGAACUUCCACCCUUACCUGCCCUCGGAGACUUACCUCACCUGCAGGUUCUUCUCGGCAAGGAAGCAUGGCUUAGUGGAUGCUGUAGUACGCAACAACUCUACUGACAGAACCGCCAUCGUCGCAUUGCCCGGCGGCAUUGGGACGCUGGAUGAGCUUUUUGAGAUCAUGGCGCUGAUUCAACUGGAGAGGAUCGGAUCGGCGCUACCGGUCCCGUUCUUGCUGAUGAAUUAUGACUCUUAUUACUCCAAACUGCUGGAGUUUCUGAAUGACUGCGAGGACUGGGGUACAGUCUCUCCAGGGGAAGUGGCAUCGCUGUGGAAGAUUUGCAGUGGGAACCAUGAAGCCUUGGAGUACUUGGCACAGUUCUAUGAUGUGCCUACUGGGGAAAGGAAUUAUGGCAUAUCAUCACCGUCGAAGGAAGACAGGGUUCCUUCGUACACCGUCAGGAGAUGACACAAGCUCUUCUCAAGAAUGUUGUCUCUUUUUUUUCCCUUAUGCAAAAUAUCAUCAUUGCAAUAAUUCUCAUUCUCUUAUGAGAAUGUCAGCACUAAUUUUAUGGAUAGUAUCGAUUUGUUUUGUUACAUGUUUCAAUUAGUAAUGCAGGGAUGGGCGUAACACAAAAAGAGAGCCUCCUUUCCAUUUUACAAGGAUUAAGAUCAUAUAAGGAAAUAUGUACACUACUAACUACGAGUACUAAGCUUGAUCAAAUAAUACAAGUGCCAUCACUCUUUGGCCUCCUAUUUUAUCUUGACUUGUGUGUAUUUAUGUUAAAUCAAUACCUUCGCCCAAAAAUGUUCCGGUGCAGGAUGCUGUUAUAGUACCUCAACUAUCGGUCAGAAGUUAGGCCUGAAAAAGAUUCAAAAAAAGCUGUAAUAAACAGUGUGUAUUGGGAAAAACUGAUAGAAGAUACCAUAUAUACGUUCCACGGAGAAUGUUGGUAUUAUCAGUUGCUCUAUCAGAUAGUGCCUUAGAAACCAUAACAAAGCAAAGCACAUAUACAUAUAUGGAAUAAGAUGCACUCUAAGAAGUCCCAAGUUCCCAUUCAGUUGCUUCAGCAGUCAUUCAAAUAUUUGUUCAUCUCUCAGGCGUCAUAGUUUGCAUUGAAAUAGACAACCUUCUCACGUGAUUUAAUCAACCGGGUUUCCUAAUUUUAAUCACCAUGUAAGGUGCCUGUGGUAUCAUAACAGUAGAAGUGUGAAACAGGUUAAGCCAUGUUUGAUCCUGUCUGCCAAGACGCCAGAAUACUGAGAACAGUAGAGCAUUUCUUCGGUAUCUGAUUGAAAAUUUACUCAGGCAAAGAGAACCAAGAAAUUUGAUUUUGUUCUUCAUGUUUGGUUAAUCAUUGUAACAGUAAUUUUGAUGGACAUAAGGUUCAUCUUGUAAAAAGAAGAUUGACCGUAACCAAGAGCAAGAAAUUACCACAAAUGAAGGGGGCACGUAGUAGCAUAUGCUCCCUAAUGGACAGUAAAUUCAAAAUAAAAUAGUAAAUAAAUUUUAAAAUUCUGAUUUUUUUUUUUGUGUAGAUGUCCAUGUUAGUGUAGCACAAGUGUGUUUGACAAUUUUCAUGAGAUACGGGAUUGCAGUGCUUCUGUGGUGAAAAAACAAAAUUAAGUGUAAGUGUGUAACAUUUGGAGGUAACAUUUGGCGUUUGACUUUUUUUUUGCAUAGGUCAAGAUGCUUAAGUUUUUCUCUUGAAAAUUUAUAGGUAGCAUUUGGGUGCGACAAUGAACACAUGUACUUUUUUUCAAAAAAAAAUGGACAUUUGCAAAUAACAUUUUUAGCAUGCCCCACAUUGGAUUUCCGAAAAGAAGGGGUGUAACAUUGGAUGCAAACCUAUAAAUUUUUUUUUCUGUAGAACUUUAUUUUGGUACAAGUUUUAUAAUUUUUGACAAGAGAGUUUAAUCCAUCAAGAUAUCAAAAAUUUAUAUAAAUAAUGGGCAGCACAUAGAAGCAAGUUUAUACAAAGAAUGGGCAAGACAAAUAGCAAAGAAGAUAUGCCAAAAAUGGACAAGAGAAAUAGCAACAGAUAAAUCAAAGCAAGUUUGUACAAAGAAUGGGCAAGACAAAUAGCAAAGAAGAUAUGCAAAGAAUGGACAAGAGAAAUAGCAACAGAUAAAUCGAAGCAAGUUUGUACAAAGAAUGGGCAAGACAAAUAGCAAAGAAGAUAUGCAAAGAAUGGACAAGAGAAAUAGCAACAGAUAAAUCGAAGCAAGUACUUGCCACCAUAGUUUUUCCCUCUUGCAUCGUUUUAGCUGUAAUCUUUCAACGGCAAUUUCCAUCUUGAGAACCUUACAAACGGCCAUAUACUUUUUGGGCUGAGAGGUAUUAACCUUUAUGGCAAACUCUUUUUUAAUACUCUCCAUAAAGAAAUACGAGAGUGUUUAGAUCACUACUGAUCUAAACGCUCUUAUGUUUCUUUACAGAGGGAGCACUCUAUAACAUAAUGUUUGAGUGUCAUUCUGAAGUUAUCCAUUGAAGGACAAGUGUCGCUCAUGACCAUCUUUGGAUUAUCCCUAUCAAAGGAAGUGAACUGCUCCUCGGAUUCACGAUGAUCAACGGGUAAUGCUGUAUCAUCAGUGUGAUUGGCAUCAACGACCCAGAUAUUAGCAUCAACAGGAGAGGUGUUAGCGUCAUUAGCAGCCUGGCGCGUGCUCUCAUCCUCCUUCAGACCAAGCAAAAUUAUAUAUCGUGUUCUCGACAUGAACAUCAAAAAUCAUAUGUUUCUUCCUCUAUCACAAGAGUUGAUCAAUCCACCCCGCUGAAGGUGGCCCGCGCCGCACUCGAAGAACAUGUAUGUACAUCACCGUUAGCCAUACAAGGCAGGGGGAAAAAUCAAUGUCGCAAAUAAAGGGUUAUCACGUGUAACGCAAAAUUAAUAAUAUCGUAAACAAUGAAACUGCAGAGCAAAUUAAAAGUACUAGUGUUACCUAUUAAUUGGAUUAGCUGCAUACUGGCCGUGCUCCUUGUGCAGGCAGACGGCCGACGGAGCGCUCAACUAAGGCGUGUUGUUCAUCCCACAAUCGAGCAUCGUUUGACCAAAGACAACAUGCAUAGUGUCGACUGAAUGCUAGUAGUUGGAUAUGAUUAACUGAGGGCUUGUUCGGCAUCACAAUGUCGUCCGGUACAGGCAGGGCUAAUAACGUUGGUCUUCCACCCCGAAAUAAUAAUAAUAAUAACGUUGGUCUUCCUUCUCAUUUAUUUUUAGUUUCUUUAGCAUCAAUUUUUUUUCUUGCCAAACUUUUUUUCUUCGCAAACAUUUUUUUUUUGAGAAAAUUUUCUUCGCAAACAUAACGCUGAUUGUUGGGAUAUCCUCUUUAGUUGCCGGCCUGUUGGGCUAUAAGAAAGCCCAGACUAUGGGGCUCCCGAUCUGUCCGCAGGCUCAGGUUUCGGUUGCUAUUUCUCGAAAAAUAAAAGUUUUAGUUGCUCCUGUGCAUACUUUUAGUACCACAUCGCUUCCGGAAAGGAAAGGUGAGCUGCUUAUAUACCGGUCCAAGGACGUUGCUGACACCACCUGGGACAUGUGGUUAGCAAAUUCAAAAUUCACAUAGAAUUGAUAUUUGUCUACGGCAUGUUUGUUUCGGCCAUUAACCUGGGCGUCUCAUUAAAUGCCUGCUACCACUUCGACAUGGAGUGCGUGCAUUUCACGGGAUGCCUAUUUUUUCGAGAUUUACAGGAGCUGCUAGGCCUUGUUUGGUUGCUGGGGGAGAUGUACUCGGGGUAGAGCUGCCCCGGACUGAAAAUUCCUGGCAAAACGAAAAGCCCAGGGAAAUUUUGCUUAGAUUCAUCUUGACAUUGAUACGUGUCAAGCAGUCACCAGCACACCAGAUCUCGCCGCUGGAGCUAGCAGCCGCCGGAGAUGCAGAUCCAGCCCAUCGGAUGCAUCACACCAGAUCUCGCCGCCGGAGCUAGUAGCCGCUAGAGAUGCGGAUCCAGCCCAUCGGAUGCAGCGGAGGGGCUUGAGCAGGUCCUCGUCUUCUUUGUUCCUCGGCGAGGAGAGCUUGGAACAGAGAAGAGAGGAGGGGUCGACCAAUCGAGGUGGCCGGCGGGAGGGACAAGGAAAGAUCGAGCGAGACGGCGGCGCGGUUUGUGAAUAGGCUAAUUUUUUUGAAAUAAUACAUUUUUUAUUAAUUUUCAUAAAUAUUACGCUGGGUAAUUUUUUUUCAAAAAUAAUACACCGUCGGCCCACAGCAAGCCGAUUGGACUCCAGUCGGCCUACAGCUGGCCGACUGGCCCCUGUCAGCCCACUGGAGCUAAUUGGCUCGCUGUGGGCUAAUUGUUUUUGCAAAAAAAGUAGGCAUCAAAAAUAUAUGUUUAAAAAAAUAUUAAUUAUUUAAUUAAAAAAUGUUAAACGUGUAUAAAAAAUGUUCCUGAUGUAUACAAAAAAUGUACAAUAUAUAUGCAAAAAAGUUGACUAAAAAUAUGUUUUAAAAAGUGUUAAUCAUGUAUUUAAAAAUUGUUAAAUGUGUAUAAAAAAUGUUCCUUAUCUAUACAAAAAAUAUAGAAUGUGUAUGAAAAAAGUUGACACCAAAAAAUAUGUUUGAAAAAAAAAAUUUAAUCAUGUAUUUGAAAAAAUGUUCCUUAUCUGUACAAAAAAUAUAGAAUGUGUAUGAAAAAAAGUUGACACCAAAAAAUUAUAUUUGAAAAAAAAUGUUAAUCAUGUAUUUGAAAAAAUGUUCAAUGAGUACACAAAAAUGUUUCAUGUAUUGGAAUGAAAGGUUAAACGUGUAUAAAAAAAUGUUCCAGCUCCGGAUCCGGUAUGGGAGCAUCACGGACCUAAGCAUGAUUGGUUGCUCUUUUUUAUGGAACUGGAAUAUUUUUUUCAAACAUAUUUUUAUGGUGUCAACUUUUUUUCAUACACAGUCUAUAUUUUUUGAAUAGAUAAGAAACAUUUUUUAUACACACAUUUAACAAUUUUUAAUCAUGUAUUUGAAAAAAUGUCAACUUUUCAAACAUAUUUUUUUGGUGUCAACUUUUUUUCAUACACAUUCUAUAUUUUUUGUAUAAAUAAGGAACAUUUUUUAUACACACAUUUAACAAUUUUUAAAUACAUGCUUAACACUUUUUAAAACAUAUUUUAUGUCAACUUUUUUGCAUAUAUAUUGUACAUUUUUUGUAUACAUCAGGAAUAUUUUUUAUACACGUUUAACAUUUUUAAUUACAUGAUUAACUUUUUUAAAAAAUAUAUUUUUUAUGCCUACUUUUUUUGCAAAACAAUUAGCCCACAGCGAGCCAAUUAGGUUCAGACGCAAUCAGCCCACAGUGGGCCGACAGGGGCCAGUCGGCCAGCUGUAGGCCGACUGGAAUCCAAUUGGCCUGCUGUGGGCCGACUAGGCCCAGUCAGCCUGCAGCGGGCCGACGGUGUAUUAUUUUUGAAAUUUUUUUAUCCAGCGUAAUAUUUAUGAAAAUUAAUAAAAAAAUGUAUUAUUUUAAAAAAAAUAGCUGCGAAUAGAGGGAGCGAAAGAAACGAGGGACUUCUCCCACGAGUCGUGGCUGGUGUUUUCUGGUCCCGGGGAUUCGGCCGGGGAGGGCCGAAGUUUCCCUGACUUGGGCCUCGACCAAAUGGCCCUUCAGAAUUCCCUGGGAGAGGUUAGCACGUGCCUUUCUAUCCCUGGGAUUGGGCCGGGAUACCUGGGUUUUCCCCGUGAACCAAACGAGCCCUUAGAGGUUUUCUUCACACAACUUCCCGUAAAACGGAUAUGGAAGCUAUUGGAGUUGCUCUAAGAUGAACAUAUACAUACGAUCAGGGAAAUUUUUUCUUUCUCCCAGUAGCGAUCGGGUAUAGCAUCCGCUGUAGGUGUGCAUCUUCCUCCUUUUCCCGCACUAUACUAAUCAUCUCUCACAAUCUAGUCCCCAGUUCAUGUUUAUCAAGAACUAACAAUCACACCUUUCUAGUGAUAAUCAAACCGCAAGCAACUUGAUAACACUAGGUCAAUCACCGCAUACGCAUGCGGUGGUUGCUUUUUUAUGUUUGUUCGUCGAGCGGAAGAGGCUGCCGUUUUAUUACAUCACACACAGACCAUUGCUACUACAUAAGGUUUGUUUUAUUACAAUCACACACAGACCAUUGCUAACAUAAGGUUUGCCUCCUCGCAACACUAACAUUUGAGCCUGCUCAUCUUCAGUGGAGUUCCUUGAGGAAGUCCGCAUGAUCCACCAGAACCUGCAACCCCAAGAAUAACAUUAGUCACAUACUGAUACUGUGG
This 95988-nucleotide long non-coding RNA is filed under the name Triticum aestivum (bread wheat). RNAcentral describes it as "long non-coding RNA (TAES_LNC018173)". The record is from RNAcentral. Lineage: Eukaryota; Viridiplantae; Streptophyta; Magnoliopsida; Poales; Poaceae.